Molecule: long non-coding RNA, 143838 nt
Filed under: Citrus maxima (pomelo)
Lineage: Eukaryota; Viridiplantae; Streptophyta; Magnoliopsida; Sapindales; Rutaceae
Description: long non-coding RNA (CMAX_LNC001469)
Source: RNAcentral
CAAUCCCUGCUGCCUCAAGACUUGAAACAAAACAAAUUGGAGGGCGAGUCAGAGGUCCAUUUCCAUUAAUCCAUCAAUGGAUAGAAUUCUGCUUGCAAACAGCAUGAUCAUUGCCUUUCAAGCAAGAGGUUAUCCCGAGCGCAUCUCCCUCUGCUCUUGAGAGUACUCUGGUUAAGUUGCCUGAAGAACUUUUGAAGGGUAAACCAAGUCUGGAUACUAACUUAAUUGCGGGAGUACCCCCGGCUGAAAUUCUGGCCAGAUGUGAGUUUUUGGAGCCAUUAUCUGAAGCUACUUUGUCAGAUUAUGAGUGGCUGGUUGCUAAUCUGCAAAAACCUGCUCCUGUCUUGAUGAAAAGGGUGCAACGUUACUUGUCAUCAUUAAUCUUUAGCUAAAGGUACAUUGAAAAGUUAAUGGCACUGCAUACCAGUCAUUAUAAUUGGGUCAGGGCAAUUAGGUCAGAGCAUAACUUCAUUAGGAAAAGAGGCUUCAGCUACGUUAAAUAUUACAGGAUGUACAGAGAUGGCUGAAGUUGUUGAGGUUUUACGAGAAACGAAAGAUGAGUGUUUGUUUGAACAAAGUUGUUGCCAAUCUUGCAGAGUUCGAGAAGAAAGAUCACAGAGCGAAUGCCACCGAUUUCUUCAUCAUUGUAGCCUCCAUAGUUGAAGUUUCCUCAUUUGAAGCUGUUUAUGCAUUAAGCUUAUUCCCUGCUCAAGUACAGGAAACUGAAGAAUUAACCAGACAUGAUAUGCUGAAAGAGGGAAGUUUUCUUCCUUGAAUGUGGCCUUGUGAUUUGUAGUGAAGUAAUAGGAUGAUCACUAGCAAGAACCCUAUCAAGGUAGACUUUAUAAUGUCAACAUAUUAUUAAGCAUUUGUCAAUUUAGCACUUUCGCAAUGAUACAUUCAUAGCAUGAAAUUAAUUAUAUGAUCCUGAUUAAUCAAUUAAUCUUCAUGAGAUUUAACCUAGUUAAAACUAAGUACAAUCAUCGUUAACAAAUACUGAAAUUGGGUAAAUAUGAUCUCGACAUUGAAGAAUUUGAAAACACAACCCACAGAGGAAAUUACUUAUUGCAUGGGGAUGGAGAUGGUUACUGCAGGGAUAUAGAAUAUGUGCAAGGUGUUGUCCACUGCUCGUUGGGUUAUGGUGUGACUUGCGAUUUCAAGGUUGCCCUGAAACAAUGGAAAAGAUUAACAUAUCCUCCAAUGAAUAAAAACGGCUUGACUAAUUCAAAUUACUCAGGAUCAGGUGGCAAUAAAACAGUCCAUUUACUUUUCCAGGAUCAGAUGUUGAUAAUAAUAGUUUAUUAAAUGAAAAAUCAUUGUUCUUGGGGGUUGGUUGUAUACGUCAUUACUACUUCAAGUAGAAGAAAAAGGUUGUGUAGGUGAUUUCAGAAAUAAAAUACAUUCUGAGAGAUGAUGGUCCACUAUUGCAUGCCCCCCAGAUUUAAUAAUCAUCACUUUUCCUUAAAAAACUGCUACGCUUUGAUUUUAGUGCUGAAUAUUUAUUGAACUCUGAUAGAGGGAGUUUGAAGUCAAACUCGUAAUUACAGGUUAUCUAAUUGCGAGUUGCUGUCCAUAGCUGUUGAUUUGUAGUGAUUAUUUAAUUGACUGAGGUAACAACAAUUUUUUUUUUAAUUUUCAGUAAAAUAAAUUCUCCUAGUUAAUUUGUUUCAAGUUAAAUUAUUAAUUACUUAAACUCUGUUUUAAGUCUUUAAUUUUAUGUCUUGGCGUAUAUGCAAAAUUGGAUUCUUGAGCGUGCUGGACACGACCAACAAUGAAAUUGACAGUAAAUAAACAUUACAACGUGUGGACUCCGGUAGCUACAAGUCUACAACUUCACAAAUAAUAAUUGAGUAAGCGCCUUUGAUUCUCGGGACCCUUCAAUGAAUUUCUAGUCCCGUUGACUCCGCCGACUAAAGUUCUGUUAAAAAAAAAAAUACAUAGAAUUCCACCAAAUGCAAAACGCGUGGAAUUUAAUUUUCGGCCAUGUGGACCGAAACAUAAUUUAACAAAAAAAGAAAAAAAAUGAUAAGAUUUCUAAAACGUGUGGAAGGUGAUCCAUAUUUUACUGAAACGACUUGUUAAAAUUUUCAAAGAUUUAGAAUAUUUGGUUAUAAAUUACGCUCAUGUUAAUUUUUCUGCCAUUGACUAUCAUAUUCUAGACUUAAUGGUACCUUUCUUGAUGAAGGGUACUUAGUCUCUCUUCUCGUCUUAUAAAAAUUAUAUUAAUUGAUUUCUUGUUAUAAUUAAUAGUCUUUAGGAACGGAUAACUUUAUUGUUUUCAUGACCAAAUUAUGCCUCCUAAGCUUGCGACUAUUAAUAAAAUUAAUAUUUAAUAUUUAUGUUAAAAGAUAUAAGAUUUUAUGCAUUCAUUAAUUGUUAUUAGCUAAAUGAUGAAUUAUUUUUUAAACCCAAUCAGUUGAUGCAUCUGCAAGAGUUUUUUCUUUUAUUGACCAUAAUUAUAUUCCGGGUACAAUAAAUUGUCAUUGGUGCUUGGAAAAUAUGACUUCUUACUUCAAGUUUGAUAUGUCUCUCUCCAUAAGCUUACUGGAAAUAUAUCCUCAUCUACUGUCAUUUAUCUAAUAUCAAUUGAAAGAUCUCACUUUUUCAAACUAUCACUUCCAAGUCUCAUUGUCACUUAGCCAUUCUUGGACCAUUCAAAACCAAUCUGUUGAAAUAAUCAAAUAUAUGCAAAAUUAGAGUCACGAUUGUUGGUCCCCCAAAUUCUAAUUAUAUAUCUUCUAUAUAUCUCAUUGUCAGGUCACGAACUUGUUGGCAUAUUUUCCAAAUUCCUCUUCCAUCAGCUCUCACAUGUUAACUUGAGUGGAAAGUUUCCAAGUUGAUUGCUAGAAAGCAACGCAAAAUCAGACACACUUGAUCUAUCCCCUAAUUCUCGUUUCUACGUUGAAAAAGAAAGUAUAUAUAUAUAUCUAUGUAAAAAUAAAUAAUAAACUGAGUAAAAGUACAUUUGUUUAAUUAACAUCUGAUCGGGGCAUUUUUGGUGUAAUUUCGUGCCGUGUAAGCCACAACUAAAAUCAAACAGCCCCUUAGCAUACUUCUUCCAUAUUAUCUGCUACUUUUGUGGAUCUUAUAGGGUGGGCAUGUGGACAGAAUUUAAAAGUUUUAAUAGUCUCAAAGAAUAAGAUAUGUUAAAGCUAAAGUUGUUGCACCUUCUAAUUAAAUAAAGUUGCAUAAUUUCACCAACUUGAAAGAAUUGACAUUAAUGGACUGGUCCCCUCUCCAUAUAUGAAGCCUUCUUAAAAGUUAAUUUUUAUUUCAGAAAAAAAAAGUUUAAGUUACAUAUAUUACAGUAAGAUUUUUUGAGACCAAUUCCCUUCUUCAAAUGAUAAUGGAAAAGUAUUAAUUUAAAAAUAGCAUGAAUAUGUAUUGAUUAUAUCUUGAUUUUCAUCAAUUAUAGUCAGAGUUUCUCCAAAUCAAUUCCCUUAUUCAAAUAAUACAGAAAAUAAUUUAAUAGUAAAAUAAAUAGGUGUUGAUUAUAUAUCCUAAGUUUCAUCGAUUAUGUGAUCAAAGUGGCAUUGUUGAUUUAUUUCUUGUUCAAUGUUAAUUAAUUUUAGGGGAAUAUUCGGCCAACCUCUGUAAUUUCAGAGUGAUCAUUAAUUAAUUAAACGAUACAAAUAUCUAAAGUGAUUAGAUGUUUGCUGACAAUACAAGUUCAUGGCUUGAAAUUUGAUCUCUAUCGAUUGGUUUACAAAUGGACGCACUUGUGCCUUUGUGGCGAUAAUUGAACAGAGAUGUGAAGUUGUAAAGAUUUGGCAGUAGUAAAUUGUUAUAAAGACAUAAUGACAAGUUCCCAUGAUUAGUAUUUUUUUCCAAAAACUUUGUUACAACAAAUUCAUCUCGCCCAAAAAUUCUAUUUUGCUAACUAACAAUAAUUGAGCACUUGGCCGCAUUGACUCCACGUCUCCACCUACUUUGUAAGUAAAAACAUGGAAAUGUAAUCUCCACAAAAUGCCAAACGUGUGGAAUUUAAUUUUUGGCCUUGUGAAUCAAAAUGCAAAUGAAAGAAAAAGAGAGAAAAAAACAAGGCCCAAAGACUACGAAAAGAUAUAAAAGUCUUUGGGCCUUUUUAUAACGGCGAAUUUUUUAAAAGGCAAAAAUAACAACACUUCUAUGGUUUGUUUUGAUAAUCACAUUUACAUAUACUCUCUAAUUUUCAAAAUGGACACAUAAAUCUUUUUUUUUUCUACAAAUGUAUAUUAUUCGUAUUUUUUAUUAUUUUUAAUAUCAUAUUGUUAUUUAUUAUAAAUGUUUAAAGUAAAUUUUUAGGUUAAAAUAUAAUAAAAGGGUAUAAUCGUUCUCUUAUUAAACACCCAUACUUUUAGUUUCUAUCCAUUUGUCAUCUCAAUCUCUCUCAAUUAUUCUUUAUUGCUAGCUCAAAACGCGUUGCUGUUGCAAAUUAUAGCAAAAAGACAAAUAUGGAAAAGAAAAAAGGGAAGAAAAUUAGUGCAUGAAAGACUUGGAGAAAACAACGAAGUAAGUCAACUAUAAUCUAGCUGGGUGUAUAAAUUGUUUGAUGCUUUAUAAGCAAAUAACAAACAGAGACAGACAGUGUGUGUUCGUUUUUUCAUAGUUAAAGAUAUAGUUAGAAUGGGUGGUUCAAAAUCAAAAAUGGCGAUAAUGUUUGUUAUGUUAUUAAUAAUAUUUAAAAGUGGGUGGAGUGAGGGAUGUUUGGAUCACGAGAGAUUUGCUCUUUUGCGACUGCAACAUUUCUUCAAUGAUCCUCGUAAUUCUCUUUACAACUGGGUCGAUGAUGAGGGAGCUACUGAUUGUUGUCAGUGGGAAAGGGUUGAGUGCAGCAACACCACAGGCCGAGUGAUAGCGCUAGACCUUUUUGAAAUGUAUUCGGGAGAGUACAGCUGGUAUCUGAAUGCUUCUUUGUUUACUCCCUUCCAACAACUUGAGUCACUUGAUUUAACUGCCAACAAAAUAGCCGGUUGUGUUGAGAAUGAAGGUGCUUCGUUUAAUUUAAUUAAUUUACUUUCUCCCCCCUAAUUUAAGUUGAAUAUCAAGACCGAGCAACUAUACGCAUAUUCAUUUAGUCGACAAUUUUGACUUUUUUUUAAGUGAUUAAUUAAUUUUAAAAUUACACCAAUAUCUAUGAUCUUUUUUUUUUUUAAUUUUGCUUGCAGGUCUAGAGAGGCUAUCAAGAUUGAACAACUUGAAGAUGCUUAAUUUAAGUGAAAACUCUUUGAACAAUAGCAUUUUAUCAUCUCUAACUCAUCUUUCAUCAUUAAGCUCAUUAAAUUUAUUUUUAAAUAGAUUGGAAGGAAGUAUUGACUUUAAAGGUACAUAAUUAAAACUUCAUCCCUUCUCCAAGCUCUUUCAUUAACUUGCUAAAAUAAGACUCAAGGCUUUGAAUUCAAUUUUUUUUAUGAUUAGUAUUAAAAAAAACAGUUUUAAGCAAUUUAUAAAUACAAGUUUUAAUGGUUAUCGUAAUUUCAUCUUGUAAUUUCAUAUGUCUUGAAUUUAAGAUUAAAAAAAACUCUAAUAGCGAACCAAACACCUCCACAACUUAUUAUUAUUAUUAUUAUUAUUAUUAUUUGUGGUGAGGUUGGAAACAUUCAACUUAAUUUGUACUUAUUACAGAAUUUGAUUCUUUGAGAGAUUUAGAGGAGCUAGACAUUGGCGGGAACAAGAUUGACAAAUUUGUGGUCUCAAAAGGUACUACAAAUACCACAAAAAAUGUAAACUUUUACAAAUUAGCUGGAUUCUUUGCCAUUUGGUUUAUUAUUUUACAGGUUUGAGUAAGUUGAAGUCUCUUGAUUUAAGUGGUAUCAAACUCAACCGUAGUAUCUUAUCUUCUCUAACUGUCUUUUCUUCAUUAAGAGAAUUACAUCUACGUAAUAUCAUAUUCAAAGGAACAUUUGAUGUUCGAGGUAAGCCUAAGCCUUGCUUUCUCAUUUUCUAUAUGCCAACUAGAUUUGUGUAUCAUCGGCAUAAUUUAAUAUUUAAUUUGAUAAGUCUGAAGGAAUUACAUGCUAAUUUAAACAUACUUUUAUUUACUUUGUCAAUUAAUUAAUUAAUUAAUUACUAUUUGACAUUGGACGGUUCCUCUCUCCAUAUAAGCCUUCUGCAAAGCAUUGCAUCAUUCACUUCGUUAAAAAAUCUGUCGAUGUCUGAUUGUGAAGUCAAUGGUGUCCUACGUGGUCAAGGUAAAAGAAAAGUGUUGAUUGUGAAUAAGCUGUUAAUUAAUUAAUGUUGUUGCUCCUUGCUUCUAAACAGAGUUGCGCAAUUUCACCAACUUGGAAUAUUUGAAUUGGAUUCUUCCUCGCUCCAUAUAAGCCUUCUACAAUUGCUUGAACAAUUUAUUUAUUUAUUUAUUUAUUAUUAUUGUUGUUGUUGUUGUUGUUGAAGUGGGGUGGGCAAGCGUUCACUCAGUUAAUAUGUGGGGAAUUAAAUAUUACAAUCCAAGGUAGAAUUGUGGAAAAUUAAAGCUAAAUGAGAAAUAUGGAAAGAAAGGAAGAAAGUUAAGGGCAUGAAAGACUGGGAGAAUACUAAAAACCACCAAAUAAGUCAACUGAAAACUAGCUGAGGCCUGGGUGUACAAAUUGUUAGAUGUGUUUGUUAUAAAUAACAUAGAGCCAUCUUGUUGGUUGCAGAGGCAGAGAGACAGAGAGUGUGCAUUUUGUCCAGUUAAAAAUGAUAAAAUUUAUCAUUUGUUUAUAUUGAUUUAUUAACUCUAUUUUAAGUCUUAAGUCUUGGCGUCUUGGCAUGUUUGCAGAAUUUGAUUCCUUGAGCAACUUAGAGGAGUUGGACAUGAGCGGCAAUGAAAUAGACAAUUUCGAGGUUCCUCAAGGUACACAAUUAAAAUAUUAUUUAAUUACAUUAAUUUAAUUCGUUUGAUUAGGGAAGGCCCAAAAUGUACAAAAACAUAAUUAGAAAAAAUAAAGAAACAGAGAAUUCAUAUUAUUUCAAAUAACAAAAGGUAAUACUAUUAUUUCAAAAACAGAUUGUAAUAAAGAUUUGAUUCCAAUUCUUUAAUCUUUACAGUGAUUGAAAAACGAUACUACUUCCCAAAGCAUAAAAUACGAAUUGACUCUCAAUUAAAUUAAUCAUUUAUUUCGUUUAGGUCUAAAUUUAGAAAAAUGAAUUUUGAUUCUCUUGAAUCAUUUCCUAAUUAUUAUUAUUCAACAGGUUACAGAGGUUUGAGGAAGCUGAAAAGCCUGCAUCUAUCGGGAGUUGGAAUUAGAGAUGGAAGCAAGUUGUUACAGUCAAUGGGAUCAUUUCCAUCCCUCAACGCUCUUUACCUGAGCAAUAAUAAUUUUACCGGUACAACGUCAACUACUCAAGGUAAGUAAAAGGUACAGAUGUGGCCAAAUUUAUAAAUAAACUGUUAAUUAAUUAAUUUUCUGUAUUAUUAAUAAAGCUAAAUUUUUUGCUCAUUCCUUCUAAUUCUAAACAGAGUUGCACAAUUUCACCAACUUGGAAUAUUUGACAUUGGACGAUUCCUCUCUCCAUAUAAGCCUUCUGCAAAGCAUUGCAUCAAUAUUCCCUUCGUUGAAAAAACUGUCGAUGUCUUAUUGUGAAGUCAAUGGUGUCGUACAUGGUCAAGGUAAAAGAAAAGUGUUGGUUGUGCACUCACUCAGUGGUGUCCUACGUGUUCAAUAUUUUUAUUUAUUUAUUUUAUUGUUUAAUGAGAUGCUUCCACCCUCCCCUUUAAAUCUAUAAUAUUAAUUUUCGAUUAAUAUAUAAUUAUAGAAACCAAUCACUUAUAAAAGAAUGCUAUGCAUUUGCCAAUUUUUUUAUAUUUUACUGAUUGAUGAAUUAAUAAAUUUUCAGGCCUCUGUUCGUUGGUGCAUCUACAAGAGUUGUACAUUGCAACUCUUGUAGUAAUUAAUUAAUUAAGUAUUAGUUAAUUAAUUAAUUAAUUAAUUUUCUGUAUUAUUAAUAAAGCUAAUUUUUUUGCUCAUUCCUUCUAAUUCUGAACAGAGUUGCACAAUUUCACCAACUUGGAAUAUUUGGCAUUGGACUCUUCCUCUCUCCAUAUAAGCCUUCUGCAAAGCAUUGCAUCAUUAUUCCCUUCAUUAAAAAAUCUGUCGAUGUCUAGUUGUGAAGUCAAUGGUGUCGUACGCAGUCAAGGUAAAAGAAAAGGGUUGAAUGUGAACUCACUCAAUGGUGUCCUACGUGUUCAACAUUUUUAUUUAUUUAUUUUAUUGUUUAAUCUUUCUGCUAGGUUUUCCUCAUUUCAAGAGUUUGGAACAUUUUGACAUGGAUUUCACGCGCAUUGCACUCAACACUAGCUUUAUUGCACUCAACACUAGCUUUCUUCAAAUCAUCAGUGAAUCGAUGCCUUCUCUUAAGUACUUAUCACUAUCAUAUUAUACUCUUGGAACUAAUAGCAGCGGGACUCUUGAUCAAGGUUAACGAGAUGCUCCCACCCUCCCCUCCUAAUCUAUAAUAUUAAUUUUUUAUUUAAUAUAAUUACACAAACGAAUCACUUAUAAAAGAAUGAUAUGCAUUUGUUAAUUUUUUUAUUGUACUGAUGGAUGAAUUAAUAAAUUUUCAGGCCUCUGUUCGUUGGUGCAUCUACAAGAGUUGUACAUUGCAAGCAAUGAUUUAAGAGGUAGCUUGCCUUGGUGCAUGGCAAAUAUGACAUCCCUCAGAAUAUUAGAUGUUUCUUCUAAUCAACUUACUGGAAGCAUCUCCUCAUCUCCCCUCGUUCAUUUGACAUCCAUUGAAGAGCUGAUGCUUUCAAACAAUUACUUCCAGAUCCCAAUUUCACUUGAACCACUUUUCAAUUACUCAAGACUCAAGAUUUUCAAUGCUGAGAACAACGAAAUAAAAGCUGAAAUAACUGAGUCACAUUCUUUGAUCGCCCCAAAAUUCCAAUUAAAUACUCUCUCAUUGUCUUCCAAUUACGGAGACGGUUUCAUAUUCCCCAAAUUCCUUUACCAUCAACAUGACCUGGAGUAUGUUGAUCUCUCACACAUAAAGAUGAAUGGAGAAUUUCCAAAUUGGUUGUUGGAAAACAACACAAAAUUAGAAACUCUUUUUCUGGUUAAUGAUUCUCUUGCAGGACCUUUUCGGUUGCCAAUUCAUUCACACAAGCGGUUAAGACAGUUGGAUGUCUCCAACAACAACAUUCGAGGCCACAUUCCAGUAAAAAUUGGAGAUGUUUUACCAAGUUUAUACGUUUUCAACAAUUCCAUGAAUGCUUUAGACGGUAGCAUUCCCUCUUCAUUUGGUAAUAUGAAAUUCCUCCAAAUUCUGGACUUAUCCAACAAUCACUUGACUGGUGAAAUCCCCGAGCACUUGGCCGUGGGUUGCGUCAACUUGCAGUUUCUUGCAUUAUCAAAUAACAACCUACAAGGUCAUUUGUUCUCUAGAAAUUUUAACUUGACAAACUUGCAAUGGUUACAAUUGGAGGGCAAUCGCUUCGUAGGUGAGAUCCCACAAAGUUUGUCUAAAUGCUCCUCACUAGAAGGAUUGUACCUUAACAAUAAUAGUCUUUUAGGUAAGAUUCCACGAUGGUUGGGUAAUCUGACACGGUUACAAUAUAUUAUAAUGCCCAAUAAUCAUCUUGAAGGCCCUAUUCCAGUGGAGUUUUGCCAGCUUGAUUCGCUUCAGAUUUUGGACAUUUCAGACAACAACAUAUCUGGAAGUUUACCAUCUUGUUUCCAUCCUCUCUCUAUCAAACAAGUUCAUCUUUCAAAAAAUAUGUUACAUGGACAGCUAAAAAGAGGUACAUUCUUUAAUUGCUCUUCCCUUGUGACAUUAGAUCUUAGCUAUAACCGCUUGAAUGGCAGCAUUCCGGAUUGGGUUGAUGGGCUUUCUCAGUUAAGCCACCUUAUCUUAGGUCACAAUAAUCUUGAAGGUGAAGUGUCAGUUCAAUUGUGCGAAUUGAACCAACUACAAUUGUUAGAUCUUUCUAAUAAUAAUCUUCACGGUCCUAUUCCUCCUUGCUUUGAUAACACCACACUUCAUGAAAGUUACAGCAAUAGUUCUAGUCCUGAUGAGCAAUUUGAAAUAUUUUUUUCCAUCGAAGGCCAUCAGGGAUUUUUAGAAAAGCAAAACCAUGAAAUUUUUGAGUUCACAACAAAGAACAUUGCGUACAUUUACCAAGGAAAAGUGCUUAGCCUCCUAUCAGGACUUGAUCUUUCUUGCAACAAGCUAAUUGGUCAUAUUCCUCCUCAAAUUGGAAAUUUGACAAGGAUUCAAACAUUGAAUCUCUCGCACAAUAACUUGACAGGAUCGAUCCCAUCAACAUUUUCAAACUUGAAGCAUGUCGAAAGUUUGGAUCUUUCCAACAACAAAUUGAAUGGGAAAAUCCCUCAUCAACUAGUGGAGUUAAAGACAUUGGAGGUUUUCAAUGUGGCAUACAAUAACUUAUCAGGCGAAAUUCCAGAAUGGAAAGCACAAUUUGCAACCUUCAACGAGAGUAGCUAUGAGGGAAAUACUUUUCUUUGUGGACUGCCAUUGCCCAUUUGCAGAUCACCAGCAACUAUGCCGGAGGCUUCAAUUGGCAAUGAACAAGAUGAUAAUUUAAUUGAUAUGGACAGUUUCUUUAUCACAUUUACAACAUCGUACGUAAUUGUGAUAUUCGGAAUUGUUAUUGUUUUAUAUGUAAAUUCUUAUUGGCGACGUAGAUGGUUUUACUUUGUUGAAAUGUGGAUAACUUAAUGUUACUAUUUUGUUGUAAACAAUCUUAUUGCAACAAGAUAUUGUCAUUGAAAUUAAUUAGCAGUUUAAUUACGAUUCUUUAAGUUCUAAUCAAGUUUGCUUAGGAAAUAAUUUUUUUUUUAUUUUUUUAUUAAAAUUGUAGUAGUAUUUAGCGCUAUAUAGCUUCCAACUUGGUAGAAAGCUCCAUUUUUUGUUGGCUACAGUAAAAGCAUGUUGUUUUAUUCUUCUUAUACUUUACGCCUGCAUCAGCUUAAAUCACUUCUUAAACGCUUGCUUUAACUGCACCGCUUCGUACUGCUCUAUAUAUGUAACGGUUAUGCGGUUGUAGCUCACGGCUCAAGCUACGCGUUUGUUUGACGUGGUAGUUACGUUAUGAUGUUUCGAGUCUGUUAAACAUUCGGUGAUAAGAUUAGUUACAACAAACCUACUAGUUUUAUAAAAUUCAAGUGAGAUGGAAUAAAAUAAAAAAUAAAUAUAAAAUUGGCUUUUAUUUUUUAGGUUAACCAUAUUUUGUGUUCUCUUCGGGCACUACUACAAUUGUUCCCUAUACAUCAGUUACACUCACGUAUCAUCGACACGAAAAAUGAAAUCUAAUAUCACCUGUUUAGUUAAAGAAUCACUCAUGAAAAAAAAUUACCAUUUUGAUUUGAAGAUCCAUAUUUUGAACUACCAAUUAAUGUUCAUCAAGAACAGAGUGUGGCCGUUAAGUAGAAAAACUAUUUUUGGACAAAUUAUUAAAUUCCAAUAUUGUAUCCAUAUGCAAACGAUGCCUGAAGCAGAGCCUCCAAACAAUGACCAGGGCACAAAACAAGAGUGUAGUAAUCAAGUGUAUUGUCUCAUAAUCAAUUAAAAGCAGAUAUACAGGAUACCAUAUUCAAUUCCAAAAUAACAAAAGCAUAAUGAGGAUGAGAAGAACAAUGAUCACUCAAAUAUUUCUUCACUUUGGUUGUCAAUUAUCUAUUCAAAUUAAUCAGUGUCAUUAUGGACUUAUUUAUUUAGAAGAGCGGGUGAUAAAUAUAUUCAAUAAUGUGAACAAGAAGUUGAUUAACUUUUAUGAUCAUUUGGAAGGUCGGCGUGUCAUCACUCGUCAAACACAUUGCAUCGAUCCACCAGCAUGAACCGACCGGAUUAUGCCCAAAAGUUGAAAUAUCAAUAAAAAAAACAAUUAAUUAAAGGUCGAAGAUGGGUCCUUUACAUAUGUUUUUGUUUUCGUAUUAGGUAGGAGGUUAUUAUAUUAUAUCAUGUAAUUAAUUUAUUAUUACUCAACACUAAGUAAUAACUUAACUAUAUAAAGACAACAAGAAGAUAAAAUGAUAUAUAAAAAAAAAAAGAAUUUCAAAGAGAUAGCAACAUACAAUAGACUGAAGCCAUUUGAUCUGCUCAUUGAUUUCAGCCUUAAACUUGUAAAUAGUUACUGUCAAAUAUUCUAUUCAUACGAAAAAAAUGUUUAGAUAUCUUACUAUAAAUAUAGCCGUUUGACUGUCUUAAUAAAGUCACACACAACCAUUCUUAUUAAAUUAGCAAGAUCAAACACUGCCCUGGAUCUUGAACAGAUCAACACAAGAUGCACAACUUAUGAUUGAACCCAGAAACAAUCAAAUCUUUAGCAAGAACAAUUAAUCAGAGUCAAGAAACAAGUUUAAUGAAUAUAAACCUAUAAUUGAAACAAACAUAGCCAAGAAAAAAAUACAGAUUUUACACGGUUCAGUUGUACCUAGGAUGGCACAACCUACACCACGAGAGAAGCUUUCUGGUGAGAUUUUAUUGAUGAUCAAAGAAGAAUCUUUUGACAAAGCUAAUAAUAGAGAUUUCAGAGAAUAAGCUGUAACCCUCUCUCCCUCUUCAAUCUCUCUCUAUUUUGUUCCCAUUGAUGACCCCAAUCUGCUUAGUUAUCCAGCUUUAUAGCUGCAUCAGUAACAAACCAGCAAACCCAGAUUGAGCAGAUUGACGACACGUGGAUAACGGCUUUAACGAACCUGGUUAAGAACUGCUCACAUGUUCGUCACGCGUGCUGCUUAAAUGAUGGCCAAAACGACUUCAAACAAAUGUCGUUUUGAGGCUUAUGAAUUACAAGUGAUAACACGAGCUUGUCUCAUGACUUUUAAAUGCAACAACGUGCCCACAACGCCGUCGUUUUACUCUGUUGAGUUUGAUUCAUUACUAAGCUUUACGACUGGCAAUGGAGAAGAUGAUAAUUUAAUUGACACGGACAGUUUUUAUAUCACUUUUACAACAUCCUAUGCAAUUGUAAUAUUGGGAAUUAUUGAUGUUUUAUUCUGUGAAUCCUCAUUGGCAAAAACUAGUGGUUUUAUCUUUGUUGAAAUAUAGAUGACCUCUCGUUACUGUUUUAUUAUAAACAUAUAGUUUCGUAAGUGAAACUAUAUGUUUAUAAUAAAAUUAACAUAUAGUUUUGUUACAUUUCUGCCUCAUUAAGAUUCUCAAAUACCAGUCAGGUUUGCUUAAGAAAUAAAUUUUUUCCAUUAAAAUUGCAGUAGUAUUUCCAAGCAUAUCGCAUUUUCUAUGAGUUUUCAUAAAUUAAUUAAUCUGCGGUGCCAAUAUCAGAUUUAGUUUUUCAAACUAAAUAAUCAAGAAAGCAAACAUACAAAUAUACAGUUUAGAGGGGUAAACUAGGUAGGUGGUUUAGAUUUUAGAACUAAGCCAGCUACCUCGCUAAAUUCCGAUUCGUACAGUGAACUGCAAGAAACUGAGAAAACAAUGUAUUUAUAAUUUAAUAGAAUCAUAAGAAAACAAUGCAGUCAUUGCUCAAUAUAAGAUGAUGAUUUCGGAGAGGCACAUUGUUUUCAAGUUAAUUUGAUCCGUUUAUAAGAGAUGAAGUGGAAUGAAGUUGAAAGUUUAAAUAACAAAUCCUUGUUCUUGAGUUUUACGACGUCGUUACUCCUUCAAGUGGCAGAUUAUGCAAGUGAAUGCAGAAACACAAUGCAUCAUCCGCGGGGAUGAUACAUCAAAAGGCGGGAUUUGUUUAUGCCUGCAGAUUAGCAAUUUCACUCAUAUAGAAAAUUAAUUUUUUAUAUAUACUAAUCAACACUAAAUUGAUUAUGUGUUGUAUGUUUAUAUGCUAAUCAACACGAAAUUAUAUUGAAUUAUUAACAUUCAUAUUCCUAAUAAAAAUUAUUUUCCAUCAGUAUUCAAAAUUUUCACUUAUAGAAAAUGCGUUUUACGUGAAUACUAGUUAUUGUGUAAAUUUGAAUGAUAGCGAAAAAUAAACCUAUUUGAAAACUGUAAGGGUGUGUUGGGAUAUUUUACAACUGUCGGAAUCUGGUAGGAUAUUGCACCAUUUGCCCAAUAUUUUUAGACGUACUCCAACCGGUAUUCAAGAUAAGUAAAAUUUACAAGCGUGGCAAAAUAAAAAAAAAUUAAAUUCGUAACUUGUAAACGAAUUUUCCUGACAUGUAUAGUAAAUGAAGUUGUUGAUCCUUUCUUUGGAUUAUUUCAGCUCUGGUUGUUGGUCACCGAUGAGCCGAAGUCUUAUUUUAAUUUUAUUUAAACUCAUCAUAAGAUUCGUGGAGCACCUAACUAACUUAACUGACUGCGCAGAUCAUCUCAACAUGGCAUAUUUAACCAUCAUUCAAGUGAUGGGUUUAAUAAGACUGCUUUUGUUCUAUCAACUAUCAAGUUCCUCUGCCUCUAAGCAGAAUUACUAUUGAAGGGCCAAAAGGAAAAUGAAAACGUGUGAGCUCCAACAACCACCCCACAAAUUCAAUGACGAUGCUCGGAGAGGGUUAGGUUGGGCCUCUGAGAAAAAAAAAAAUUAUUUUGUUAAAAAGUUACCCUUAUUGAAACCUGUAUAAACAUUUUAUAUUAAUUAGUUAUGUCGCCUCUUCAACGAUGAUCAAAUUCUUAUCUGAGCUCAUCAUUUAAUGAGUAAACAUGUAUUUUAAUGAUCUCAAUUAAUAUUUAGAACAAAUAUUUUAAGAAGUAAAGCUCAUUAUAUCUUCCAUUAUUAUGUAUUUCUUUAAUUUCUUAUUUACAUAAUUAUAUUGUACAUUAAAAAUGUAUUGAAUUUGAAGAAAAAAAAAUUCAACUCAAAAAAAAAAAAUGCUGGUAGCUUCGUAAUAAUUACUGUAUUGACUGCACCAGAUAAAGUUUUGUAAAAUAAUAAGUUCUCAUAAGUGGUUUUUCAUUUUUAAUUUUCUUUUCCGGCACACCUGAUCAAGAAUUCUAUUUUGUUAACUAAUCAAUUGCAAAGCAUAAGUGUUGAACGGUACAAAAAAUUUAAAAAAAAUACACUUAAAACGUGGGGUGGGUAACGGCUCACUCAAAUCGUUAGGUAGAAUUGUGGAAAACUAAAGCGAAAUGAGAAAUAUAGAAAGAAAGGAAGAGGUGAUGUUUUUCUAUGAAUUUCUAUGGGUAACGGCUCACUCAUCCUUCUAUGAAUUUCUAGCUGUAUUGACCCCAACUGCUAAAGUUUUGUAAAAUAAAAAUAAAAAUAAAAAACUGGAAUUUCAACAAAAUUCAAAACGUUUGAAAUUUAAUUUUUGGCCAUGUGGAACAAAAUGUAAAUUAAGUAAAAAAUAUAAAUCUCAAUUGCUUAGUAUGGUUAGGAUUUUGUGAGCAUCACUAAAAAGUGAAAACUAUGAAUGAUAGAGGUGAUGUUUGCAACAUGAAUAAAUGAUGAACUGAAUCAAUUGAUGAUCGUAAUUACAUAAUGAACAAAAUUUACAAAAUCAACAAAAGUUAAUAAAAAAUUAUUUUAAUAAUAAAAAAUCAAUAAAACUUAUUAUUUAAGGGCGCUCUAACCAUGGAAUACCAUAAUCAUAAUCUUCUUUUAAGAAAAUUAUAACUUAUUAUUUUACAGGAUUGAUCCAUUUGGAAUGAAGUGGUCUCAAGUUGAAAGUAAUUAAUUUAUUGAAUAACUUUCGACUUAUUAAUAGUUAUAUCAAAGGGUGUUUUACCUCAUCAUGUCUUCAAGUGGAAGAUGAAGACUAUGCAAGUGAAUUCAGGAAUAUUGCAUGCCUGUUGUCUAAAGCAUUACCUCACAAGGUUUCAUGAGAAACGAAAGAUGUGUUUGCUUUGAACAAUUAAAGUUACUGCUACGAACCUCCCCAAAGGUCAAGAAGACAGAACAGGAAGCUAAUGCCAUCAAUGUCUUGUUCAUUAUAGCUGCUGGGUAGUUAGGUGUAGUUUCCUCAUUUGAAGCUGUCUAUACAUAGGCAUUUCCCCUGCUUAUGUACAAAUAAAUGAACAACCUUGAAGCUUUAUUAUUCGCAACAAAAAGGGAUUACUAAUUGGAGAAGACAAUACAGAGUUUUCUCUCACACUUUCUCUCUGUCAAUUUCAUCCAGAAGUCCCUCUGAAAGCUUCUCCCAAAACAGUUAGUCAUCUUUUAUGCUCUGUUUUCUGAAAACAGAGUCCUAACUAAAUUAAUUGACUGUACAGUGCAUUUCAACAUAGCAUAUUUAACCGUUUUAACAGUUAUUUGGACCGUCUUCAGAGGUAACAUCAACAAACUCAUUCAUAUGCUUAAUAAUGAACGAAUAGUCUUGGAUCGAUGUUUUGCAGCAAGAGCAACACGACACAAUCUGGAUUCAACCUCCUCCUUUCUAACAGGGGAUUUCGAUUUGAGUUACUUUGUGCUCAAGCAAAUUCACAUCAUAGUUUUGAUUCUUUAGAUAUGAAUUCAUCUCAUUACAUAUAUCAGAUUAAGUGUAACAAAAUUUGUAAUUUACUGCGAAAAGAAUAUGCACUAAAAAAUGAUUUCAAGACUAUUUGACUACAAAAAGCAGCUGUCAGAGUGCACUAAAAAUUUCUGUAGGAUAUUUUGUAGCUGUUUAAUAUGUUAUGAUGGGCAUAUAAUUCUCAAAUUUUGAUGCCUCUCAGCGAAAAAUAUAUCAAAGUUACGGAUGAUAUCACGUAAAACAUGCAUGGCUCAGGCUCAGGCUCAGGUAAGAAAGCCACAGAAAAGGAAAAUCUCACUGUCACGACUCACGUCACGCAUCAUUCAAGUGAUGGAUUUAACAAGACUGCUUAUGUUCUAUCAAAUUCCUCUGCCUCUCAGAAGAUAACUUUUCUGGGCCAAAUUUCUCAUCUAAAGCAUAUUAUGCCCCAAAGUCACAGAUAACAAAAUGGGGCACUACCGAUUAUGAAAGAGAACUAGUAGUUGUCAGAAGCCUAAGCCAAAUUCCGGUAGUAAGAAGAGGCCUUUCUUGAGUUUAGAUUAUGUGUUCGAGUUUUAAUAAAUGCCUAAGUUAAUAAUAAUAACAACAGUAAUAAUAAACUAAAAAGCAUAAUUACUAUUGAAUGGUAAAAAAAAAAAUGAAAAUGUGUGAACUCCAAUAACCACCCCAGUGGCGAAUUUUGGAGAGGGCUAGGCCGGGCUUCUUAGAAAUUAUUUUUAUUUAAUUACAAAAUCACCUUUACUGAAACCUAUAUAAAAUUUUUUAUAUUAAUUAAUUAUGUUGCCUCUUCAAUUAUCAUUAAAUUCUUGUCCGUUCAUAAUUUGAUGGACAAAUGUGUAUUUCAAUAAUUUCAAAUAAUGUCUAGAACAAAUAUUUUGAAUUAUAAAACUCAUUAUGUCCUGCAUUACUAGAUGUAUCUAUAAUUUAUUAUUUACAAAUUAUAUUGUAUGAUAAAAAUGUAUUGAAUUUUUUUUUAAAAAAAAAGUUCGGCUCACUCAGAAAAAAAUGUUAUUAGCUUCGCCACUGCACAAAUCUAGAAUAAUAAUUAUUCCUUAUUAUAUUGACUGCACCAAGCAAUAAACUAAUAAGUUCUCAUCAGUGGUUUUUAAUCUUUUUAAUUCUUUUUACCGCACACCUGAUCAAGAAUUUUAUUUUGUUAACUAAUCAAUUGCAAAGCAUAUAUAAGUGUUGAACGGUACACAAGAUUGGAAAAAAAAAUCUUAAAAAACGUGCGGAUUCGGGUGGCCACACCAGAAAUCUAUUACAAUAAUUAGCUUUGAUGCUGGGAAUCUUUUAAUUUCUGGCCGUAUUGAAGUUUUUAAAAUAACAAGUUCCCCUUCUCGUUUUUUUUUUUUUUAAAUAUAUAUGCUUAUAACAAUUUUAGAAUAAUGAUUCAUUUGUAGAAGAACUUAUGAUUUCCCAUUAAUAUUAAUAUUGAAGUGGGGUGGGUCAAAUCUCAAUUGCUUGAAGAAUUUAUGUAUUAUUAAAUAUUACCAUCCAAGGUAGAAUUGUGGAAAAUUAAAGCAAAAUGACAAGUAUGGAAAGGAAGGCUGAAAGUAAGGCAUGACGAAAGGCUUUGAGAAGGCUGAAGACUACCAAAGAAGUCAACUGAAAACUAGCUGGGGCCUGAGUGUAUAAAUUGUUAGAUGCGUUUGUUAUAAAUAACAUAGAGCCCUUUUGUUAUUUAUAGUUAUAGAGAAAGAGAGAAUGUGUGUUUUUUAAUAGUUAGAGAUAUAGCUAGAAUGGGUUGCUCAAAAUCCAAAAUAGUGACAAUGUUAGUUCUCGUAUUGAUAAUAUUGGGGGGGGGGGGGGGGGGGGGGGGGGGGGGGUGUUGGGAGGUCGAGUGAGGGAUGUUUGGAGCAUGAGCAAUUUGAUCUUUUGCGGCUUAAACAUUUCUUCAAUUAAUAUCGAUCUGGGAGAGUGGUAUCUGAAUGCUUCUCUAUUUACUUCCUUUCAACAACUUUGGUAACAAAAUAGCCGGCUGCAUGCGUUGAGAAUGAAGGUGCUUCAUUUAAUUUAAUUUACUUAAUUUCUCCCUCCUAAUUAAUGUCUAUAAUCAUUAGGAGGAACAAGGGAUUUUAUUAACUCAAAUAUAUCUAAUGGAGCUCAUUCUUUGGUUUUACUUGCAGGGCUAGAAGCAGGUGUCAUCUAACAGCUGCUUUGAUAAUUUCCCUCCCCUUCAUCUUUGAUGGAAAGAUGAAAUAAAAACAAAUUGGUGAAAAUGGUAUUGGUACCUGAGGCUAUGUAAUCUAAUUCAAAAACUGCACCAUCAAAACGAUUACAUAAGUCUCAGAAGAAUCAAAUAUCAGUUUGCAAAAUAUCAAUUGCUGGAGGUUUGAUUCUAACUUCCGCUCUUCAUUUUUAUGGGCAUAUUGUGUUGUACUUGGCAUCCGAAAAUCAUAUUUUAGUUUACUUGCACUCAAUGCUUGGAUUAAAGUUUUUUUUUGGGGGGGGGGGAUUGAAGAAGACUAAAAUUACACCAAAAAAGAGUUGAGCGAGAGCGGGUUUUGUCUUCAUUUAAGGAGCUCUUUAUAAAUUUUGGGAUUUUUUUCCUGAGAAAAUUUAUGCCAACUCAUUCUUUGCUUCUUUUCUGAAGGGACACAUGCAACCGAAAGUAUAUUCUUGAAUUCUCCAGGAUAAGAGACAUACGUUUAGAUUCUGGAGCAUUUAAAACAAUGUCAAAUUUUAGAUUGCUGAAAUUUUAUAUAUCCGAGUAUGAUGGUGUUCCAAUUAUAAGCUCCAGGGUGCAACUUCACUGAGGUUUAGAAUGCCUUCCUAUAGAAUUGAGAAAUCUCCAUUGGCAUAAAUAUCUUUUUGAAAAUACUGACAUCAGAUUUUGAAUUGGAGAACCUGAUUGGACUCAGCUUGCCCUGUAGUAAGGUUAAGCAAAUUUGGAAAAGAGAAAAGGUAUAAUGUAUUACUAUUACCAAAGUAUCUAUUUUUCUUUCUUUAAGUAUUUAUAAUGAAUAACUUUGAAAUUCAAUGAUGCUCAUUUAGUAUAGUUAUGUAUCUUUGGUUAUAGGAAGCUGUCAAGUUAAAAUCUAUAGACCUUCACCACCCCUUUAUCUCAAUAGGAUCCCAGAAAUACUAAAUCUUAAAAAAAUAAAUCUUUCAAAUUGUGAAAGCAUGCUUACGUUACCCCCGUAUAUCCACAAUUUCAACUAGCUGAGUAUGUUGUGUUUCAGGGAUGCAAAAUUCAUUUUGUUUCUCAUUGAAAGGAUUGACUUGUCCGGAUGUAUUAGGGUUAGUAAACCAACUAAUCCCAUAAUUUGUUGAUGUAGGGUCCUAACAAAUUAUUGCAGUAGAUUGUAGAUCAGUACACUAUUCGAAAACGUAUUUGAUCCACACAGUGAAGUGGAUAUUGGACCAAUUUGAUGAUAAUGAAUUUCUUUCAAUCUCAAUCUUUUUUCUUUUUAGCAACAUGACUAGUCAUUGUGCAAAUUCAAACUCUGACAAUAAUUUCUCAAUCGGUUUCUAAGAUGAUGACCAUGCAUGUAUAUGUAUAUUGCGUGUGUAUAUGUGUGUGUGUGUAGAGAGAGAGAGAGAGAUCACACGUGUGUGAUUUCCUUUUGCCAAUAGGAUAUGCAAGAGAGCUUGAUCUUACCCAAUAGCGAAACAAACUUCCUAAUAAGUGAAGGUAUAGUAUAAAUACUUAUACUUUCAUGUUAUUUUGUUCAUCAGUAGCUUGAUUAUUUUAUAUGCGUCUUCGAUUUUAAUUUUCUUUCCCUAUAAUCGCUAUUAUCUUUGAACUGGUCAUAAUUUGCCCAUAAGAUUUCUCAUGUUGUUUUGAGGUGCAACGGAUUUUGAAUUAGUGACAAGCAGUGGAAGCCAGAAGGCAAAUUAUGAAAAUGGAUAAAGAUCUAUAAUUAGCUGUUAUGGGAUGUCACAUAUCAUAUUGAUGGUAACGUUAUAUAUAUGUACAUAUAAUUAAUGGGGUUGGCUCACGAGCCCAUUAAUUAAUGGUUAUAUUAGCUUAUAUACUUCAAACAAUGUACUAUGAAGCAAUUUCACAAAUACUUGUUAGCUUAUGUUGAGCUUUAUUGAAUCAGUAGUUCACAGUUCAAUAAAAUGCAGGUUUGCUAUUUGAAGUACAUGGUUAUGGUGCGUACAUUCUUCAUAAGGCUAACUACUAAUUUAUCAUUGAAACUUGAAAAAUGUGAUAGAGAGAUGUAGAUAACAGCCGCAAAACACUGAAUUGAAAAUCAGGGCUACUAAAUUCUAUUAAAAGUCCUUAAAAUAGACAGCGAUCACCCUGAAAUGUAUAUACUGAAACUAAGAAAAUAUUAAUCGCAAAGUUAUGCAUUAAUAGAACUAUUGACUACUUAUCUUUAGCAUAAAGUAUAUUUUUAACUACAGCUUUCUGCUUUGUUCUAAGAACUAGGCAAAAGUGGUGUAUCUUCAAUCCAAUCAACAUAUAUACCACUUAUCUUCCUCUUCACUUCUGUCUAUUUUGAUUUGCACUUCAUAUCCUGCACUUGCUGCUUAGAAAUAGUCUUUAUUCUGGACAUUUGAAAGUAGAAAAAGUACUUGAAACAAUCAUUGGCACAGCCCGAGAUUCCAUUGAAUCGUGGACUCCAAGCUUUCAUAGUUCUAUAAAGAAGAUGACAAAACUUCAUACAACUGGCAUUCUGCUUUUAACAUUUGCACAACCUGAGCGAGUUAGCAAGCCCCUUGUUGCGUUCCCAUUGAAUAGACCUACUUCUGUUAUCCGCAGAAGAUCCACCACUCAAAAUGUUUAUCACCAGGCUAUUCCUUAAAACUGAGCCUAAACUGAGUAGAACUUCCGCACAUCUCUCAGCAUUUACAUGAAGAAAUCGGACAACUAUCCUCAUCUCUCAGCACAUCUCUUCAGCAUUCUACAAAGUUGCAUUUCACUAAGCAAUCUAUCCUCUCCAUUCCUAGCAAAGUGACAUUGAUUCCCGUAUUUGUAAUCGCCUAACUUGGGUUUUGGGCAUAGCGUGGUCUUAAAAUUACCACCCCAAUACUUUGUUCAGUGCCACUGGCAUCCACAAGCUCUAGCCCUGUUAGUUGAAUCAUAUUCAAUGGGACAGUGAGGCAGCAUUUCACUAACAUUAUUCAAUUUGACUACUUAUAUUGACGCAAAUAUUAGAAUUUGAAAUCACUUCUUUUAUUGGAAUAUUAUAUUAAUAUGACCCCAAAUGAAAGUUCUUGAAUGGAAAUGAUUUUUAUUUACUUUUCGAACAGAUUCAAGAAAAACCCAGGAGAACACAAAAUUUACACAGUAAUAUGAUUAAGAGCUGAGAACGUAUAUGUAGUAAAUGUCUAUCAAAAACACCCAAGGGUUUCUUUAAAAAUUAGUAACUAGUAAACAAAAAGAAAGAAUCAUUUUACAUUUUUAGCAACUUUGGGGUGAGUGAGUGAGUGAGAAAUUGAAACCCUCAAGUGAUGACAACAGUAAGAUUCCAGUAUGAAGUGAAACCCCAAUUUGAAAUGUAGGCAUGAGUUGCUGAGUCAGUAGAUGAAGCUAUAAAUAGGCAUUCGGUUUCCUUCUUUUCGGUUUGGAGGGCCAUGGAAUAGUGUAUUGGAGUGGGCUCCAAGUAAUAGCCUCUAUCACUGGAACGACACAUCUAUAAAAUGUGAUACAUGGGGAAGGAUUGGGCAUUUUAUUCUUAGAUUAGCCCCUUAUUUAGGGUGUAUAUUAAGCAGAUUAUAUAUUACAUGGAGAUGGAGUUUAUGAAAUAGAUUAAAAAGAAAAGGAAAUUUUUGGUGCCCUAAAGUUUGCCACUUGGAAUAUUUCGGUGUCUAAAAAUUCACUCACCACUUAUUUCAUGUUUGAUUAUAUGUUGAAAAGAUAUUAAAAUAGUAUAAUGCUAUUAAGGCUUAACGUAUAUUUUUUAUUAGUAGAGUGGUAGAAUUUUUAAGAAAUAAAUUAUUAAAUUAUUAUAACUAACAUAUUAUUUUAAAGUUGUGUUAUGAAAAAAAUGAAAUAAAAAUGUACAGUAAAUAAGAAUAUUUUAAAACUUUUAUCUUUUUAAAAUUAGUUUUUAACAUAAGGUGAACUAUUUUUUUUUUUUAAAAUCACAUAUUCUAGUUAAAAUCAAAUAUGUAUUUAUACGAAGCUUGUAAAUUUUUUUUUUUAGUACUGAUAUUUUGAAUAUUAUCAAUAAAAAAAAGGUAAUGUUCAUGCUGCAUUAUUUUUGUAGCACACAAAAGGACAACACCGUUUAUGUUAUAAUACUAUCGCUUCUGUUAUGAUAAUUUUUUUUGUGGCCAAAUAUCUUUUUUUUUUUUAAGUAAAAAAAGUGGACAAAAUGCAAAUCAGUUUUUAAUCCUCAAUCUCUCCCAAAAUAUAUAUUUCGGUGUCUAAAAAUUCACUCACAAAACUAUAGCUGACAAAAAGUUACUAACAAAAAGUUAGGUCCAUGGGUUGUUAAAACUAUAGCUGACAAAAAGUUACUAACAAAAACAGAAUGUCCAUUUUAUAACUUUCUUAAAAAACUUUCCUUAACUUUUUUAAACAAAAAGUUAUUUCCAAUUUUUAUUUUGUUAUAAUGUUUAUAACAAAAUUCGUAGUUAACUAAACUCUUCUUAUACCCUUUCUCAACUGCCAUACCCUAACCCACUAAACCACGCUCAAUUAAGGCCAUCAGAUUCUCCGGGCCCACAUUAAUCCAACUGCUCACAGAGACCGACAGCCUCUCUAUCUCCAUUUCAAGCUCCCUCUUCAACUGGCUUCUGCUACCGUCCUACUCUUUCUCGGCUUCGGAGUCCGUAUUUGCUCGGCCUGUCCCACGAAGCUCCCUCUCACUCCAAUUGUCGCCCCACAAGACCAAUUGCUUAAUCAAGACACCGAACAAGAAAAGGAUGAGAAGUUGAAACAAGAAUUUGAGAAUUGGAAAUAAAAACGUACGCAUUGACCGUGCCUUUGAGAGUCGUUUCUCUUCAGAACUCAGUGCCUCAAUCUUGGGUUAAGGAUUUUAUGCGAAGUCAGGGAAAGAGAUUGAAGUUUCAGAUGAAUUUGUGUGCUAGCAUUGAUGGGAUCUUUAACAAUUUAUCUGUGCCCUUUAACAAAGUUAAGGCUAAGUCAGCUUCUUAUAUGGCUGCUGAUUUGGUUAGUGUUGGUGAUUCAUGGCUUAGUUUUGCCAUUAAAAAGAGAUUGAUUGAGCCAAUGGCUGGAGCUGAAGACCAAGAUUGGUUCAAAUGCUUAAGUCACAAAUGGAAGGUAACAUCUUUGUCUUUGAUCCUCGAGGUAAAAUAUGGGCGGCACCGUACAGGUGGGGCACAACGGUGAUAGCCUACAAGAAAAGUAAAUUUCGAAAGCAUAAUUUGGCUCCGAUUGAGGUAAUAAUUUUCUUUAAACUCAUUUAGUUUUAUAUCAAACAAAAUCAAGACUGCCUUUCUCUUCAAUAUUUUUUAUGAUAAUAUCUUUAGAAGCAUCUCAUUGACGGGUAACAAUGGCAUCCCUGAAAGAGUCUAUAAACUCAAUGAUAUUAUCUUCUACAAAUGGUUCAUUAAACUUUGUCGUUGUACUCAAAUGUACACUCAGAUCAAUGAGAAGNNNNNNNNNNNNNNNNNNNNNNNNNNNNNNNNNNNNNNNNNNNNNNNNNNNNNNNNNNNNNNNNNNNNNNNNNNNNNNNNNNNNNNNNNNNNNNNNNNNNNNNNNNNNNNNNNNNNNNNNNNNNNNNNNNNNNNNNNNNNNNNNNNNNNNNNNNNNNNNNNNNNNNNNNNNNNNNNNNNNNNNNNNNNNNNNNNNNNNNNNNNNNNNNNNNNNNNNNNNNNNNNNNNNNNNNNNNNNNNNNNNNNNNNNNNNNNNNNNNNNNNNNNNNNNNNNNNNNNNNNNNNNNNNNNNNNNNNNNNNNNNNNNNNNNNNNNNNNNNNNNNNNNNNNNNNNNNNNNNNNNNNNNNNNNNNNNNNNNNNNNNNNNNNNNNNNNNNNNNNNNNNNNNNNNNNNNNNNNNNNNNNNNNNNNNNNNNNNNNNNNNNNNNNNNNNNNNNNNNNNNNNNNNNNNNNNNNNNNNNNNNNNNNNNNNNNNNNNNNNNNNNNNNNNNNNNNNNNNNNNNNNNNNNNNNNNNNNNNNNNNNNNNNNNNNNNNNNNNNNNNNNNNNNNNNNNNNNNNNNNNNNNNNNNNNNNNNNNNNNNNNNNNNNNNNNNNNNNNNNNNNNNNNNNNNNNNNNNNNNNNNNNNNNNNNNNNNNNNNNNNNNNNNNNNNNNNNNNNNNNNNNNNNNNNNNNNNNNNNNNNNNNNNNNNNNNNNNNNNNNNNNNNNNNNNNNNNNNNNNNNNNNNNNNNNNNNNNNNNNNNNNNNNNNNNNNNNNNNNNNNNNNNNNNNNNNNNNNNNNNNNNNNNNNNNNNNNNNNNNNNNNNNNNNNNNNNNNNNNNNNNNNNNNNNNNNNNNNNNNNNNNNNNNNNNNNNNNNNNNNNNNNNNNNNNNNNNNNNNNNNNNNNNNNNNNNNNNNNNNNNNNNNNNNNNNNNNNNNNNNNNNNNNNNNNNNNNNNNNNNNNNNNNNNNNNNNNNNNNNNNNNNNNNNNNNNNNNNNNNNNNNNNNNNNNNNNNNNNNNNNNNNNNNNNNNNNNNNNNNNNNNNNNNNNNNNNNNNNNNNNNNNNNNNNNNNNNNNNNNNNNNNNNNNNNNNNNNNNNNNNNNNNNNNNNNNNNNNNNNNNNNNNNNNNNNNNNNNNNNNNNNNNNNNNNNNNNNNNNNNNNNNNNNNNNNNNNNNNNNNNNNNNNNNNNNNNNNNNNNNNNNNNNNNNNNNNNNNNNNNNNNNNNNNNNNNNNNNNNNNNNNNNNNNNNNNNNNNNNNNNNNNNNNNNNNNNNNNNNNNNNNNNNNNNNNNNNNNNNNNNNNNNNNNNNNNNNNNNNNNNNNNNNNNNNNNNNNNNNNNNNNNNNNNNNNNNNNNNNNNNNNNNNNNNNNNNNNNNNNNNNNNNNNNNNNNNNNNNNNNNNNNNNNNNNNNNNNNNNNNNNNNNNNNNNNNNNNNNNNNNNNNNNNNNNNNNNNNNNNNNNNNNNNNNNNNNNNNNNNNNNNNNNNNNNNNNNNNNNNNNNNNNNNNNNNNNNNNNNNNNNNNNNNNNNNNNNNNNNNNNNNNNNNNNNNNNNNNNNNNNNNNNNNNNNNNNNNNNNNNNNNNNNNNNNNNNNNNNNNNNNNNNNNNNNNNNNNNNNNNNNNNNNNNNNNNNNNNNNNNNNNNNNNNNNNNNNNNNNNNNNNNNNNNNNNNNNNNNNNNNNNNNNNNNNNNNNNNNNNNNNNNNNNNNNNNNNNNNNNNNNNNNNNNNNNNNNNNNNNNNNNNNNNNNNNNNNNNNNNNNNNNNNNNNNNNNNNNNNNNNNNNNNNNNNNNNNNNNNNNNNNNNNNNNNNNNNNNNNNNNNNNNNNNNNNNNNNNNNNNNNNNNNNNNNNNNNNNNNNNNNNNNNNNNNNNNNNNNNNNNNNNNNNNNNNNNNNNNNNNNNNNNNNNNNNNNNNNNNNNNNNNNNNNNNNNNNNNNNNNNNNNNNNNNNNNNNNNNNNNNNNNNNNNNNNNNNNNNNNNNNNNNNNNNNNNNNNNNNNNNNNNNNNNNNNNNNNNNNNNNNNNNNNNNNNNNNNNNNNNNNNNNNNNNNNNNNNNNNNNNNNNNNNNNNNNNNNNNNNNNNNNAGAGAGAGAGAGAGAGAUCACACGUGUGUGAUUUCCUUUUGCCAAUAGGAUAUGCAGAGAGCUUGAUCUUACCCAAUAGCGAAACAAACUUCCUAAUAAGUGAAGGUAUAGUAUAAAUACUUAUACUUUCAUGUUAUUUUGUUCAUCAGUAGCUUGAUUAUUUUAUAUGCGUCUUCGAUUUUAAUUUUCUUUCCCUAUAAUCGCUAUUAUCUUUGAACUGGUCAUAAUUUGCCUAUAAGAUUUCUCAUGUUGUUUUGAGGUGCAACGGAUUUUGAAUUUAGUGACAAGCAGUGGAAGCCAGAAGGCAAAUUAUGAAAAUGGAUAAAGAUCUAUAAUUAGCUGUUAUGGGAUGUCACAUAUCAUAUUGAUGGUAACGUUAUAUAUAUGUACAUAUAAUUAAUGGGGUUGGCUCACGAGCCCAUUAAUAAUGGUAUAUUAGCUUAUAUACUUCAAACAAUGUACUAUGAAGCAAUUUCACAAAUACUUGUUAGCUUAUGUUGAGCUUUAUUGAAUCAGUAGUUCACAGUUCAAUAAAAUGCAGGUUUGCUAUUUGAAGUACAUGGUUAUGGUGCGUACAUUCUUCAUAAGGCUAACUACUAAUUUUCAUUGAAACUUGAAAAAUGUGAUAGAGAGUAGAUAACAGCCGCAAAACACUGAGAUUGAAAAUCAGGGCUACUAAAUUCUAUUAAAAGUCCUUAAAAAUAGACAGCGAUCACCCUGAAAUGUAUAUACUGAAACUAAGAAAUAUUAAUCGCAAAGUUAUGCAUUAAUAGAACUAUUGACUACUUAUCUUUAGCAUAAAGUAUAUUUUUAACUACAGCUUUCUGCUUUGUUCUAAGAACUAGGCAAAAGUGGUGUAUCUUCAAUCCAAUCAACAUAUAUACCACUUAUCUUCCUCUUCACUUCUGUCUAUUUUGAUUUGCACUUCAUAUCCUGCACUUGCUGCUUAGAAAUAGUCUUUAUUCUGGACAUUGAAAGUAGAAAAAGUACUUGAAACAAUCAUUGGCACAGCCCGAGAUUCCAUUGAAUCGUGGACUCCAAGCUUUCAUAGUUCUAUAAAGAAGAUGACAAAACUUCAUACAACUGGCAUUCUGCUUUUAACAUUUGCACAACCUGAGCGAGUUAGCAAGCCCCUUGUUGCGUUCCCAUUGAAUAGACCUACUUCUGUUAUCCGCAGAAGAUCCACCACUCAAAAUGUUUAUCCAGGCUAUUCUUAAACUGAGCCUAAACUGAGUAGAAACUUCCGCACAUCUCUCAGCAUUUACAUGAAGAAAUCGACAACUAUCCUCAUCUCUCAUCUCUCAGCAUUCUACAAAGUUGCAUUUCACUAAGCAAUCUAUCCUCUCCAUUCCUAGCAAAGUGACAUUGAUUCCCGUAUUUGUAAUCGCCUAACUUGGGUUUUGGGCAUAGCGUGGUCUUAAAAUUACCACCCAAUACUUUGUUCAGUGCCACUGGCAUCCACAAGCUCUAGCCCUGUUAGUUGAAUCAUAUUCAAUGGACAGUGAGGCAGCAUUUCACUAACAUAUUCAAUUUGACUACUUAUAUUGACGCAAAUAUUAGAAUUUGAAAUCACUUCUUUUAUUGGAAUAUUAUAUUAAUAUGACCCCAAAUGAAAGUUCUUGAAUGGAAAUGAUUUUUAUUUACUUUUCGACAGAUUCAAGAAAACCCAGAGAACACAAAAUUUACACAGUAAUAUGAUUAAGAGCUGAGAACGUAUAUGUAGUAAAUGUCUAUCAAAAAACACCAAGGGUUUCUUUAAAAUUAGUAACUAGUAAACAAAAAGAAAGAAUCAUUUUACAUUUUUAGCAACUUUGGGUGAGUGAGUGAGUGAGAAAUUGAAACCCUCAAGUGAUGACAACAGUAAGAUUCAGUAUGAAGUGAAACCCCCAAUUUGAAAUGUAGGCAUGAGUUGCUGAGUCAGUAGAUGAAGCUAUAAAUAGGCAUUCGGUUUCCUUCUUUUCGGUUUGGAGGGCCAUGGAAUAGUGUAUUGGAGUGGGCUCCAAGUAAUAGCCUCUAUCACUGGAACGACACAUCUAUAAAAUGUGAUACAUGGGGAAGGAUUGGGCAUUUUAUUCUUAGAUUAGCCCCUUAUUUAGGGUGUAUAUUAAGCAGAUUAUAUAUUACAUGGAGAUGGAGUUUAUGAAAUAGAUUAAAAAGAAAAGGAAAUUUUGGUGCCUAAAGUUUGCCACUUGGAAUAUUUCGUGUCUAAAAAUUCACUCACCACUUAUUUCAUGUUUGAUUAUAUGUUGAAAAGAUAUUAAAAUAGUAUAAUGCUAUUAAGGCUUAACGUAUAUUUUUUAUUAGUAGAGUGUAGAAUUUUUAAGAAAUAAAUUAUUAAAUUAUUAUAACUAACAUAUUAUUUUAAAGUUGUGUUAUGAAAAAAAUGAAAUAAAAAUGUACAGUAAAUAAGAAUAUUUUAAAACUUUUAUCUUUUUAAAAUUAGUUUUUAACAUAAGGUGAACUAUUUUUUUUUUUAAAAUCACAUAUUCUAGUUAAAAUCAAAUAUGUAUUUAUACGAAGCUUGUAAAUUUUUUUUUUAGUACUGAUAUUUGAAUAUUAUCAAUAAAAAAAAGGGUAAUGUUCAUGCUGCAUUAUUUUUGUAGCACACAAAAGGACAACACCGUUUAUGUUAUAAUACUAUCGCUUCUGUUAUGAUAAUUUUUUUUGUGGCCAAAUAUCUUUUUUUUUUUUAAGUAAAAAAAAGUGGACAAAAUGCAAAUCAGUUUUUAAUCCUCAAUCUCUCCCAAAAUAUAUAUUUCGGUGUCUAAAAAUUCACUCACAAAACUAUAGCUGACAAAAAGUUACUAACAAAAAGUUAGGUCCAUGGGUUGUUAAAACUAUAGCUGACAAAAAUUACUAACAAAAACAGAAUGUCCAUUUUAUAACUUUCUUAAAAAACUUUCCUUAACUUUUUUAAACAAAAAGUUAUUUUCCAAUUUUAUUUUGUUAUAAUUUUAUAACAAAAAUUCGUAGUUAACUAAACUCUUCUUAUACCCUUUCUCAACUGCCAUACCCUAACCCACUAAAACCACGCUCAAUAAGGCCAUCAGAUUCUCCCGGCCCACAUUAAUCCAACUGCUUCACAGAGACCGACAGCCUCUCUAUCUCCAUUUCAAGCUCCCUCUUCAACUGGCUUCUGCUACCGUCCUACUCUUUCUCGGCUUCGGAGUCCGUAUUUGCUCGGCCUGUCCCACGAAGCUCCCUCUCACUCCAAUUGUCGCCCCACAAGGACCAAUUGCUUAAUCAAGACACCGAACAAGAAAAGGAUGAGAAGUUGAAACAAAAGAAUUUGAGAAUUGGAAAUAAAAAACGUACGCAUUGACCGUGCCUUUGAGAGUCGUUUCUCUUCAGAACUCAGUGCCUCAAUCUUGGGUUAAGGAUUUUAUGCGAAGUCAGGGAAAGAGAUUGAAGUUUCAGAUGAAUUUGUGUGCUAGCAUUGAUGGGAUCUUUAACAAUUUAUCUGUGCCCUUUACAAAGUUAAGGCUAAGUCAGCUUCUUAUAUGGCUGCUGAUUUGGUUAGUGUUGGUGAUUCAUGGCUUAGUUUUGCCAUUAAAAAAGAGAUGAUUGAGCCAAUGGCUGGAGCUGAAGACCAAGAUUGGUUCAAAUGCUUAAGUCACAAAUGGAAGGUAACAUCUUUGUCUUUGAUCCUCGAGGUAAAAUAUGGGCGGCACCGUACAGGUGGGGCACAACGGUGAUAGCCUACAAGAAAAGUAAAUUUCGAAAGCAUAAUUUGGCUCCGAUUGAGGUAAUAAUUUUCUUUAAACUCAUUUAGUUUUAUAUCAAACAAAAUCAAGACUGCCUUUCUCUUCAAUAUUUUUAUGAUAAUAUCUUUAGAAGCAUCUCAUUGACGGGUAACAAUGGCAUCCCUGAAAGAGUCUAUAAACUCAAUGAUAUUAUCUUCUACAAAUGGUUCAUUAAACUUGUCGUUGUACUCAAAUGUACACUCAGAUCAAUGAGAAGCUAUGCUACGUUAGCAUGUAGUGAUGCACUUAAUAAGUGAGUUGCCUAGGAUGUGAACUAGAAAAAUUAAAUAUGUCUCCUUGGGUAUGCUAGCUGGUAAGUCAGGGUUAAUAUCAGAGCUUAAGAUAGUAUAACCGUGAGAACCUAUUGACUGCCAAUUAAAAUAUCCAUUGAAAUGUCUAGGGAGUUAUGAAGGUGGAGGUAACUUCCAAUUUCUAAGGCCACAGAGUAGACAUCAUCCAGGAUCCUAGGAAAGUCCAGUUAACCUCCUGCUCGAUGCAAUUAAUAAAUUUGGUCAAUGCCACUGAAACCUGCUAACUGACGUCACAAUGCGACAUGAGCACUUCAAAAUGGGACAGACGGUCAGUAGCACUAAAUUUUUCUUGCCAAAUGAGCAAUUGGUCUAACUACUAAUCCCUAUUGUAGGUUGAUCAUUAUUUUUUCAAUUAUGUUCAGUUUGACCCAAAAAGUUGCAGAAUCUUGAGCUAAAUAUUGUCACUGAACACUGUCAAUGUCAUUUAGCAUAGCCAACUAACUUGAUGUUAAAACAAACACACAGUGUGUCUCAUGUCUCACAAUUCAAAUUAUCAUCUGUAAUGUUGGAGAAUUUUUCCAAUGUAUGAAGUAUGCUUUGAUACGUGGGUUACCUUGGAGAAGAUAUCUCAAAAUAAAGAAUAUGGGGAGAAAACAGUUCAGUAGUUUAUUAUUCUGUAGUCAAGUUUUGUCUCGAAAAUGGUCAAAAUUUAAAUGAAUAAAGGACAGGGGAUCUUCAUUCUUUUUUCCCUUUUUUAUACCAAGAUAUCUCUCAACCUUUAUAUAAUCCCCACUGGAUAUCUGCUUCUAAUAAUUAAAAUAAAAAUUUCACCGCUCUAACAAUAAAAAGUAAACAUCUUUCCUCAAAUAAUUUACAGUUCCUCAUCAUCUUAGUGUGAGAAUAUCAGUACAUUCCAAAAACAUAAUAAAACUGGUUUGAUCCUGUUUAUUGAUGUUUAAAUGUUGUUCAUUGUGACAGGUAGAAAUGAUGAGGCGAAGUUUAUUUGGACAUCAAUUAGUAAGAUCUUGUUGAAGUUGUUUUCUGAAAUGAACUGCCAAAUGGUAGUUUUUUGGGGCAUUUGAUGGCUCUUUUUUUUUCCUCAUUUUCAACAUGUGCCUGCUUGGAACAUGAAGGAUUAGGCUGCCAGAGUUGUUAUAUAUUUUGAGAUGCUCUGGUCAUUGCACAAUUUGUCACACUGGAAAUUAGAAUGAGAAAUUUGUUGAUGCUGUUUUGAGAGAUCUGCAUUCUAUGCACAAUAACAUGAUUAAUGAAAUGCAUUGUAGGACUGGAAAGAUCUGUGGCAGCCUGAGCUCGCAGGAAGAAUUUCAAUGGUUAAUUCUCCCCGAGAGGUUAUUGGUUCAGUUUUGAAGUAUAGGGGAACAUCAUACAAUUCAAACUAUAUUGAUUCGCAAGUUGCUGGUGGGAAAGAUUGCUGUUCAGCAGAAUCUGGCAUUACUGGCAAACCAGGUACUCUUACAGAAAUCAUAUCUGGUCAUUGCAUGUUAUUGCCUGACAACUGAUUUGUUUGUAAAAGUCUGCUUCUUCAUACAUAUGAAUGCAUAUGUUAGUGUUUUCUUCUCCUUUUCAUACAUAUAAAUGCAUAUGUUAGUGUUGUCUUUUCCUUUUCACACAUAUUAAUACAUAUGUUGGUGUUCUCUCCUGAGAUGGAUGCAAUAAAGCUUUUGCUCCUAAAUUUAGCUGAAGAAAUGCAAGGGAUGUGAGAUUCUGUCUCAUUAAAUUAACAAAAACCCAAAACAAUGAAAAUCCAUAAUAAUGUGUGUGGGUAAAUGGCUCCAUUUGGUUCGUUUCCUUAAUGUGAAUGCGCGAGCAAUAGAGACUAACAAAAUGAAGUGACAACAAGAAGUCAGUGUCCUUUGAUGGAUGCAUUUUUAGGCAGAAAUAUGUUUGUAAUUGACCAAAUUUGUCUGGCAUGCCAAUUUCAAAAAAAUUAAAUUAUGUGGUUAUUAGCUGUAAUGAAGGGGAUAGUAGGUGCAAUCAGGUGUAUCCAGGAAAGUUCAACAAAGUUUUGGUAUGGCGUAGUGAAAUUGGUUUGUGCAACUCAGGAGUCUUUCAGGUGAACGAUGAUAGGUUUUGAUUUAUGAAUAUUAUAAAUCUACUGUGCAUAGUAUUCUAGUAGAAUCAUCUAUAAGUUCUAGUUAUUGUAUACUUUGCCUGGUUUGAGUUAAGGGCACAUGUAAUAUGAAAGAUAGUUGUCGCAUCUUUUAGGUUACCUAACAUUUGAUCAAUCCUAUUAUGGGGCUUCAAGAUGUCUAACAAUAUGUAGAAUGCCCAUGCUCCUCCCCAUUGUUUAUCUUCUACAAUAAUUUGUUUUAGAUGCUAAUAUCUUUGUCGAUACGUAACAAUAUUACAAUAUCUGCGUUUAUUGGGUUUUACAUAGGUUCGACUGUUUGACAGUACACACUAUCUGAAGGCAUUUGCAAUUGGAGAUGUAUGGGUUGCUGUUGGGUGGAUUAGUGAUGUUCUUCCUGCUGUCAAACAUAUGUCUAAUGUUGCUGUUGUUGUUCCCAAGUCUGGUGCUAGCUUAUGGGCUGAUCUUUGGGUAUACCCAUGCCUGCCAUUCUACUUCAAUAUUCACAUUGUUAUCUCCUUCAUAUUAGUGAUCAGUAAACACGAUAAUGUGACUAAUAAGUUCGUAUUCUCUUUAUAGGCAAUCCCUGCUGCCUCAAGACUUGAAACAAAACAAAUUGGAGGCGAGUCAGAGGUGCAUUUCCAUUAAUCCAUCAAUGGAUAGAAUUCUGCUUGCAAACAGCGAGAGCAUUGCCUUUCAAGCAAGAGGUUAUCCCGAGCGCAUCUCCCUCUGCCCUUGAGAGUACUCUGGUUAAGUUGCCUGAAGAACUUUUCAAGGGUAAACCAAGUCUGGAUACUAACUUAAUUGCUGGAGUACCCCCGACUGAAAUUCUGGCCAGAUGUGAGUUUUUGGAGCCUUUAUUUGAAGCUACAUUGUCGGAUUAUGAGUGGCUGGUUACUAAUCUGCAAAAAUCCACUCCUGUACUGAUCAACAAGAUGCAACAUUACAUGUCAUCAUUGAUCUUUAGCUAAAGGUACAUUGAAAAGUUAAUGGCACUGCAUACCAGUCAUUAUAAUUGGGUCAGGGCAAUUAGGUCAGAGCAUAACUUCAUUAGGAAAAGAUGCUUCAGCUACGUUAAAUAUUACAGGAUGUACUGAGAUGGCUGAAGCUGUUGAGGUUUUACGAGAAUCGAAAGAUAGUGUUUGUUUGAACAAAGUUGUUGCCAAUCUUGCAGAGUUCGAGAAGAAAGAUCACGAAGUGAAUGCCACCGAUUUCUUCAUCAUUGUAGCCUCCAUAGUUGAAGUUUCCUCAUUUGAAGCUGUUUAUGCAUACGAUUUUCCCCUGCUCAAGUACAGGAAAUUGAAGAAUUAACCAGAUGUGAUAUGCUGAAAGAGGGAAGUUUUCUUCCUUGAAUGUGGUCUUUGUGAUUUGUCUUGAAGGAAUAGGGUGAUCACUGGCAAGAACCCUAUCAAGGUAGAUUUUAUGAUGUUAACAUAUCAUUAAGCAUUUUGUUACAUCAGCAAUGAUGCUUUCAUAGCAGCAUGAAAGUGUUUAAAUUUAACUGAAUGAUCUUGAUUGAUCAAUUAUGAGUUUUAAUCGAGUAAAAACUAAAUACAAUAAUCGUUAACAAAUAUUGAAAUUGGGUAAAUAUGAUCUUGAUAUUGAAGAAUUUGAAAUCACAACCCACACAGGAAAUCACCCUUCGCGUGGGGAUGGAGAUGUUUACUGCAGCGAUAUUGAAUAUGUCCACCGCUCUUUGGGUUAUGGUGCGACUUGCCCUGAAACAAUGGAAAAGAAUAAUUAAUAAUUUAACGCCAAGACAUAAAAUUAAAACGUGUGGACUCCGGUAGCUGCCCUACAAGUCUACAACUCUACAAACAUUAACUCUACAAACAUUAAAACGUGUGGACUCCGGUAGCUGCCCUACAAGUCUACAACUCUACAAGAAUAAUUUCUAGCCCUGUUGACUCCACUAACUAAAGAAAUUUCAAAACGUACAUAGAAUUCCACAACAAGCAAAACGUAUGGAAUUUAAUUUUUUGCCGUGUGGAACAAAAUACAAUUUAACAAAAAAGGAUAAGAAAAAUGGUAAGAUUUCUAAAAUGAGUGGAAGGUGAUUCAUAUUUUACUGAAAUGACUUGUCCUGAACAUUAAGACGAUUGAUUUUUUUUUUUUAAUAACAUCAACUUCCAUAUCUUUCUAACCCCUAGAAUAUGCUCACGUUCAAGUCUAUCUUGGUAAUUUGAAAAAGAAAAUCAAAUCAAAUCAACACCAAAACAAUGAAAAGUAAAACUUUUGAAUUUCAACUUUAAACUUUUGUUAACCCCUAGAAUAUUCAGCGUUUUCAAAUUCUUCCGAUUGCAUAUCUUCUUCCUCCAUCAAUGCAAUAUUUGAACGAUUAUGAAAGAGUUUAAGAACAUAAAAAAUCUCCAAGGUUUAUACGGUAUAACAAAUUUAAAUUCUCAAUUACAAUAGAUAAUAAUUAAACUAAUAAUUUUUUAUGUACUUAUUUUAGUAAUUUCACCUAAGAAUAAUAUUGUAAUUAGAAAAAAAAAUCUAAUAAGUAGGGUGGUCUUAUACAAAAUCAACUGUACUGUGAUGAGUUUCCUUUUGUUAAUAAUUUUAGUCUAAUUUCAAUUGUACUGUGAUCGCUUCUCAAGGUAAGUGAAAGUUACAGAUGUGGCAAAAUAAAUAAUUAAGUUAACAAAAUGCUAACUAAUUUUCCUCAAUACCUAGGGUUGUACAAUUUCACCAACCUGGAAGAAUUGACAUUAAUGGACUGGUCUCCUCCCCAUAUAAUUAUAAUCCUUCUAGAAAGCUAUUUUUUAUUAAAUAUUUGCUUUUAAGUUAAUUUCAAUUAAAAAAUGUUUUAAGUUAUAUAUACUCUAAUGAGAUUCUGAAUUCCUUUAUUCCAAUAAUAAUGAAAACGUAUUAAAUUAGAAAUGAAAAAAUUGGUGUUGAUGAUUCAACCUAUUUGGAUAGAUUACGUGAAUAAAAUUAAAAUUUUGAUUUAAUUUUUGUUUAUUGUUAAUUCUCAGGCUAUCUUAAUUUCAAGAAUUUAGAAUGUUAAUUUGGUCAUGGAUUUCAACCCGUGAGUGUCAUAUUCUAGACUUAAUGGUACCAUUCUUUGAUUGAGGGCAAUGACUCUCACUCCUCUUGUAAAAAAAUAUUUUCAACUAUUUUGAUGACUUAAAAAUUGAUAGAUUUAUUGUUGUCAUGACCAAAUUAUUCAUUUUAAUGAAAUAUAAUUAAUGCAUCAAAGUUACCAGGUUUAUGUUCUAUCUUAAUGCGCUUUUUUUUUUUUUCAGUUAUAGCUUCUGCUUACGUCUGUUUCAUUUUUUUUUAAUAAAAAAACAAGGGAAGGUUUUUCCGAGUCAUCCAUUAUUUGAUUUCCGUCAAUCAAGAAAACGACCAAAUUAAUUUCUCUCCAAAAUUUCCAAAAGCUAGAAAAUUUUGUUAUUUGAAAAUAACAUGAUUAAUUAUAGAGUGGAUCAAACCGCGUUAUUGUCUUUCAUAAAAUUGAUGUCUUUUUAAGAGUCAAUACUUUUUAUUUACGCAAACCAGUCGACAUCAAUUUAAACUUCCAUAUUUUUAUUAUUAUUAUGUUAUUUAUUUUAAUCGCCGAUUAUUUGAUUAGCCACUAUAUAUAUCAAGAAAGCGACAAAAUUUAUUUCUCAUGACUUCCAAAAACUAGAAAAACAACAUCAUUUAUUAUUUUUUUGCAACCCUAAUUGACAUCAACUUUAACUUUAUUAUGUUAUUAUUUCAAUCCCCCAUUAUGACCUUUCUAAUCCUCCAUUAUGCAUCUUUUAUAGUGCAAAUUUAAUUGCACAUCUAAAUAAAUUGAUUAUUGUUACUCCACCACCAAUAUUUCAAAUAGUCACUAGACCAUUUCUGCCUUUAAUUUUCCCUUAACUAUUGACUGUUUUUAGCAUCUUAAAAUAUACAUUUAUUCCUUGAUUAUGUGAUAAAAUUAUGAAAAUAUCCAUUUUAGCUUAAAUUAAUUGGAAUAACCAUAAGCGUAACAUAAAUUAAUAGAACAAAAUUAUCAAGUGUAUGUUCUAUCUUACUUUUUGAAGAAUUUAACAUAUAUAAUGCUAUACUAUUAAUAAAUUUUUCAUUUACUAUAUAUGUUCACAUAUUUUAUAUAUUUAUUAAUUGUUAUAUAGUCACAGGAUGAAUGAUUUUUCAGGUCUACAUGAGUUGGUGCACAUGCAAGACUCAAUUUUGACAACAAUGAUCUAAGGGGUAAUUUACCUUGGUGUUUGACAAACAUAACCUCUCUUCAUGAUUUACUUCCAAUCUACUUACUGUAAAUAUCUCCUCAUCUCCUCUCAUUUAUAUGAUAAGUGAUAACCCUUGAAGAUCUCACAUUUUCAAACGAUCAUAUUAGGGUUUUUAUUAUUAGCAUCAUUGUGUCAACAAAAUAUAUGUUGCAGUAAGAUUUUUUCAGACCAAUUCCCUUCUUCAAAUAAUAAUGGAAAAGUAUUAAUUUAAAAAUAAAAUGAAUAUGCAUUGAUUAUAUCCUGAUUUCCAUCGAUUAUAGCGAGAGUUUCUCCGAAUCAACUCCCUUAUUCAAAUAAUACAGAAAAAAUAGUAAUUUAAUAGUAAAAUUAGCAAGUGUUGAUUAUAUAUCCUAAGUUUCAUCGAUUAUGUGAUCAAAGUGGCAUUGUUGAUUUAUUUCUUGUUCAAUGUUAAUUUUUAGGUUAUCUAAAUUUCAAGGAUUUAAAAUCUUUGUUCAUGGAUUACACGCUUAUUAAUUUUUCUGCCAUUGACUGUCAUAUUCUAGACUUAAUGGUACCUUCCUUGAUCAAGGAUAAUUACUCUAUGUUCUCCUCUUAUAAAUUCCUCUUCCAUUAACAUCACUAGGAGUAUGUUGAUCUCUCAGACGUUAACUUUAGUGGAGAGUUUCCAAAUUGAUUGUUACAAAACAACACAAAAACUAGACACACUUGAUCUGUCUAAUAAUUCUCUUUCGAUAAAAUUAAUUAAUUUUAGGGGAAUAUUCGACCAACCUCUAUAAUUUCAUAUUGAUCAUUAAUUAAUUAGACGAAAAAAGUACUUGUGCUUUUGUGGCGACAAUUGAACUAGAGAAGUGAAGCUGUAAAGAUUUGGCAGUAGUAAAUUGUUAGAAAGACAUAAAGACAAUUUCCCAUUUUAUAAUUUUUUCAAAAAACUUUUUUACAACACAUGCACCUGGCCAAAAAUUUUAUUUUGCUAACUAACAAUAAUUGAGUAGCUGACCGUAUUGACUCCGCCUACUUGCUAAAGUAAAAAAAUAGAAAUAGAAUUUCCACAAAAUGUCAAACAUGUAAAAUCUAAUAUUUGGCCAUGUGGAACAAAAUACAAAUGAAAAAAAAAAUAGAAAAAAGGCCUAAAGACUUUUAAAAUGUGUGGAAAUCUUUCGGCCCUUUUAUAAUGGUGUGUUUUUCAAAGGAACAACUAAUAAUAAUGACACUUCUACGGUUUGUUUUGAUAAUUACACAUAUACUCUUUAAUUUGAUAAAUGGUUACACAAAUUUUGUUUACAAAAAUAUAUUAUUCAUGUUCUGUAUUAUUUUUUAACAUCAUAUUUUUAUUUAUUAUAAUUGUUUAAAGUUAAUUGUUAGGUUGAUAUAUAAUAAAAACGUAUAAUCGUUCUCUUACUAAACACACAUACUCGUAGUUUCUAUCCAUUUGUCAUCUCAAUCUCUCUCAUUUAUCCUUUCUUGAUAGCUCAAAACGCGUCACUGUGGAAAAUAAUAGCAAAACGACAAAUAUGGAAAGAAUGGGAAGAAAAUUAAUGCAUGAAAGAGUUGCAGAAGACAACCAAAUAAGUCAACUAUACGCUAGUUGGGUGUAUAAAUUGUUAGAUGUGUUAUAAACAAAUAGCAUAGAGCCUUGGUUGGUUACAGAGAUAGAAAAACUGUGUGUGUUUUUUAGAACUUAAAGAUACAGUUAGAAUGGGUGGUUCAAAAUCAAAAAUGGUGAUAAUGUUUGUUCUGUUAUUAAUAAUAUUAGAAGGUGGGUGGAGUGAAGGAUGUUUGGAUCAUGAGAGAUUUGCUCUUUUGCGACUCAAACAUUUCUUCGAUGAUACUGGUAGUUAUUUUUACUACUGGGCAGAUGGUGAGGGAGCUACUGAUUGUUGUCAGUGGGAAAGGGUUGAGUGCAGCAACACCACAGGCCAAGUGAUAGUGCUAGACCUUUUUGAAACGUAUUUGGGAGAGUACAGCUGGUAUCUGAAUGCUUCUUUGUUUACUCCCUUUCAACAACUUGAGUCACUUGAUUUAUAUGGCAACAAAAUAGUCGGUUUUGUUGAGAAUGAAGGUACUUCGUCUAAUUCAAUUAAUUUACAUUUCGCUCUCCUAAUUUAAGUCGAAUAUCAAGACUGAGCAGCUAUAUGCAUAUUCAUUCAAUUGACAAUUUUUACAUAUUUUUUAAAAUGUUUAAUUUUGAAAUUACACCAAACAUCAUAUGUGGUUUUGAUUUUACUUGCAGGUCUAGAAAGAUUGAACAACUUGAAGAGGCUUGAUUUAAGUUAUAACUUGUUCAACAAUAGCAUCUUAUCAUCUGUGGCUCAUCUUUCUUCACUAACAUCAUUAGAUUUAUCUGGAAAUAGAUUGGAAGGAAGUAUUAAUGUUAAAGGUACGUAAUUAAAACGUCAUCGCUUCUCUCAACUCUUUCAUUAACAUGCUAAAAUAAGAUUCAAGGCUUUGAAUUCAUUUUUUUUUAUGAGUAAAUAUUAGAAAAAUAGUUUUAAGCAAUUCAUAAAUACAAUUUUCAAUGUUUCUCAUAAUUUCAUCUUGUACUUUCGUAUGUCUUGACUUUAAGAUUAAAAAAAAAAAAUUACUCUAACUGUGAAGCAAAUACCCCAUGACUAAUUUAUCAUUUCGUCCAGUUAAAAAUGAUAAAAUUUAUCAUUUGUUUAUAUUGAUUAAUUAACUCUAUUUUAAGUCUUAAGUCUUGGCGUCUUGGCAUAUUUGCAGAAUUUGAUUCCUUGAGCAACUUAGAGGAGUUGGACAUGAGCGACAAUGAAAUAGACAAUUUAGAGGUUCCUCAAGGUAAACAAUUAAAAUAUUAUUCAAUUACAUUAAUUUAAUUCGUUUGAUUAGGGAAGACCCAAAAGGUACAAAAUAUAAUAAUAAUAAUAAAAGAAACAGAGAAUCUAUAUUAUUUCAAAAAAUAAAACGUAAUACUAUUAUUUCAAAAAUAGAUUGUAAUAAAGAUUUGAUUCCGGUUCUUUAAUCUUUACAGCAAUUGAAAAACGAUGUUGCUCUUUUCCUGAAGCAUAAAAUAUGAAAUGACUCCAAUACAAUUAAUCAUUUAUUUCGUUUACUCUAAAAUUAGACAAUGAAUCUUUAUUUUCUUCAGUCUUAUCCUAAUUAUUAUUAAUAAACAGGUUACAAAGGUUUGAGGAAGUUGAAUUAUCUUGAUCUAUCGAAUGUUGGAGUUAGAGAUGGAAGCAAGUUGUUACAGUCAAUGGGAUCAUUCCCAUCCCUCAACACUCUUUACCUGAAGGAUAAUAAUUUUACCGAUAUAGCGACAACUACUACUCAAGGUAAGUAAAAGAUACAGAUGUGGCCAAAUUUACAAAUAAAUUGUUAAUUAAUUAAUUUUUCCGUAUUAUUAAUAAAGCUAAAUUCGUCGCUCCUUCCUUCUAAUUCUAAACAGAGUUGGCAAUUUCACCAACUUGGAGUAUUUGACAUUGGACUUGUCCUCGCUCCAUUUAAGCCUUCUACAAUUACUUGAAGAAUGAAUUUAUUUAUUAUUAUUAUUGUUGUUGUUGUUGUUGUUGAAGUGAGGUGGGCAAGCGUUCACUCAAUUAAUAUGUGAGGAAUUAAUAAUUACAAUCCAAGGUAGAAUUGUGGAAAAUUAAAGCAAAAUGAGAAAUAUGGAAAGAAAGGAAGAAAGUUAAGGGCAUGAAAGACUAGGAGAAGACUAAAGACCACCAAAUAAGUCAACUGAAAACUAGCUGGGGCCUGGGUGUACAAAUUGUUAGAUGUGUUUGUUAUAAAUAACAUAGAGCCAUCUUGUUGGUUGCAGAGGCAGAGAGACACAGAGUGUGCAUUUUGUUAAUUAAAAAUAUAUAUAAAAUGGGUGGUUCAAAAUCCAAAAUGGUGAUAAUGUUAGUUUUGUUAGUAUUAAUAAUAUUAGAAGGGAGGUGGCGUGAGGGAUGUUUGGUGCAUGAGAGAUUUGGUCUUUCGAGACUUAAAACAUUUCUUCAAUUCUCCUUAUAAUUUUUGUCACGACUGACCGUUGUCAAUGGGAUGGGGCUGGGUGCAGGGUUGAUUUACGUUAGAACAAUAUAGCCGGUAGUGUUGAGAAUGAAGGUGUUUCAUUUAAUUUAAUUAAUUUACUUUCUCCCUCCUAAUUUAAGUGGAAUAUCAAGACUGAACAAUUAUAUGCAUCUUCGUUCAGUUGACAAUUUUGACAUUUUUUUUAAGUGAUUAAUUUUGAAAUUACACCAAACAUUAUUUGUGAUCUCUGUUUUGACUUUACUUGCAGCGCUAGAGACGUUAUCAAGAUUGAGCAACUUGACGAUACUUGAUUUAAGUUAUAACUUGUUCAAUAAUAGCAUCUUGUCAUUUGUUGCCCGUCUUUCAUCAUUAACAUCAUUAGAUUUAUCUUACAAUGGAUUGGAAGGAAGUAUUAAUGUUAAAGGUACGUAAUUAAAACGUCAUCGCUUCUCCCAACUCUUCCAUUAACAUGCUAAAAUAAGAUUCAAGGCUUUGAAUUCAAUUUUUUUUAUGAGUAAUAUUAGAAAAAUAGUUUUAAGCAAUUCAUAAAUACAAUUUUCAAUGUUUCUCAUAAUUUCAUCUUGUACUUUUGUAUGUCUUGACUUUAAGAUUAAAAAAAAAUUACUCUAACUGUGAAGCAAAUACCCCAUGACUAAUUUACAAUUUUGUCCAGUUAAAAAUGAUAAAAUUUAGGGAAAUUAUCAUUUGUAUACCCUUAGUUUACUCUAUUAUCAAAAAUACUACAACACUUUGAGGGUGUAUCAAUCGUCCACCCUAAGUUGACAAAAUGUAUUAGCCAACCACCAAACCGUUAGUUGCCGUUUAAAUAUGAUAACAUCAUAAGGGUAAUCUGGUCUUUUCAUAUGAUACAAGUGAUAAUUUAAGGGUAUACAAGUGAUAAAAAGAGAGUUUAAGGGGAUACAAGUGAUAAUUUUCAAGGGUAAAAUCGUCAAUUUACUGUAAUUCCGUUAACUUUCAAACGGCAAUUAACAGUUUGGUGGUCGGUUGAUACAUUUCAUCAACUUAGGGUGGACGAUUGAUACACCCUUAAAGUGUUGUAGUAUUUUUGAUAAUAAAGCAAAUAUAGGGUAUACGAAUGAUAAUUUCCCUAAAAUUUAUCAUUUGUUUAUAUUGAUUUAUUAACUCUAUUUUAAGUCUUAAGUCUUAAGUCUUGGCAUGUUUGCAGAAUUUGAUUCCUUGAGCAACUUAGAGGAGUUGGACAUGAGCGGCAAUGAAAUAGACAAUUUCAAGGUUCCUCAAGGUACACAAUUAAAAUAUUAUUUAAUUACAUUAAUUUAAUUCGUUUGAUUAGGGAAGACCCAAAAUGUACAAAAACAUAAUUAAAAAAAAAUAAAGAAACAGAGAAUUCAUAUUAUUUCAAAAAACAAAAGGUAAUACUAUUAUUUCAAAAAAAGAAUGUAAUAAAGAUUUGAUUCCGGUUCUUUAAUCUUUAUAGCAAUUGAAAAACAAUGUUGCUCUUUUCCUAAAGCAUAAAAUAUGAAAUGAGUCAUAAUUGAAUUAGUCAUUUAUUUUGUUUAGAUCUAAAUUUAGACAAUAAAUUUUGAUUUUUUUUUCAAUUCUAUCCUUAUUAUUAUUGUUAAACAGGUUACAGAGGUUUGAGGAAGUUGAAAAGCCUCUAUCUAUCGAAUGUUGGAGUUAGAGAUGGAAGCAAGUUGUUACAGUCUAUGGGAUCAUUCCCAUCCCUCAACACUCUUUACCUGAAGGAUAAUAAUUUUACCGAUAUAGCGACAACUACUACUCAAGGUAAGUAAAAGGUACAGAUGUGGCCAAAUUUAUAAAUAAACUGUUAAUUAAUUAAUUUUCUGUAUUAUUAAUAAAGCUAAAUUUUUGCUCAUUCCCUCUAAUUCUAAACAGAGUUGCACAAUUUCACCAACUUGGAAUAUUUGACAUUGCACGGUUCCUCUCUCCAUAUAAGCCUUCUGCAAAGCAUUGCAUCAAUAUUCCCUUCGUUAAAAAAUCUGUCGAUAUCUUAUUGUGAAGUCAAUGGUGUCGUACAUGGUCAAGGUAAAAGAAAAGUGUUGGUUGUGCACUCACUGAGUGUUGUCCUACGUAUUCAAUAUUUUUAUUUAUUUAUUUUAUUGUUUAAUGUUUCUGCUAGGUUUUCCUCAUUUCAAGAGUUUGGAACAUUUGGGCAUGAUGUCCACGCGCAUUGCACUCAACACCAACUUUCUUCAAGUCAUCAGUGAAUCGAUGCCUUCUCUUAAGUACUUAUCACUGUCAUAUUCUACUCUUGGCACUAACAGCAGCAGGAUUCUUGAUCGAGGUUAAUCAGAUGCUCCCACCCUCCAUUCUUAAUCUAUAAUAUUAAUUUUCAGUUAAAUAUUUAAUUACACAAACCAAUCACUUAUUAUAAAAGAACAAUACGCAUUCAUUAAUUUUUAUAUUAUAUUAAUUGAUGAAUUUAAUAAAUUCCAGGCCUCUGUUCGCCGGUGCAUCUGCAAGAGUUAUACAUUGGUUCUAACGAUUUAAGAGGUAGCUUGCCUUGGUGCAUGACAAAUUUGACAUCCCUCCGAAUAUUAGAUGUUUCUUCCAAUCAACUUACUGGAAGCAUCUCCUCGUCUCCCCUCAUUCAUUUGACAUCCAUUGAAAAGCUGUAUCUUUCAAACAAUCACUUCCAGAUCCCAAUUUCACUUGAACCACUUUUCAAUCAUUCAAGACUCAAGACUUUUUAUGCUGACAACAACGAACUAAAUGCAGAAAUAACUCAGUCACAUUCUUUGACCGCCCCAAACUUCCAAUUAUCACGUCUCUCAUUGUCUUCCGGUUAUGAAGAUGGCGUCACAUUCCCCAAAUUCCUUUACCAUCAACAUGAUCUGGAGACUGUUGAGCUCUCACAUAUAAAGAUGAAUGGAGAAUUUCCAACUUGGUUGUUGGAAAACAACACAAAAUUGAGACAACUUUCUCUCGUCAAUGAUUCUCUUGGAGGACCUUUCCGGUUGCCAAUUCAUUCACACAAGCGGUUAGGAAUGUUGGAUAUAUCCAACAACAACUUCCGAGGCCACAUUCCAAUAGAAAUUGGAGAUGUUUUACCAAGUCUAUACCUUUUCAACAAUUCCAUGAAUGCUUUAGACGGUAGCAUUCCCUCUUCAUUUGGUAAUAUGAAAUUCCUCCAAAUUCUGGACUUAUCCAACAAUCACUUGACUGGUGAAAUCCCCGAGCACUUGGCCGUUGGUUGCGUCAACUUGCAGUCUCUUGCAUUAUCAAAUAACAACCUACAAGGUCACAUGUUCUCUAGAAAUUUUAACUUGAUAAACUUGAAAUGGUUACAAUUGGAGGGCAAUCGCUUCAUAGGUGAGAUCCCACAAAGUUUGUCUAAAUGCUCCUCACUAGAAGGAUUGUAUCUUAACAAUAAUAGUCUUUCGGGUAAGAUUCCACGAUGGUUGGGUAAUCUCACAUGGUUACAAUAUAUUAUAAUGCCCAAUAAUCAUCUUGAAGGCCCUAUUCCAGUGGAGUUUUGUCAGCUUGAUUUGCUUCAGAUUUUGGACAUUUCAGACAACAACAUAUCUGGAAGUUUACCAUCUUGUUUCCAUCCUCUCUCUAUCAAACAAGUUCAUCUUUCAAAAAUAUGUUACAUGGACAGCUAAAAAGAGGUACAUUCUUUAAUUGCUCUUCCCUUGUGACAUUAGAUCUUAGCUAUAAUCGCUUGAAUGGCAGCAUUCCGGAUUGGGUUGAUGGGCUUUCUCAGUUAAGCCACCUUAUCUUAGGUCAUAAUAAUCUUGAAGGUGAAGUGCUAGUUCAAUUGUGCGAAUUGAACCAACUACAAUUGUUAGAUCUUUCUAAUAAUAAUCUUCACGGUCCUAUUCCUCCUUGCUUUGAUAACACCACACUUUAUGAAAGUUACAGCAAUAGUUCUAGUCUUGAUGAGCAAUUUGAAAUAUUUUUUUCCAUCGAAAGCCCUCAGGGAAAUGUAGAAAAGCAAAUCCAUGAAAUUUUUGAGUUCACAACAAAGAACAUUGUGUACAUUUACCAAGGAAAAGUGCUUAGCCUCCUAUCAGGACUUGAUCUUUCUUGCAACAAGCUAAUUGGUCCUAUUCUCCUCAAAUUGGAAAUUUUGACAAGGAUUCAAACAUUGAAUCUAUCACACAACGACUUGAUAGGAUUGAUCCCAUCAACAUUUUCAAACUUGAAGCAUGUCGAAAGUUUGGAUCUUUCCAACAACAAAUUGAAUGGGAAAAUCCCUCAUCAACUAGUGAGUUAAAGACAUUGGAGGUUUUCAGUGUGGCAUACAAUAACUUAUCAGGCGAAAUUCCAGAAUGGACUGCACAAUUUGCAACCUUCAAUGAGAGUAGCUAUGAGGGAAAUACUUUCUUUGUGGAUUGCCAUUGCCCAUUUGCAGAUCACCAGCAACUAUGUCGGAGGCUUCAAUUGGCAAUGAACGAGAUGAUAAUUUAAUUGACAUGGACAGUUUCUUUAUCACAUUUACAACAUCGUACGUAAUUGUGAUAUUUGCAAUUGUUAUUAUUUUAUAUGUAAAUUCUUAUUGGCGACGUAGAUGGUUUUACUUUGUUGAAAUGUGGAUAACUUCAUCUUACUAUUUUGUUGUAGACAAUCUUAUUCCAACAAGAUUUAUCAUUGAAAUUAAUUAGUAGUUUAAUUACGAUUCUUUAAGUACUAAUCAAGUUUGUUUAGGAAAUAUUUUUUUAUUAAAAUUGUAGUAGUAUUUAGCAUUAUAUAGCUUCCAACUUCCAAGCACUUCACAUUUGUCUCUACACUUAAAAAACUGAGUGAUCAUGUUUUGCAGAUCUGGAUUUGGAGCAGGAUGGAUCCAAACCCAUAUCUGUCCACCGUAACUUAUAGCUUCCCUAUACUGUGCAGCAUACUUAAAAUAAGAGAACCAUCUCCAAUGUUAAAAGCAUUCACUCUAUAACAUUCAUUUAGAAAACUAUAUUCAGAAUAUUUUAUAAUUAAACACAAGAAAUGAAAACACACAGAUACACUUGAUCGCCUAUUUUACUCUAAAAAAGAACGAUUAUUGUGCUAUCAUCAUCUUCUUCACUAGCAACAUUAACACCAAAUCGAUGGACCCAUACAUUUCAUCAAGAAAGGUCUAUAUCCAAUAAAGUUGAAGCCUAACAAAAAAUUCAAGAAGAUUCAUGCCUCGCCACAACAAGGGCACAACAACAUCAAAGUAGAGAUUAAGCAGUAAUUCUCAAAGCUAAAACUCUCAAAUCCACCCACCAGAAUUUCAUAUCUCCUCAACAAUUUAAGAACUAAAGAUAAUUAGGAUUUAACAUUAGUUUUUUAUAUAUUAGUCAUAAUUUACAAAUCAAUGAAGAUGAAGAUUAUGCUAAUAAAAUUCAAAUUAUACCAUACAUUCUCUAGAUGUUACCAAAAAUUUCUAAGUCAAUCCCACAUAUUUCAUAAUUUUAAGACUAGAAAAUUUCACUAGUUAGAAGUUUCAUUACCUUCAAGUGGAAGAUGAAGAACAUUAUACAAGUGAUUCAGAUUAUAUCAUACAUACUCCAAAUGCAACUAGAAAUUAACAAGUUCAUGCACACAUAUUUCAUAACAUUAUGAUUGAAAAGUUUCACAGAGAAAAUUCUAAAUUCAAUCUCUUGCAUGAAGGCAAUUUGAUUGAUUGAGUUACUUCUUAUCAAGCUACUAAUAUAACAUUCAAGUCAGGAGAAAAUAAAUUAAAACUGGGAAGAAAUAACAGUAAAAAAUUUGUUGCUCAACAUGAUGUGUAUUUUUUUUCAAGGCAAUUUGGAAACACAAUUGUUACCACAGAUAUUCUUCUCAAACUUGGAGAUAAAUACAAAUAUUAAAAUGCAUAUGAUCGCACAUAUUACUUCGAGUUUAGUAAGAUUUCAUUAAAAGAAGCAAUCAAACCACUUAUCAAUUGUCGCAGUCGUUCUAUAAACUAAAAUAGCAAUAUAAUACAAGAAAAAGAACAUAUAGAUACUUGGCAAGAGUUCAUUAAGAAGUCACAUCACAUUCAGGUGAGGAGUUUGCUUCUGAUAUCUUGCUAGCUGGGGCUUUUUCUUGUCUUUCUACGUAUGCCGAGGGAAACCAACCAGCUUGGCCCUUGCAUUCACCUUCCGACCAUCCAAUAGGAGCCACCUUGAGAAGUUAUAACUAAAAUGGUGAAUUAAACAAAAGUUGACCGUUCAAAGACCUAAGGGGAAAACUAAUUCUUUUACGUAGGAGGAGUGAAUUAGUUGUGAUCACUGAAAUAACAGCAUAACUAUGGAAGCAUAACAAGAUAUAAAUUCACACGUCUAUAAGGGUAAACUGGGUGGUUGAGAACUGAGCUAGCAACCCUACUAUAUUCUGAUUUGCACUUCAAUGUAAAAGGGAAUAUAUGGUAGGAAGAAAGAAAACCAACCAUCAUUUGUUAACUCAUUGCUUUUCAAUCAAAAUUUUAAGAACAAAAUGCCAUGUGCUUUGAACAUCAAAUAAGUAUAAGCAUUAGUUCUAAAUUCCACAUAUCAUAAGUUGUUAGAAGGAUAAGUUAAUAGCAGAGUAGAAAAAUCUAUGUGUUGGUAUUUAGAGGGGAAAGUACCUGGCGAACCACAACAUAAUCAUCAAUUGAAAGACUUAGCUCUCCAUUUGCUUGAGCAUCAAAUGGAUGUAUAACCUGCAAGAUAAUGGGAUAAAUAGAACUUAAAAAAAGCAUAACAAAAGCGGCAACAGUAGCAGCAACGUUCAUUGUAACCACUAUGAUCAUGGCCAACAAGAUAUAUUAGAAACAAAAUUCCAUUUUUACUACGACAUUAAUAUGUACUAUACGAUAUCAUGACGAUUGGGUUACUAAGAGCUAUCAAAGUCUAAUAAGUUCUGUAUAACUUUAUGUAGUUAUUUAAAUUAUGGAUCAGAUUUUAAAUUUGAAAUUUUGACUGCUCUCCACAAAACAUGGCCUAUGCACAAGAAAGUCAUAGAUAAUGAGGAUUACAAGUGUCCGACAUCUUUUGAGUGAUGGAUUUAACAUGAGAGCUUAUGGUCAGUCAAUUUCCUCUGCCUAGCAAUAUAAGCUUUCUCGGCCAGAUUUAUCAUCAAAUACAUAGAUUGCCCCCAAGUCACAUCCAUAUAAACAUAGUUUUUCUAGGUAAACCAAGUAAGGAGUAUCAUAAUUCAGACAUAAUCAUAAAAAGGCCCAUCUAACUUAAGAGAAAAUCUCAAAAAGAGGGAUGCUGAGCUAUCAGUCUUGUAUCUAUAAGCAAUAUCAAGACUUUACGUCACCUGCUACAUCGUGAGUGGCUACACAACUUUCAGUGGUUUGUCUUUCUUUGGCACGCCUAACUCAGCUUUCAUGUUGCUGAGAUAUUGAUAGUAGAGACACAUGAUACUUCUAGCUCAUGCAUUCUAUCUAACUCAUCCAACAACUAUCUCUUUUUUAAUUCAUUAGUGUUUGCUAAACCUCAUGCUUAAAAGUCCUGUUCUCCUAAACAAAGUUUCCUAAGAAUGACUUCCUUAGCACCACAGUUGGACACUUUAGAGCAAUUUUAUUUGGGGGAAAAGAAUUUUCAAGGUGUUAACUAAUAAAUUUUAAAAAAUAAUUACAAUUUGUCCUACGAUCAUAUGACAAUUUAUCUGGGAUGAAAGGAUACAGAUAGACAUCUUCCACUUUCAAGACUAAUCACUACUUCCGUAGAUGUUGUGCAAUAAUACAAAUACUUGACCAGAUGGUAGUGAUGGUAGAAAAAAAUUUUAUUGCUCCAAAAUUAAAAUAAGAAUGCAAUAUGUUAAGCAAAAGGCUGUGCAACAUCAAAUUAAUUGAUAAGUUUGUAAUUCAGUAAAUUAACAACUUUCAUGGUAAAAUACAACAAAUUUCUUUUGAAAAAAAAUAAAUAAAUCUUAAAAGACAACAUUCAAUUUUGUGCACAUCUUAUUUCUUAAGAUUUUUCAGGAGGAGGGCAAUAGAGGGACUUUCACCUAUGCAAGAGAGCAGAAGCCUUACUUUCCCUAUAAAGUAGACGUCAUUCUGAUUAAUAUGCGUUUGCAAAUCAGCUCCGUUUGAAUCAGUAUUCUGAUAGACACACGAGGAAUUUACAUCCAUUUCCAAAGUCACAUGUUGCGAGGAGGACUCAUUUGAUUGCUCCUAUACGAUCAUCUAAUUCAAGUAGCAAGGGUUGGAAGAGAAUAAAAAGUCACAAUUAUUCUUUUGCAUAAGUGAGACGAAAAUGAUAAAUGCAAUAUUAUCAGCAGUAAACAAGAAGAGAACGCUCCAAGAAAUAGAUAGAUGCAGACAAGCAAGUUAAAAUGCAUAGUCCCAAACCUCCGCAUACAACUUCUCUAAAAUAGCAAUAACGUGUUGAUGCUAUGUUUUCUCAGCAUCUACCUGCAAAGGCCCGAGACCAGGAAAACAACAAUAAAACCACUAGCUGAAGGAGAAAGCAAAGAAAGAAAUACACUUGACAUAAAUCUUGACAAGAAGCACAAAUUAAGACAUAACAAACCCCAAUCAUAUUGUUUAGAACUACCAUUCGUUAUUUCGUUAUUGUAACAUUUCGAACAAGUGUUGACUUAAUUCAACAUUGUUGGAAAGAUAGGCUUUUAGAAGCAGAAGAAAGCCUCUCAAACCAAAGUGCUGGUCCUUGUAUUGAUCAAGGGAUGUAAACAUAUUACAUUUGCAGGAUGAGAUUUAAUCACUCCCCUGAUUUAUUCGGGUUGCAGUAAAACUAAGCGAGCAACUGUUUGACUUUCAAGCAACAGCUAAAUCAGCUAUUAAAAUUCAAAUAAAAUCAUAAUAGAAUAAUAACAGGCCAUCUUGCAUCAAAAAUUAAGUUUAAUUUGUGAAUUGUUUUCUAUAGACAUGUCAGUUUCUGCUAUUGAAAUGUUAAAAGCAUUGAAAAAUUAUUCAAUAAAUUAUGCAAGCAUUAAAAUAGAGGACAUAUUAAAAAGUUUCUAAUUACAAUGUUAAUAUUUCCUAUAUUUUAGCAUUUGCAUAUUUUAAUUUAUUUAAAAGCUACGUUGAUCAACUUUGGGCAUGAAGAUUUUAGCUUAUACGAGACUUGAUUGGAAUAUGCAUAAGAGUGUUAAAAUAUGAUGCAUCCAAUGAAAGACAAACCACGUGUAGUCUUUUAAUUAAGCCAAAGUAGCAGCUCAAACAAAUGACACUUGGACCAACAUGCAAUCAUGAAGUGGCCGGAAAAAGGACAAAUGCAACUUUGGCUUAAAUAAAAAAUAACAUGUGACUCGACUUUUGCUGGACAUGCAUCAUGUUAUCACAAGACAACAGAAAUCAGUAUGAUAGUACUAAAAGUUGACAAUAACAUGAAGAUAAGAGGCAGAAUGUCAACACAUGCAUAGGCACACACAAGAAAGUAUUAACUUAUAUACCAUAGCAAAAAGUCUUUGAUAUGUCAUCUGUUGCUGCUGUGAUUCAACUGACAGCAUGGCAGCUGUUGCUUCUCUACCAAGAGCCAUUAUUGUAGAUUUAAGCUCGGUCAAUCUUGCUUCUGCAUUUCGAAGCUUCACAGCACUCUCUGCUGAUAUAUCAGAUUCCUAAUCUUUGAUCGGCGCCUAAAUACUUCAGCUGCCUGGUGAAAAUAUUCAAUAUAAAUCUAACAUAAUUCUNNNNNNNNNNNNNNNNNNNNNNNNNNNNNNNNNNNNNNNNNNNNNNNNNNNNNNNNNNNNNNNNNNNNNNNNNNNNNNNNNNNNNNNNNNNNNNNNNNNNNNNNNNNNNNNNNNNNNNNNNNNNNNNNNNNNNNNNNNNNNNNNNNNNNNNNNNNNNNNNNNNNNNNNNNNNNNNNNNNNNNNNNNNNNNNNNNNNNNNNNNNNNNNNNNNNNNNNNNNNNNNNNNNNNNNNNNNNNNNNNNNNNNNNNNNNNNNNNNNNNNNNNNNNNNNNNNNNNNNNNNNNNNNNNNNNNNNNNNNNNNNNNNNNNNNNNNNNNNNNNNNNNNNNNNNNNNNNNNNNNNNNNNNNNNNNNNNNNNNNNNNNNNNNNNNNNNNNNNNNNNNNNNNNNNNNNNNNNNNNNNNNNNNNNNNNNNNNNNNNNNNNNNNNNNNNNNNNNNNNNNNNNNNNNNNNNNNNNNNNNNNNNNNNNNNNNNNNNNNNNNNNNNNNNNNNNNNNNNNNNNNNNNNNNNNNNNNNNNNNNNNNNNNNNNNNNNNNNNNNNNNNNNNNNNNNNNNNNNNNNNNNNNNNNNNNNNNNNNNNNNNNNNNNNNNNNNNNNNNNNNNNNNNNNNNNNNNNNNNNNNNNNNNNNNNNNNNNNNNNNNNNNNNNNNNNNNNNNNNNNNNNNNNNNNNNNNNNNNNNNNNNNNNNNNNNNNNNNNNNNNNNNNNNNNNNNNNNNNNNUAACCCUCUCUCCCUCUUCAAUCUCUCUCUAUUUUGUUCCCAUUGAUGACCCCAAUCUGCUUAGUUAUCCAGCUUUAUAGCUGCAUCAGUAACAAACCAGCAAACCCAGAUUGAGCAGAUUGACGACACGUGGAUAACGGCUUUAACGAACCUGGUUAAGAACUGCUCACAUGUUCGUCACGCGUGCUGCUUAAAUGAUGGCCAAAACGACUUCAAACAAAUGUCGUUUUGAGGCUUAUGAAUUACAAGUGAUAACACGAGCUUGUCUCAUGACUUUUAAAUGCAACAACGUGCCCACAACGCCGUCGUUUUACUCUGUUGAGUUUGAUUCAUUACUAAGCUUUUACGACUGGCAAUGGAGAAGAUGAUAAUUUAAUUGACACGGACAGUUUUUAUAUCACUUUUACAACAUCCUAUGCAAUUGUAAUAUUGGGAAUUAUUGAUGUUUUAUUCUGUGAAUCCUCAUUGGCAAAAACUAGUGUUUUAUCUUUGUUGAAAUAUAGAUGACCUCUCGUUACUGUUUUAUUAUAAACAUAUAGUUUCGUAAGUGAAUAUUUUAUUAUAAAAUUAACAUAUAGUUUUGUUACAUUUCUGCCUCAUUAAGAUUCUCAAAUACCAGUCAGGUUUGCUUAAGAAAUAAAUUUUUUCCAUUAAAAUUGCAGUAGUAUUUCCAAGCAUAUCGCAUUUUCUAUGAGUUUUCAUAAAUUAAUUAAUCUGCGGUGCCAAUAUCAGAUUUAGUUUUUCAAACUAAAUAAUCAAGAAAGCAAACAUACAAAUAUACAGUUUAGAGGGUAAACUAGGUAGGUGGUUUAGAUUUUAGAACUAAGCCAGCUACCUCGCUAAAUUCCGAUUCGUACAGUGAACUGCAAGAAACUGAGAAAACAAUGUAUUUAUAAUUUAAUAGAAUCAUAAGAAAACAAUGCAGUCAUUGCUCAAUAUAAGAUGAUGAUUUCGGAGAGGCACAUUGUUUUCAAGUUAAUUUGAUCCGUUUAUAAGAGAUGAAGUGGAAUGAAGUUGAAAGUUUAAAUAACAAAUCCUUGUUCUUGAGUUUUACGACGUCGUUACUCCUUCAAGUGGCAGAUUAUGCAAGUGAAUGCAGAAACACAAUGCAUCAUCCGCGGGGAUGAUACAUCAAAAGGCGGGAUUUGUUUAUGCCUGCAGAUUAGCAAUUUCACUCAUAUAGAAAAUUAAUUUUUUAUAUAUACUAAUCAACACUAAAUUGAUUAUGUGUUGUAUGUUUAUAUAUGCUAAUCAACACGAAAUUAUAUUGAAUUAUUAACAUUCAUAUUCCUAAUAAAAAUUAUUUUCCAUCAGUAUUCAAAAUUUUCACUUAUAGAAAAUGCGUUUUACGUGAAUACUAGUUAUUGUGUAAAUUUGAAUGAUAGCGAAAAAUAAACCUAUUUGAAAACUGUAAGGGUGUGUUGGGAUAUUUUACAACUGUCGGAAUCUGGUAGGAUAUUUGCACCAUUUGCCCAAUAUUUUUAGACGUACUCCAACCGGUAUUCAAGAUAAGUAAAAUUUACAAGCGUGGCAAAAAAAAAAAAUUAAAUUCGUAACUUGUAAACGAAUUUUCCUGACAUGUAUAGUAAAUGAAGUUGUUGAUCCUUUCUUUGGAUUAUUUCAGCUCUGGUUGUUGGUCACCGAUGAGCCGAAGUCUUAUUUUAAUUUUAUUUAAACUCAUCAUAAGAUUCGUGGAGCACCUAACUAACUUAACUGACUGCGCAGAUCAUCUCAACAUGGCAUAUUUAACCAUCAUUCAAGUGAUGGGUUUAAUAAGACUGCUUUUGUUCUAUCAACUAUCAAGUUCCUCUGCCUCUAAGCAGAAUUACUAUUGAAGGGCCAAAAGGAAAAUGAAAACGUGUGAGCUCCAACAACCACCCCACAAUGAAUGACGAUGCUCGGAGAGGGUUAGGUUGGGCCUCUGAGAAAAAAAAAUUAUUUUGUUAAAAAGUUACCCUUAUUGAAACCUGUAUAAAAAUUUUAUAUUAAUUAGUUAUGUCGCCUCUUCAACGAUGAUCAAAUUCUUAUCUGAGCUCAUCAUUUAAUGAGUAAACAUGUAUUUUAAUGAUCUCAAUUAAUAUUUAGAACAAAUAUUUUAAGAAGUAAAGCUCAUUAUAUCUUCCAUUAUUAUGUAUUUCUUUAAUUUCUUAUUUACAUAAUUAUAUUGUACAUUAAAAAUGUAUUGAAUUUGAAGAAAAAAAAAUUCAACUCAAAAAAAAAAAAAUGCUGGUAGCUUCGUAAUAAUUACUGUAUUGACUGCACCAGAUAAAGUUUUGUAAAAUAAUAAGUUCUCAUAAGUGGUUUUUCAUUUUUAAUUUUCUUUUCCGGCACACCUGAUCAAGAAUUCUAUUUUGUUAACUAAUCAAUUGCAAAGCAUAAGUGUUUGAACGGUACAAAAAUUUAAAAAAAAUACACUUAAAAACGUGGGGUGGGUAACGGCUCACUCAAAUCGUUAGGUAGAAUUGUGGAAAACUAAAGCGAAAUGAGAAAUAUAGAAAGAAAGGAAGAGGUGAUGUUUUUCUAUGAAUUUCUAUGGGUAACGGCUCACUCAUCCUUCUAUGAAUUUCUAGCUGUAUUGACCCCAACUGCUAAAGUUUUGUAAAAUAAAAAUAAAAUAAAAACUGGAAUUUCAACAAAAAUUCAAAAACGUUUGAAAUUUAAUUUUUGGCCAUGUGGAACAAAAUGUAAAUUAAGUAAAAAAUAUAAAUCUCAAUUGCUUAGUAUGGUUAGGAUUUUGUGAGCAUCACUAAAAAGUGAAAACUAUGAAUGAUAGAGGUGAUGUUUGCAACAUGAAUAAAUGAUGAACUGAAUCAAUUGAUGAUCGUAAUUACAUAAUGAACAAAAUUUACAAAAUCAACAAAAGUUAAUAAAAAAUUAUUUUAAUAAUAAAAAAUCAAUAAAACUUAUUAUUUAAGGGCGCUCUAACCAUGGAAUACCAUAAUCAUAAUCUUCUUUUAAGAAAAUUAUAAACUUAUUAUUUUACAGGAUUGAUCCAUUUGGAAUGAAGUGGUCUCAAGUUGAAAGUAAUUAAUUUAUUGAAUAACUUUCGACUUAUUAAUAGUUAUAUCAAAGGGUGUUUUACCUCAUCAUGUCUUCAAGUGGAAGAUGAAGACUAUGCAAGUGAAUUCAGGAAUAUUGCAUGCCUGUUGUCUAAAGCAUUACCUCACAAGGUUUCAUGAGAAACGAAAGAUGUGUUUGCUUUGAACAAUUAAAGUUACUGCUACGAACCUCCCCAAAGGUCAAGAAGACAGAACAGGAAGCUAAUGCCAUCAAUGUCUUGUUCAUUAUAGCUGCUGGGUAGUUAGGUGUAGUUUCCUCAUUUGAAGCUGUCUAUACAUAGGCAUUUCCCCUGCUUAUGUACAAAUAAAUGAACAACCUUGAAGCUUUAUUAUUCGCAACAAAAAGGGAUUACUAAUUGGAGAAGACAAUACAGAGUUUUCUCUCACACUUUCUCUCUGUCAAUUUCAUCCAGAAGUCCCUCUGAAAGCUUCUCCCAAAACAGUUAGUCAUCUUUUAUGCUCUGUUUUCUGAAAACAGAGUCCUAACUAAAUUAAUUGACUGUACAGUGCAUUUCAACAUAGCAUAUUUAACCGUUUUAACAGUUAUUUGGACCGUCUUCAGAGGUAACAUCAACAAACUCAUUCAUAUGCUUAAUAAUGAACGAAUAGUCUUGGAUCGAUGUUUUGCAGCAAGAGCAACACGACACAAUCUGGAUUCAACCUCCUCCUUUCUAACAGGGGAUUUCGAUUUGAGUUACUUUGUGCUCAAGCAAAUUCACAUCAUAGUUUUGAUUCUUUAGAUAUGAAUUCAUCUCAUUACAUAUAUCAGAUUAAGUGUAACAAAAUUUGUAAUUUACUGCGAAAAGAAUAUGCACUAAAAAAUGAUUUCAAGACUAUUUGACUACAAAAAGCAGCUGUCAGAGUGCACUAAAAAUUUCUGUAGGAUAUUUUGUAGCUGUUUAAUAUGUUAUGAUGGGCAUAUAAUUCUCAAAUUUUGAUGCCUCUCAGCGAAAAAUAUAUCAAAGUUACGGAUGAUAUCACGUAAAACAUGCAUGGCUCAGGCUCAGGCUCAGGUAAGAAAGCCACAGAAAAGGAAAAUCUCACUGUCACGACUCACGUCACGCAUCAUUCAAGUGAUGGAUUUAACAAGACUGCUUAUGUUCUAUCAAAUUCCUCUGCCUCUCAGAAGAUAACUUUUCUGGGCCAAAUUUCUCAUCUAAAGCAUAUUAUGCCCCAAAGUCACAGAUAACAAAAUGGGGCACUACCGAUUAUGAAAGAGAACUAGUAGUUGUCAGAAGCCUAAGCCAAAUUCCGGUAGUAAGAAGAGGCCUUUCUUGAGUUUAGAUUAUGUGUUCGAGUUUUAAUAAAUGCCUAAGUUAAUAAUAAUAACAACAGUAAUAAUAAACUAAAAAGCAUAAUUACUAUUGAAUGGUAAAAAAAAAAAAUGAAAAUGUGUGAACUCCAAUAACCACCCCAGUGGCGAAUUUUGGAGAGGGCUAGGCCGGGCUUCUUAGAAAUUAUUUUUAUUUAAUUACAAAAUCACCUUUACUGAAACCUAUAUAAAAUUUUUUAUAUUAAUUAAUUAUGUUGCCUCUUCAAUUAUCAUUAAAUUCUUGUCCGUUCAUAAUUUGAUGGACAAAUGUGUAUUUCAAUAAUUUCAAAUAAUGUCUAGAACAAAUAUUUUGAAUUAUAAAACUCAUUAUGUCCUGCAUUACUAGAUGUAUCUAUAAUUUAUUAUUUACAAAUUAUAUUGUAUGAUAAAAAUGUAUUGAAUUUUUUUUAAAAAAAAAGUUCGGCUCACUCAGAAAAAAAUGUUAUUAGCUUCGCCACUGCACAAAUCUAGAAUAAUAAUUAUUCCUUAUUAUAUUGACUGCACCAAGCAAUAAACUAAUAAGUUCUCAUCAGUGGUUUUUAAUCUUUUUAAUUCUUUUUACCGCACACCUGAUCAAGAAUUUUAUUUUGUUAACUAAUCAAUUGCAAAGCAUAUAUAAGUGUUGAACGGUACACAAGAUUGGAAAAAAAAAUCUUAAAAAACGUGCGGAUUCGGGUGGCCACACCAGAAAUCUAUUACAAUAAUUAGCUUUGAUGCUGGGAAUCUUUUAAUUUCUGGCCGUAUUGAAGUUUUUAAAAUAACAAGUUCCCCUUCUCGUUUUUUUUUUUUUUUAAAAUAUAUAUGCUUAUAACAAUUUUAGAAUAAUGAUUCAUUUGUAGAAGAACUUAUGAUUUCCCAUUAAUAUUAAUAUUGAAGUGGGGUGGGUCAAAUCUCAAUUGCUUGAAGAAUUUAUGUAUUAUUAAAUAUUACCAUCCAAGGUAGAAUUGUGGAAAAUUAAAGCAAAAUGACAAGUAUGGAAAGGAAGGCUGAAAGUAAGGCAUGACGAAAGGCUUUGAGAAGGCUGAAGACUACCAAAGAAGUCAACUGAAAACUAGCUGGGGCCUGAGUGUAUAAAUUGUUAGAUGCGUUUGUUAUAAAUAACAUAGAGCCCUUUUGUUAUUUAUAGUUAUAGAGAAAGAGAGAAUGUGUGUUUUUUAAUAGUUAGAGAUAUAGCUAGAAUGGGUUGCUCAAAAUCCAAAAUAGUGACAAUGUUAGUUCUCGUAUUGAUAAUAUUGGGGGGGGGGGGGGGGGGGGGGGGGGGGGGGGGGGGGGGGGGGGGGGGGGGGGUGUUGGGAGGUCGAGUGAGGGAUGUUUGGAGCAUGAGCAAUUUGAUCUUUUGCGGCUUAAACAUUUCUUCAAUUAAUAUCGAUCUGGAGAGUGGUAUCUGAAUGCUUCUCUAUUUACUUCCUUUCAACAACUUGGUAACAAAAUAGCCGGCUGCAUGCGUUGAGAAUGAAGGUGCUUCAUUUAAUUUAAUUUACUUAAUUUCUCCCUCCUAAUUAAUGUCUAUAAUCAUUAGGAGGAACAAGGGAUUUUAUUAACUCAAAUAUAUCUAAUGGAGCUCAUUCUUUGGUUUUACUUGCAGGGCUAGAAGCAGGUGUCAUCUAACAGCUGCUUUGAUAAUUUCCCUCCCCUUCAUCUUUGAUGGAAAGAUGAAAUAAAAACAAAUUGGUGAAAAUGGUAUUGGUACCUGAGGCUAUGUAAUCUAAUUCAAAAACUGCACCAUCAAAACGAUUACAUAAGUCUCAGAAGAAUCAAAUAUCAGUUUGCAAAAUAUCAAUUGCUGGAGGUUUGAUUCUAACUUCCGCUCUUCAUUUUUAUGGGCAUAUUGUGUUGUACUUGCAUCCGAAAAUCAUAUUUUAGUUUACUUGCACUCAAUGCUUGGAUUAAAGUUUUUUUUUGGGGGGGGGGGAUUGAAGAAGACUAAAAUUACACCAAAAAAGAGUUGAGCGAGAGCGGGUUUUGUCUUCAUUUAAGGAGCUCUUUAUAAAUUUUGGGAUUUUUUUCCUGAGAAAAUUUAUGCCAACUCAUUCUUUGCUUCUUUUCUGAAGGGACACAUGCAACCGAAAGUAUAUUCUUGAAUUCUCCAGGAUAAGAGACAUACGUUUAGAUUCUGGAGCAUUUAAAAACAAUGUCAAAUUUUAGAUUGCUGAAAUUUUAUAUAUCCGAGUAUGAUGGUGUUCCAAUUAUAAGCUCCAGGGUGCAACUUCACUGAGGUUUAGAAUGCCUUCCUAUAGAAUUGAGAAAUCUCCAUUGGCAUAAAUAUCUUUUGAAAAUACUGACAUCAGAUUUUGAAUUGGAGAACCUGAUUGGACUCAGCUUGCCCUGUAGUAAGGUUAAGCAAAUUUGGAAAAGAGAAAAGGUAUAAUGUAUUACUAUUACCAAAGUAUCUAUUUUUCUUUCUUUAAGUAUUUAUAAUGAAUAACUUUGAAAUUCAAUGAUGCUCAUUUAGUAUAGUUAUGUAUCUUUGGUUAUAGGAAGCUGUCAAGUUAAAAUCUAUAGACCUUCACCACCCCUUUAUCUCAAUAGGAUCCCAGAAAUACUAAAUCUUAAAAAAAUAAAUCUUUCAAAUUGUGAAAGCAUGCUUACGUUACCCCCGUAUAUCCACAAUUUCAACUAGCUGAGUAUGUUGUGUUUCAGGGAUGCAAAAUUCAUUUUGUUUCUCAUGAAAGGAUUGACUUGUCCGGAUGUAUUAGGGUUAGUAAACCAACUAAUCCCAUAAUUUGUUGAUGUAGGGUCCUAACAAAUUAUUGCAGUAGAUUGUAGAUCAGUACACUAUUCGAAAACGUAUUUGAUCCACACAGUGAAGUGGAUAUUGGACCAAUUUGAUGAUAAUGAAUUUCUUUCAAUCUCAAUCUUUUUUCUUUUUAGCAACAUGACUAGUCAUUGUGCAAAUUCAAACUCUGACAAUAAUUUCUCAAUCGGUUUCUAAGAUGAUGACCAUGCAUGUAUAUGUAUAUGCGUGUGUAUAUGUGUGUGUGUGUAGAGAGAGAGAGAGAGAUCACACGUGUGUGAUUUCCUUUUGCCAAUAGGAUAUGCAGAGAGCUUGAUCUUACCCAAUAGCGAAACAAACUUCCUAAUAAGUGAAGGUAUAGUAUAAAUACUUAUACUUUCAUGUUAUUUUGUUCAUCAGUAGCUUGAUUAUUUUAUAUGCGUCUUCGAUUUUAAUUUUCUUUCCCUAUAAUCGCUAUUAUCUUUGAACUGGUCAUAAUUUGCCCAUAAGAUUUCUCAUGUUGUUUUGAGGUGCAACGGAUUUUGAAUUUAGUGACAAGCAGUGGAAGCCAGAAGGCAAAUUAUGAAAAUGGAUAAAGAUCUAUAAUUAGCUGUUAUGGGAUGUCACAUAUCAUAUUGAUGGUAACGUUAUAUAUAUGUACAUAUAAUUAAUGGGGUUGGCUCACGAGCCCAUUAAUAAUGGUAUAUUAGCUUAUAUACUUCAAACAAUGUACUAUGAAGCAAUUUCACAAAUACUUGUUAGCUUAUGUUGAGCUUUAUUGAAUCAGUAGUUCACAGUUCAAUAAAAUGCAGGUUUGCUAUUUGAAGUACAUGGUUAUGGUGCGUACAUUCUUCAUAAGGCUAACUACUAAUUUAUCAUUGAAACUUGAAAAAUGUGAUAGAGAGAUGUAGAUAACAGCCGCAAAACACUGAGAUUGAAAAUCAGGGCUACUAAAUUCUAUUAAAAGUCCUUAAAAUAGACAGCGAUCACCCUGAAAUGUAUAUACUGAAACUAAGAAAUAUUAAUCGCAAAGUUAUGCAUUAAUAGAACUAUUGACUACUUAUCUUUAGCAUAAAGUAUAUUUUUAACUACAGCUUUCUGCUUUGUUCUAAGAACUAGGCAAAAGUGGUGUAUCUUCAAUCCAAUCAACAUAUAUACCACUUAUCUUCCUCUUCACUUCUGUCUAUUUUGAUUUGCACUUCAUAUCCUGCACUUGCUGCUUAGAAAUAGUCUUUAUUCUGGACAUUGAAAGUAGAAAAAGUACUUGAAACAAUCAUUGGCACAGCCCGAGAUUCCAUUGAAUCGUGGACUCCAAGCUUUCAUAGUUCUAUAAAGAAGAUGACAAAACUUCAUACAACUGGCAUUCUGCUUUUAACAUUUGCACAACCUGAGCGAGUUAGCAAGCCCCUUGUUGCGUUCCCAUUGAAUAGACCUACUUCUGUUAUCCGCAGAAGAUCCACCACUCAAAAUGUUUAUCACCAGGCUAUUCUUAAACUGAGCCUAAACUGAGUAGAAACUUCCGCACAUCUCUCAGCAUUUACAUGAAGAAAUCGACAACUAUCCUCAUCUCUCAGCACAUCUCUCAGCAUUCUACAAAGUUGCAUUUCACUAAGCAAUCUAUCCUCUCCAUUCCUAGCAAAGUGACAUUGAUUCCCGUAUUUGUAAUCGCCUAACUUGGGUUUUGGGCAUAGCGUGGUCUUAAAAUUACCACCCAAUACUUUGUUCAGUGCCACUGGCAUCCACAAGCUCUAGCCCUGUUAGUUGAAUCAUAUUCAAUGGGACAGUGAGGCAGCAUUUCACUAACAUAUUCAAUUUGACUACUUAUAUUGACGCAAAUAUUAGAAUUUGAAAUCACUUCUUUUAUUGGAAUAUUAUAUUAAUAUGACCCCAAAUGAAAGUUCUUGAAUGGAAAUGAUUUUUAUUUACUUUUCGAACAGAUUCAAGAAAACCCAGAGAACACAAAAUUUACACAGUAAUAUGAUUAAGAGCUGAGAACGUAUAUGUAGUAAAUGUCUAUCAAAAAACACCCAAGGGUUUCUUUAAAAUUAGUAACUAGUAAACAAAAAGAAAGAAUCAUUUUACAUUUUUAGCAACUUUGGGGUGAGUGAGUGAGUGAGAAAUUGAAACCCUCAAGUGAUGACAACAGUAAGAUUCAGUAUGAAGUGAAACCCCAAUUUGAAAUGUAGGCAUGAGUUGCUGAGUCAGUAGAUGAAGCUAUAAAUAGGCAUUCGGUUUCCUUCUUUUCGGUUUGGAGGGCCAUGGAAUAGUGUAUUGGAGUGGGCUCCAAGUAAUAGCCUCUAUCACUGGAACGACACAUCUAUAAAAUGUGAUACAUGGGGAAGGAUUGGGCAUUUUAUUCUUAGAUUAGCCCCUUAUUUAGGGUGUAUAUUAAGCAGAUUAUAUAUUACAUGGAGAUGGAGUUUAUGAAAUAGAUUAAAAAGAAAAGGAAAUUUUGGUGCCUAAAGUUUGCCACUUGGAAUAUUUCGGUGUCUAAAAAUUCACUCACCACUUAUUUCAUGUUUGAUUAUAUGUUGAAAAGAUAUUAAAAUAGUAUAAUGCUAUUAAGGCUUAACGUAUAUUUUUUAUUAGUAGAGUGUAGAAUUUUUAAGAAAUAAAUUAUUAAAUUAUUAUAACUAACAUAUUAUUUUAAAGUUGUGUUAUGAAAAAAAUGAAAUAAAAAUGUACAGUAAAUAAGAAUAUUUUAAAACUUUUAUCUUUUUAAAAUUAGUUUUUAACAUAAGGUGAACUAUUUUUUUUUUUAAAAUCACAUAUUCUAGUUAAAAUCAAAUAUGUAUUUAUACGAAGCUUGUAAAUUUUUUUUUUAGUACUGAUAUUUGAAUAUUAUCAAUAAAAAAAAGGGUAAUGUUCAUGCUGCAUUAUUUUUGUAGCACACAAAAGGACAACACCGUUUAUGUUAUAAUACUAUCGCUUCUGUUAUGAUAAUUUUUUUUGUGGCCAAAUAUCUUUUUUUUUUUUAAGUAAAAAAAAGUGGACAAAAUGCAAAUCAGUUUUUAAUCCUCAAUCUCUCCCAAAAUAUAUAUUUCGGUGUCUAAAAAUUCACUCACAAAACUAUAGCUGACAAAAAGUUACUAACAAAAAGUUAGGUCCAUGGGUUGUUAAAACUAUAGCUGACAAAAAGUUACUAACAAAAACAGAAUGUCCAUUUUAUAACUUUCUUAAAAAACUUUCCUUAACUUUUUUAAACAAAAAGUUAUUUCCAAUUUUUAUUUUGUUAUAAUGUUUAUAACAAAAUUCGUAGUUAACUAAACUCUUCUUAUACCCUUUCUCAACUGCCAUACCCUAACCCACUAAACCACGCUCAAUUAAGGCCAUCAGAUUCUCCCGGGCCCACAUUAAUCCAACUGCUCACAGAGACCGACAGCCUCUCUAUCUCCAUUUCAAGCUCCCUCUUCAACUGGCUUCUGCUACCGUCCUACUCUUUCUCGGCUUCGGAGUCCGUAUUUGCUCGGCCUGUCCCACGAAGCUCCCUCUCACUCCAAUUGUCGCCCCACAAGACCAAUUGCUUAAUCAAGACACCGAACAAGAAAAGGAUGAGAAGUUGAAACAAGAAUUUGAGAAUUGGAAAUAAAAAACGUACGCAUUGACCGUGCCUUUGAGAGUCGUUUCUCUUCAGAACUCAGUGCCUCAAUCUUGGGUUAAGGAUUUUAUGCGAAGUCAGGGAAAGAGAUUGAAGUUUCAGAUGAAUUUGUGUGCUAGCAUUGAUGGGAUCUUUAACAAUUUAUCUGUGCCCUUUAACAAAGUUAAGGCUAAGUCAGCUUCUUAUAUGGCUGCUGAUUUGGUUAGUGUUGGUGAUUCAUGGCUUAGUUUUGCCAUUAAAAAGAGAUUGAUUGAGCCAAUGGCUGGAGCUGAAGACCAAGAUUGGUUCAAAUGCUUAAGUCACAAAUGGAAGGUAACAUCUUUGUCUUUGAUCCUCGAGGUAAAAUAUGGGCGGCACCGUACAGGUGGGGCACAACGGUGAUAGCCUACAAGAAAAGUAAAUUUCGAAAGCAUAAUUUGGCUCCGAUUGAGGUAAUAAUUUUCUUUAAACUCAUUUAGUUUUAUAUCAAACAAAAUCAAGACUGCCUUUCUCUUCAAUAUUUUUUAUGAUAAUAUCUUUAGAAGCAUCUCAUUGACGGGUAACAAUGGCAUCCCUGAAAGAGUCUAUAAACUCAAUGAUAUUAUCUUCUACAAAUGGUUCAUUAAACUUUGUCGUUGUACUCAAAUGUACACUCAGAUCAAUGAGAAGCUAUGCUACGUUAGCAUGUAGUGAUGGCACUUAAUAAGUGAGUUGCUAGGAUGUGAACUAGAAAAAUUAAAUAUUGUCUCCUUGGGUAUGCUAGCUGGUAAGUCAGGGUUAAUAUCAGAGCUUAAGAUAGUAUAACCGUGAGAACCUAUUGACUGCCAAUUAAAAUAUCCAUUGAAAUGUCUAGGGAGUUAUGAAGGUGGAGGUAACUUCCAAUUUCUAAGGCCACAGAGUAGACAUCAUCCAGGAUCCUAGGAAAGUCCAGUUAACCUCCUGCUCGAUGCAAUUAAUAAAUUUGGUCAAUGCCACUGAAACCUGCUAACUGACGUCACAAUGCGACAUGAGCACUUCAAAAUGGGACAGACGGUCAGUAGCACUAAAUUUUUCUUGCCCAAGAUUGAGCAAUUGGUCUAACUACUAAUCCCUAUUGUAGGUUGAUCAUUAUUUUUUCAAUUAUGUUCAGUUUGACCCAAAAAGUUGCAGAAUCUUGAGCUAAAUAUUGUCACUGAACACUGUCAAUGUCAUUUAGCAUAGCCAACUAACUUGAUGUUAAAACAAACACACAGUGUGUCUCAUGUCUCACAAUUCAAAUUAUCAUCUGUAAUGUUGGAGAAUUUUUCCAAUGUAUGAAGUAUGCUUUGAUACGUGGGUUACCUUGGAGAAGAUAUCUCAAAAUAAAGAAUAUGGGGAGAAAACAGUUCAGUAGUUUAUUAUUCUGUAGUCAAGUUUUGUCUCGAAAAUGGUCAAAAUUUAAAUGAAUAAGGACAGGGGAUCUUCAUUCUUUUUUCCCUUUUUUAUACCAAGAUAUCUCUCAACCUUUAUAUAAUCCCCACUGGAUAUCUGCUUCUAAUAAUUAAAAUAAAAAUUUCACCGCUCUAACAAUAAAAAGUAACAUCUUUCCUCAAAUAAUUUACAGUUCCUCAUCAUCUUAGUGUGAGAAUAUCAGUACAUUCCAAAAACAUAAUAAAACUGGUUUGAUCCUGUUUAUUGAUGUUUAAAUGUUGUUCAUUGUGACAGGUAGAAAUGAUGAGGCGAAGUUUAUUUGGACAUCAAUUAGUAAGAUCUUGUUUGAAGUUGUUUUCUGAAAUGAACUGCCAAAUGGUAGUUUUUUGGGGGCAUUUGAUGGCUCUUUUUUUUUCCUCAUUUUCAACAUGUGCCUGCUUGGAACAUGAAGGAUUAGGCUGCAGAGUUGUUAUAUAUUUUGAGAUGCUCUGGUCAUUGCACAAUUUGUUCACACUGGAAAUUAGAAUGAGAAAUUUGUUGAUGCUGUUUUGAGAGAUCUGCAUUCUAUGCACAAUAACAUGAUUAAUGAAAAUGCAUUGUAGGACUGGAAAGAUCUGUGGCAGCCUGAGCUCGCAGGAAGAAUUUCAAUGGUUAAUUCUCCCCGAGAGGUUAUUGGUUCAGUUUUGAAGUAUAGGGGAACAUCAUACAAUUCAAACUAUAUUGAUUCGCAAGUUGCUGGUGGGAAGAUUGCUGUUCAGCAGAAUCUGGCAUUACUGGCAAACCAGGUACUCUUACAGAAAUCAUAUCUGGUCAUUGCAUGUUAUUGCCUGACAACUGAUUUUGUUUGUAAAAGUCUGCUUCUUCAUACAUAUGAAUGCAUAUGUUAGUGUUUUCUUCUCCUUUUCAUACAUAUAAAUGCAUAUGUUAGUGUUGUCUUUUCCUUUUCACACAUAUUAAUACAUAUGUUGGUGUUCUCUCCUGAGAUGGAUGCAAUAAAGGCUUUUGCUCCUAAAUUUAGCUGAAGAAAUGGCAAGGGAUGUGAGAUUCUGUCUCAUUAAAUUAACAAAAACCCAAAACAAUGAAAAUCCAUAAUAAUGUGGUGUGGGUAAAUUGGCUCCAUUUGGUUCGUUUCCUUAAUGUGAAUGCGCGAGCAAUAGAGACUAACAAAAUGAAGUGACAACAAGAAGUCAGUGUCCUUUGAUGGAUGCAUUUUUAGGCAGAAAUAUGUUUGUAAUUGACCAAAUUUGUCUGGCAUGCCAAUUUCAAAAAAAUUAAAUUAUGUGGUUAUUAGCUGUAAUGAAGGGGGAUAGUAGGUGCAAUCAGGUGUAUCCAGGAAAGUUCAACAAAGUUUUGGUAUGGCGUAGUGAAAUUGGUUUGUGCAACUCAGGAGUCUUUCAGGUGAACGAUGAUAGGUUUUGAUUUAUGAAUAUUAUAAAUCUACUGUGCAUAGUAUUCUAGUAGAAUCAUCUAUAAGUUCUAGUUAUUGUAUACUUUGCCUGGUUUGAGUUAAGGGCACAUGUAAUAUGAAAGAUAGUUGUCGCAUCUUUUAGGUUACCUAACAUUUGAUCAAUCCUAUUAUGGGGGCUUCAAGAUGUCUAACAAUAUGUAGAAUGCCCAUGCUCCUCCCCAUUGUUUAUCUUCUACAAUAAUUUGUUUUAGAUGCUAAUAUCUUUGUCGAUACCGGUAACAAUAUUACAAUAUCUGCGUUUAUUGGGUUUUACAUAGGUUCGACUGUUUGACAGUACACACUAUCUGAAGGCAUUUGCAAUUGGAGAUGUAUGGGUUGCUGUUGGGUGGAUUAGUGAUGUUCUUCCUGCUGUCAAACAUAUGUCUAAUGUUGCUGUUGUUGUUCCCAAGUCUGGUGCUAGCUUAUGGGCUGAUCUUUGGGUAUACCCAUGCCUGCCAUUCUACUUCAAUAUUCACAUUGUUAUCUCCUUCAUAUUAGUGAUCAGUAAACACGAUAAUGUGACUAAUAAGUUCGUAUUCUCUUUAUAGGCAAUCCCUGCUGCCUCAAGACUUGAAACAAAACAAAUUGGAGGGCGAGUCAGAGGUGCAUUUCCAUUAAUCCAUCAAUGGAUAGAAUUCUGCUUGCAAACAGCGAGAGCAUUGCCUUUCAAGCAAGAGGUUAUCCCGAGCGCAUCUCCCUCUGCCCUUGAGAGUACUCUGGUUAAGUUGCCUGAAGAACUUUUCAAGGGUAAACCAAGUCUGGAUACUAACUUAAUUGCUGGAGUACCCCCGACUGAAAUUCUGGCCAGAUGUGAGUUUUUGGAGCCUUUAUUUGAAGCUACAUUGUCGGAUUAUGAGUGGCUGGUUACUAAUCUGCAAAAAUCCACUCCUGUACUGAUCAACAAGAUGCAACAUUACAUGUCAUCAUUGAUCUUUAGCUAAAGGUACAUUGAAAAGUUAAUGGCACUGCAUACCAGUCAUUAUAAUUGGGUCAGGGCAAUUAGGUCAGAGCAUAACUUCAUUAGGAAAAGAUGCUUCAGCUACGUUAAAUAUUACAGGAUGUACUGAGAUGGCUGAAGCUGUUGAGGUUUUACGAGAAUCGAAAGAUAGUGUUUGUUUGAACAAAGUUGUUGCCAAUCUUGCAGAGUUCGAGAAGAAAGAUCACGAAGUGAAUGCCACCGAUUUCUUCAUCAUUGUAGCCUCCAUAGUUGAAGUUUCCUCAUUUGAAGCUGUUUAUGCAUACGAUUUUCCCCUGCUCAAGUACAGGAAAUUGAAGAAUUAACCAGAUGUGAUAUGCUGAAAGAGGGAAGUUUUCUUCCUUGAAUGUGGUCUUUGUGAUUUGUCUUGAAGGAAUAGGGUGAUCACUGGCAAGAACCCUAUCAAGGUAGAUUUUAUGAUGUUAACAUAUCAUUAAGCAUUUUGUUACAUCAGCAAUGAUGCUUUCAUAGCAGCAUGAAAGUGUUUAAAUUUAACUGAAUGAUCUUGAUUGAUCAAUUAUGAGUUUUAAUCGAGUAAAAACUAAAUACAAUAAUCGUUAACAAAUAUUGAAAUUGGGUAAAUAUGAUCUUGAUAUUGAAGAAUUUGAAAUCACAACCCACACAGGAAAUCACCCUUCGCGUGGGGAUGGAGAUGUUUACUGCAGCGAUAUUGAAUAUGUCCACCGCUCUUUGGGUUAUGGUGCGACUUGCCCUGAAACAAUGGAAAAGAAUAAUUAAUAAUUUAACGCCAAGACAUAAAAUUAAAACGUGUGGACUCCGGUAGCUGCCCUACAAGUCUACAACUCUACAAACAUUAACUCUACAAACAUUAAAACGUGUGGACUCCGGUAGCUGCCCUACAAGUCUACAACUCUACAAGAAUAAUUUCUAGCCCUGUUGACUCCACUAACUAAAGAAAUUUCAAAACGUACAUAGAAUUCCACAACAAGCAAAACGUAUGGAAUUUAAUUUUUUGCCGUGUGGAACAAAAUACAAUUUAACAAAAAAGGAUAAGAAAAAUGGUAAGAUUUCUAAAAUGAGUGGAAGGUGAUUCAUAUUUUACUGAAAUGACUUGUCCUGAACAUUAAGACGAUUGAUUUUUUUUUUUUUUUAAUAACAUCAACUUCCAUAUCUUUCUAACCCCUAGAAUAUGCUCACGUUCAAGUCUAUCUUGGUAAUUUGAAAAAGAAAAUCAAAUCAAAUCAACACCAAAACAAUGAAAAGUAAAACUUUUGAAUUUCAACUUUAAACUUUUGUUAACCCCUAGAAUAUUCAGCGUUUUCAAAUUCUUCCGAUUGCAUAUCUUCUUCCUCCAUCAAUGCAAUAUUUGAACGAUUAUGAAAGAGUUUAAGAACAUAAAAAAUCUCCAAGGUUUAUACGGUAUAACAAAUUUAAAUUCUCAAUUACAAUAGAUAAUAAUUAAACUAAUAAUUUUUUAUGUACUUAUUUUAGUAAUUUCACCUAAGAAUAAUAUUGUAAUUAGAAAAAAAAAUCUAAUAAGUAGGGUGGUCUUAUACAAAAUCAACUGUACUGUGAUGAGUUUCCUUUUGUUAAUAAUUUUAGUCUAAUUUCAAUUGUACUGUGAUCGCUUCUCAAGGUAAGUGAAAGUUACAGAUGUGGCAAAAUAAAUAAUUAAGUUAACAAAAUGCUAACUAAUUUUCCUCAAUACCUAGGGUUGUACAAUUUCACCAACCUGGAAGAAUUGACAUUAAUGGACUGGUCUCCUCCCCAUAUAAUUAUAAUCCUUCUAGAAAGCUAUUUUUUAUUAAAUAUUUGCUUUUAAGUUAAUUUCAAUUAAAAAAUGUUUUAAGUUAUAUAUACUCUAAUGAGAUUCUGAAUUCCUUUAUUCCAAUAAUAAUGAAAACGUAUUAAAUUAGAAAUGAAAAAAUUGGUGUUGAUGAUUCAACCUAUUUGGAUAGAUUACGUGAAUAAAAUUAAAAUUUUGAUUUAAUUUUUGUUUAUUGUUAAUUCUCAGGCUAUCUUAAUUUCAAGAAUUUAGAAUGUUAAUUUGGUCAUGGAUUUCAACCCGUGAGUGUCAUAUUCUAGACUUAAUGGUACCAUUCUUUGAUUGAGGGCAAUGACUCUCACUCCUCUUGUAAAAAAAUAUUUUCAACUAUUUUGAUGACUUAAAAAUUGAUAGAUUUAUUGUUGUCAUGACCAAAUUAUUCAUUUUAAUGAAAUAUAAUUAAUGCAUCAAAGUUACCAGGUUUAUGUUCUAUCUUAAUGCGCUUUUUUUUUUUUCAGUUAUAGCUUCUGCUUACGUCUGUUUCAUUUUUUUUAAUAAAAAAACAAGGGAAGGUUUUUCCGAGUCAUCCAUUAUUUGAUUUCCGUCAAUCAAGAAAACGACCAAAUUAAUUUCUCUCCAAAAUUUCCAAAAGCUAGAAAAUUUUGUUAUUUGAAAAUAACAUGAUUAAUUAUAGAGUGGAUCAAACCGCGUUAUUGUCUUUCAUAAAAUUGAUGUCUUUUUAAGAGUCAAUACUUUUUAUUUACGCAAACCAGUCGACAUCAAUUUAAACUUCCAUAUUUUUAUUAUUAUUAUGUUAUUUAUUUUAAUCGCCGAUUAUUUGAUUAGCCACUAUAUAUAUCAAGAAAGCGACAAAAUUUAUUUCUCAUGACUUCCAAAAACUAGAAAAACAACAUCAUUUAUUAUUUUUUUGCAACCCUAAUUGACAUCAACUUUAACUUUAUUAUGUUAUUAUUUCAAUCCCCAUUAUGACCUUUCUAAUCCUCCAUUAUGCAUCUUUUAUAGUGCAAAUUUAAUUGCACAUCUAAAUAAAUUGAUUAUUGUUACUCCACCACCAAUAUUUCAAAUAGUCACUAGACCAUUUCUGCCUUUAAUUUUCCCUUAACUAUUGACUGUUUUUAGCAUCUUAAAAUAUACAUUUAUUCCUUGAUUAUGUGAUAAAAUUAUGAAAAUAUCCAUUUUAGCUUAAAUUAAUUGGAAUAACCAUAAGCGUAACAUAAAUUAAUAGAACAAAAUUAUCAAGUGUAUGUUCUAUCUUACUUUUUGAAGAAUUUAACAUAUAUAAUGCUAUACUAUUAAUAAAUUUUUCAUUUACUAUAUAUGUUCACAUAUUUUAUAUAUUUAUUAAUUGUUAUAUAGUCACAGGAUGAAUGAUUUUUCAGGUCUACAUGAGUUGGUGCACAUGCAAGACUCAAUUUUGACAACAAUGAUCUAAGGGGUAAUUUACCUUGGUGUUUGACAAACAUAACCUCUCUUCAUGAUUUACUUCCAAUCUACUUACUGUAAAUAUCUCCUCAUCUCCUCUCAUUUAUAUGAUAAGUGAUAACCCUUGAAGAUCUCACAUUUUCAAACGAUCAUAUUAGGGUUUUUAUUAUUAGCAUCAUUGUGUCAACAAAAUAUAUGUUGCAGUAAGAUUUUUUCAGACCAAUUCCCUUCUUCAAAUAAUAAUGGAAAAGUAUUAAUUUAAAAAUAAAAUGAAUAUGCAUUGAUUAUAUCCUGAUUUCCAUCGAUUAUAGCGAGAGUUUCUCCGAAUCAACUCCCUUAUUCAAAUAAUACAGAAAAAAUAGUAAUUUAAUAGUAAAAUUAGCAAGUGUUGAUUAUAUAUCCUAAGUUUCAUCGAUUAUGUGAUCAAAGUGGCAUUGUUGAUUUAUUUCUUGUUCAAUGUUAAUUUUUAGGUUAUCUAAAUUUCAAGGAUUUAAAAUCUUUGUUCAUGGAUUACACGCUUAUUAAUUUUUCUGCCAUUGACUGUCAUAUUCUAGACUUAAUGGUACCUUCCUUGAUCAAGGAUAAUUACUCUAUGUUCUCCUCUUAUAAAUUCCUCUUCCAUUAACAUCACUAGGAGUAUGUUGAUCUCUCAGACGUUAACUUUAGUGGAGAGUUUCCAAAUUGAUUGUUACAAAACAACACAAAAACUAGACACACUUGAUCUGUCUAAUAAUUCUCUUUCGAUAAAAUUAAUUAAUUUUAGGGGAAUAUUCGACCAACCUCUAUAAUUUCAUAUUGAUCAUUAAUUAAUUAGACGAAAAAAGUACUUGUGCUUUUGUGGCGACAAUUGAACUAGAGAAGUGAAGCUGUAAAGAUUUGGCAGUAGUAAAUUGUUAGAAAGACAUAAAGACAAUUUCCCAUUUUAUAAUUUUUUCAAAAAACUUUUUUACAACACAUGCACCUGGCCAAAAAUUUUAUUUUGCUAACUAACAAUAAUUGAGUAGCUGACCGUAUUGACUCCGCCUACUUGCUAAAGUAAAAAAAUAGAAAUAGAAUUUCCACAAAAUGUCAAACAUGUAAAAUCUAAUAUUUGCAUGUGGAACAAAAUACAAAUGAAAAAAAAAAUAGAAAAAAGGCCUAAGACUUUUAAAAUGUGUGGAAAUCUUUCGGCCCUUUUAUAAUGGUGUGUUUUUCAAAGGAACAACUAAUAAUAAUGACACUUCUACGGUUUGUUUUGAUAAUUACACAUAUACUCUUUAAUUUGAUAAAUGGUUACACAAAUUUUGUUUACAAAAAUAUAUUAUUCAUGUUCUGUAUAUUUUUUAACAUCAUAUUUUUAUUUAUUAUAAUUGUUUAAAGUUAAUUGUUAGGUUGAUAUAUAAUAAAAACGUAUAAUCGUUCUCUUACUAAACACACAUACUCGUAGUUUCUAUCCAUUUGUCAUCUCAAUCUCUCUCAUUUAUCCUUUCUUGAUAGCUCAAAACGCGUCACUGUGGAAAAUAAUAGCAAAACGACAAUAUGGAAAGAAUGGGAAGAAAAUUAAUGCAUGAAAGAGUUGCAGAAGACAACCAAAUAAGUCAACUAUACGCUAGUUGGGUGUAUAAAUUGUUAGAUGUGUUAUAAACAAAUAGCAUAGAGCCUUGGUUGGUUACAGAGAUAGAAAAACUGUGUGUGUUUUUUAGAACUUAAAGAUACAGUUAGAAUGGGUGGUUCAAAAUCAAAAAUGGUGAUAAUGUUUGUUCUGUUAUUAAUAAUAUUAGAAGGUGGGUGGAGUGAAGGAUGUUUGGAUCAUGAGAGAUUUGCUCUUUUGCGACUCAAACAUUUCUUCGAUGAUACUGGUAGUUAUUUUUACUACUGGGCAGAUGGUGAGGGAGCUACUGAUUGUUGUCAGUGGGAAAGGGUUGAGUGCAGCAACACCACAGGCCAAGUGAUAGUGCUAGACCUUUUUGAAACGUAUUUGGGAGAGUACAGCUGGUAUCUGAAUGCUUCUUUGUUUACUCCCUUUCAACAACUUGAGUCACUUGAUUUAUAUGGCAACAAAAUAGUCGGUUUUGUUGAGAAUGAAGGUACUUCGUCUAAUUCAAUUAAUUUACAUUUCGCUCUCCUAAUUUAAGUCGAAUAUCAAGACUGAGCAGCUAUAUGCAUAUUCAUUCAAUUGACAAUUUUUACAUAUUUUUUAAAAUGUUUAAUUUUGAAAUUACACCAAACAUCAUAUGUGGUUUUGAUUUUACUUGCAGGUCUAGAAAGAUUGAACAACUUGAAGAGGCUUGAUUUAAGUUAUAACUUGUUCAACAAUAGCAUCUUAUCAUCUGUGGCUCAUCUUUCUUCACUAACAUCAUUAGAUUUAUCUGGAAAUAGAUUGGAAGGAAGUAUUAAUGUUAAAGGUACGUAAUUAAAACGUCAUCGCUUCUCUCAACUCUUUCAUUAACAUGCUAAAAUAAGAUUCAAGGCUUUGAAUUCAUUUUUUUUUAUGAGUAAAUAUUAGAAAAAUAGUUUUAAGCAAUUCAUAAAUACAAUUUUCAAUGUUUCUCAUAAUUUCAUCUUGUACUUUCGUAUGUCUUGACUUUAAGAUUAAAAAAAAAAAUUACUCUAACUGUGAAGCAAAUACCCCAUGACUAAUUUAUCAUUUCGUCCAGUUAAAAAUGAUAAAAUUUAUCAUUUGUUUAUAUUGAUUAAUUAACUCUAUUUUAAGUCUUAAGUCUUGGCGUCUUGGCAUAUUUGCAGAAUUUGAUUCCUUGAGCAACUUAGAGGAGUUGGACAUGAGCGACAAUGAAAUAGACAAUUUAGAGGUUCCUCAAGGUAAACAAUUAAAAUAUUAUUCAAUUACAUUAAUUUAAUUCGUUUGAUUAGGGAAGACCCAAAAGGUACAAAAUAUAAUAAUAAUAAUAAAGAAACAGAGAAUCUAUAUUAUUUCAAAAAAUAAAACGUAAUACUAUUAUUUCAAAAAUAGAUUGUAAUAAAGAUUUGAUUCCGGUUCUUUAAUCUUUACAGCAAUUGAAAAACGAUGUUGCUCUUUUCCUGAAGCAUAAAAUAUGAAAUGACUCCCAAUACAAUUAAUCAUUUAUUUCGUUUACUCUAAAAUUAGACAAUGAAUCUUUAUUUUCUUCAGUCUUAUCCUAAUUAUUAUUAAUAACAGGUUACAAAGGUUUGAGGAAGUUGAAUUAUCUUGAUCUAUCGAAUGUUGGAGUUAGAGAUGGAAGCAAGUUGUUACAGUCAAUGGGAUCAUUCCCAUCCCUCAACACUCUUUACCUGAAGGAUAAUAAUUUUACCGAUAUAGCGACAACUACUACUCAAGGUAAGUAAAAGAUACAGAUGUGGCCAAAUUUACAAAUAAAUUGUUAAUUAAUUAAUUUUUCCGUAUUAUUAAUAAAGCUAAAUUCGUCGCUCCUUCCUUCUAAUUCUAAACAGAGUUGGCAAUUUCACCAACUUGGAGUAUUUGACAUUGGACUUGUCCUCGCUCCAUUUAAGCCUUCUACAAUUACUUGAAGAAUGAAUUUAUUUAUUAUUAUUAUUGUUGUUGUUGUUGUUGUUGAAGUGAGGUGGGCAAGCGUUCACUCAAUUAAUAUGUGAGGAAUUAAUAAUUACAAUCCAAGGUAGAAUUGUGGAAAAUUAAAGCAAAAUGAGAAAUAUGGAAAGAAAGGAAGAAAGUUAAGGGCAUGAAAGACUAGGAGAAGACUAAAGACCACCAAAUAAGUCAACUGAAAACUAGCUGGGGCCUGGGUGUACAAAUUGUUAGAUGUGUUUGUUAUAAAUAACAUAGAGCCAUCUUGUUGGUUGCAGAGGCAGAGAGACACAGAGUGUGCAUUUUGUUAAUUAAAAAUAUAUAUAAAAUGGGUGGUUCAAAAUCCAAAAUGGUGAUAAUGUUAGUUUUGUUAGUAUUAAUAAUAUUAGAAGGGAGGUGGCGUGAGGGAUGUUUGGUGCAUGAGAGAUUUGGUCUUUCGAGACUUAAAACAUUUCUUCAAUUCUCCUUAUAAUUUUUGUCACGACUGACCGUUGUCAAUGGGAUGGGGCUGGGUGCAGGGUUGAUUUACGUUAGAACAAUAUAGCCGGUAGUGUUGAGAAUGAAGGUGUUUCAUUUAAUUUAAUUAAUUUACUUUCUCCCUCCUAAUUUAAGUGGAAUAUCAAGACUGAACAAUUAUAUGCAUCUUCGUUCAGUUGACAAUUUUGACAUUUUUUUUAAGUGAUUAAUUUUGAAAUUACACCAAACAUUAUUUGUGAUCUCUGUUUUGACUUUACUUGCAGCGCUAGAGACGUUAUCAAGAUUGAGCAACUUGACGAUACUUGAUUUAAGUUAUAACUUGUUCAAUAAUAGCAUCUUGUCAUUUGUUGCCCGUCUUUCAUCAUUAACAUCAUUAGAUUUAUCUUACAAUGGAUUGGAAGGAAGUAUUAAUGUUAAAGGUACGUAAUUAAAACGUCAUCGCUUCUCCCAACUCUUCCAUUAACAUGCUAAAAUAAGAUUCAAGGCUUUGAAUUCAAUUUUUUUUUAUGAGUAAUAUUAGAAAAAUAGUUUUAAGCAAUUCAUAAAUACAAUUUUCAAUGUUUCUCAUAAUUUCAUCUUGUACUUUUGUAUGUCUUGACUUUAAGAUUAAAAAAAAAUUACUCUAACUGUGAAGCAAAUACCCCAUGACUAAUUUACAAUUUUGUCCAGUUAAAAUGAUAAAAUUUAGGGAAAUUAUCAUUUGUAUACCCUUAGUUUACUCUAUUAUCAAAAAUACUACAACACUUUGAGGGUGUAUCAAUCGUCCACCCUAAGUUGACAAAAUGUAUUAGCCAACCACCAAACCGUUAGUUGCCGUUUAAAUAUGAUAACAUCAUAAGGGUAAUCUGGUCUUUUCAUAUGAUACAAGUGAUAAUUUAAGGGUAUACAAGUGAUAAAAAGAGAGUUUAAGGGGAUACAAGUGAUAAUUUUCAAGGGUAAAAUCGUCAAUUUACUGUAAUUCCGUUAACUUUCAAACGGCAAUUAACAGUUUGGUGGUCGGUUGAUACAUUUCAUCAACUUAGGGUGGACGAUUGAUACACCCUUAAAGUGUUGUAGUAUUUUUGAUAAUAAAGCAAAUAUAGGGUAUACGAAUGAUAAUUUCCCUAAAAUUUAUCAUUUGUUUAUAUUGAUUUAUUAACUCUAUUUUAAGUCUUAAGUCUUAAGUCUUGGCAUGUUUGCAGAAUUUGAUUCCUUGAGCAACUUAGAGGAGUUGGACAUGAGCGGCAAUGAAAUAGACAAUUUCAAGGUUCCUCAAGGUACACAAUUAAAAUAUUAUUUAAUUACAUUAAUUUAAUUCGUUUGAUUAGGGAAGACCCAAAAUGUACAAAAACAUAAUUAAAAAAAAUAAAGAAACAGAGAAUUCAUAUUAUUUCAAAAAACAAAAGGUAAUACUAUUAUUUCAAAAAAGAAUGUAAUAAAGAUUUGAUUCCGGUUCUUUAAUCUUUAUAGCAAUUGAAAAACAAUGUUGCUCUUUUCCUAAAGCAUAAAAUAUGAAAUGAGUCAUAAUUGAAUUAGUCAUUUAUUUUGUUUAGAUCUAAAUUUAGACAAUAAAUUUUGAUUUUUUUUUCAAUUCUAUCCUUAUUAUUAUUGUUAAACAGGUUACAGAGGUUUGAGGAAGUUGAAAAGCCUCUAUCUAUCGAAUGUUGGAGUUAGAGAUGGAAGCAAGUUGUUACAGUCUAUGGGAUCAUUCCCAUCCCUCAACACUCUUUACCUGAAGGAUAAUAAUUUACCGAUAUAGCGACAACUACUACUCAAGGUAAGUAAAAGGUACAGAUGUGGCCAAAUUUAUAAAUAAACUGUUAAUUAAUUAAUUUUCUGUAUUAUUAAUAAAGCUAAAUUUUUGCUCAUUCCCUCUAAUUCUAAACAGAGUUGCACAAUUUCACCAACUUGGAAUAUUUGACAUUGCACGGUUCCUCUCUCCAUAUAAGCCUUCUGCAAAGCAUUGCAUCAAUAUUCCCUUCGUUAAAAAAUCUGUCGAUAUCUUUGUGAAGUCAAUGGUGUCGUACAUGGUCAAGGUAAAAGAAAAGUGUUGGUUGUGCACUCACUGAGUGUUGUCCUACGUAUUCAAUAUUUUUAUUUAUUUAUUUUAUUGUUUAAUGUUUCUGCUAGGUUUUCCUCAUUUCAAGAGUUUGGAACAUUUGGGCAUGAUGUCCACGCGCAUUGCACUCAACACCAACUUUCUUCAAGUCAUCAGAAUCGAUGCCUUCUCUUAAGUACUUAUCACUGUCAUAUUCUACUCUUGCACUAACAGCAGCAGGAUUCUUGAUCGAGGUUAAUCAGAUGCUCCCACCCUCCAUUCUUAAUCUAUAAUAUUAAUUUUCAGUUAAAUAUUUAAUUACACAAACCAAUCACUUAUUAUAAAAGAACAAUACGCAUUCAUUAAUUUUUAUAUUAUAUUAAUUGAUGAAUUUAAUAAAUUCCAGGCCUCUGUUCGCCGGUGCAUCUGCAAGAGUUAUACAUUGGUUCUAACGAUUUAAGAGGUAGCUUGCCUUGGUGCAUGACAAAUUUGACAUCCCUCCGAAUAUUAGAUGUUUCUUCCAAUCAACUUACUGGAAGCAUCUCCUCGUCUCCCCUCAUUCAUUUGACAUCCAUUGAAAAGCUGUAUCUUUCAAACAAUCACUUCCAGAUCCCAAUUUCACUUGAACCACUUUUCAAUCAUUCAAGACUCAAGACUUUUUAUGCUGACAACAACGAACUAAAUGCAGAAAUAACUCAGUCACAUUCUUUGACCGCCCCAAACUUCCAAUUAUCACGUCUCUCAUUGUGCAUCCAACGAAAGACAAACCACGUGUAGUCUUUUAAUUAAGCCAAAGUAGCAGCUCAAACAAAUGACACUUGGACCAACAUGCAAUCAUGAAGUGGCCGGAAAAAGGACAAAUGCAACUUUGGCUUAAAUAAAAAAUAACAUGUGACUCGACUUUUGCUGGACAUGCAUCAUGUUAUUACAGACAACAAAAAUCAGUAUGAUAGUACUAAAAGUUGACAAUAACAUGAAGAUAAGAGGCAGAAUGUCAACACAUGCAUAGGCACACAAAGAAAGUAUUAACGUAUAUACCAUAGCAAAAAAGUAUUUGAUAUGUCAUCUGUUGCUGCUGUGAUUCAACUGACAGCAUGGCAGCUGUUGCUUCUCUACCAAGAGCCAUUAUUGUAGAUUAAGCUCGGUCAAUCUUGCUUCUGCAUUUCGAAGCUUCACAGCACUCUCUGCUGAUAUAUCAGAUUCCCUAAUCUUUGAUCGGUGCCUAAAUACUUCAGCUGCCUGGUGAAAAUAUUCAAUAUAAAUCUAAUAUAAAUUCUCAUCUUGCCUUAUGCAUGCAUAUGUUACCUCAAAGCUUACCUGGGCUUCAACUUCAUGUCGAAGUUUGUCAUAACGAUGAGUCAGGUGUCGAGCAUCUUCCAAAGGUGCUCCGUUGAUUAACGCCCGUAGUGGCUCAGAUACCUACAUGUCCAAAAACCUGUAACAUAGUUAGAAAAAUGAAAAGAAAGAGCGAAACCUCAAUUAAAAAGUCCUCCAACAUAAUCAUGGAAUUUGGCCUACUUCAAGGAUAUAUAUAUAGGAUAAUUUAUGCAAUUUUGGGUCUUAGGAUGAUUCAUAUUAGGUUAGUGUUCUUCUCUUCUGUAUUUAAGGUUAAAAUAGAAAUAAACCUAUGCAAAUAUAUAAAUUAGGGCUGUAAGAACACAUGCAACAUGGAUUUGAUUUUACUAUAGAUGCAAGUGUCUUUAUCGAAAAUGCUUGGAGUCAAUUGAGAGAACUCACGGCCAAUAACUUGUCACACGCUAGUCUUUGCUAGUGAUGUAAGAAGUCACAAGGUCUCUUCAGCAUUUGAACCAAUAAAAUUAUUAAGUCAUGGAUGUCACUAGCAAUGAUUUUAAUAUAAAAUAUUAAAUAUUUCAAGUUGUAACUUUAAAAUGGAUUCUUUUAUUCAAUAUCUUAGAACUAAGUUUCCUUAUGAGAAGAUAAUAGUUUCAGUAGUAAUGUACAUAUAAUUUUCUAUAUUGAAUUAUUUUCUAGUAGGGAUGAACUAACCUGAUCACGAAGAAUCCCAAGCAAAGUUUCCCUCUCAUUUUCCAUCAAAUCAUGUGAAGUGCCAAAUUGAAGAGCAGCUCUUGCAACGCAAGAAUUGUCACUUUGAUUCUCCACUCCAUACUUGCAACAAUCUUCGGCCAACUUUCUCGCUACAAUAUUUGAAUACAAAAAUAUUGUACACAAGAACUAGUCAAGAAAAUUAAAAAAAAAAUCAAAUAUUUAACGAGAGCAAGAGCAAACGAACAACCUAUUUCCAUUUGUUUCAAGCUUACUGCAACAAACACUUCAACGCCACGGACAACAUUCCUCUGACAAUAUUCCAAAUUAUUGUUCAGAUAAAACCAUAGAAACCAUCAUAAUUGUUCAACAUACAUUAAGCUAAAGGAGGAUGGUGCCUUAGCUGCCCUGGUGGAAUUGUAUAGAUUUUGAAGUUGUUGGUGACACUCAAUUUCAGAUUCAUCAACCGCAACAUUUUCAAUACCAAGAUGGAGCAGAUGCUUCAAUACUGCCUGUACAAAUCAUAAAAAAAUGAAAAAUAAAAUAAAAUCGAGAAAUUUCACUAACUAAAAGUCUAAAUUAAUUUUUUAAAAAGAAAAGAAACGGACUUGCUGCUGCUUGGCGACUUGUUCUCGGGCUUGAUUGCUGUUCUUGAUAGCUUCCAUACUGUUUCUUUCAAAAGCGACGACGGCUCGCUCAUGGGAGUGGAAAAAAAAGUGUGAUCGGGAAAAUAAAAAGGCAUGAAUAAUUUUUGAAAAAAAGCGAAAAUCAAGGAAGCCAGCUCUUUCCAGAAAUAAAAAAGAAAAAAAAAAGAAAUUAUAGUUUGAAGGAGAAGAUGAUGUGGAAGUGCGGUGUGGCUGACAGCUACUUGGAUUGUAUUGUCGGGUAGGUAAUAGUAGAGAAUUUUUUUUUAAGAAAAUAGUAGAGAAUUUUUUAGAAGCUAGAACAGAGCAUGACAUUAGACUUUUGUUGACCAAGGAUGUUGUUUUAUUCUUCUAUACUUUACGUUUGGUUUGGUUUUUCAAACUAAAUAAUCAGUAGCAAAAUACAAUUUAGAGAUUAGGGGGUGAACUAGCUAGGUGGUUUACAAAUAUUCUAUUUGUAAGGUGAAUUAAUUGAAUCAUGAGAAAACAAUGUGACCAUAGCUCAAUAUGAGAUGAUUUCGGAGAGGCAUAUUGUUUUCAAGUGAAUUUGAUCCAUUAAGAGAUGAAGUGGAUUGAAGUGGAAAGUUUAAAUAACAAAUCCUUGUUCUUGAGUUUUACGACGUUGUUACUCCUUCAGGUGGCAGAUUAUGCAAGUGAAUUCAAAAACACAAUGCAUCAAUCACGGGGAUGCUACAUCAAAGACGGGAUCAUAGUCUAUGCAUUGAACAGUUACAGUUGCUGCUACCAAUUGCCUCGGCAAAGAUCAAGAAGACUGAACGGGAAGUUAAUGCCAUCAAGGAGUUGUCUAGUGUUCUUUUCCUUAUGCUAUGAUCGGUGCUCUUGAGGCUGCCCUGAAACACAGGAAAAUACUUCGAUAUCCUCCAUUCGAUGAUGCAAAGAACGGUUAAUGUAUGAUUACCUAAUUGACUCAGGAUCAGGUAACAACAACAACAAUUUUUAAUAGUAAUAUCACAAACGAAGAAGAUUUCGGAGAGGAGAUGUAAGCGUAUACUGUUUACAGGUUUGAUCCACUGGGGAUGAAGUGGUCUCAAGUGGAAAGUGAUUUAUUAAACAACAAAUCAUUGUUCUUGGUUAUACCUCAUGAUGUCAUCAAGUGGAAGAUGAAGAUCGUUUGAUAUUGAAGAAUUUGAACAGAAAGCCCAUAGAAAGUACUUAAAUAAGCAUAUUUUGUUGGGGUAGAAUAUUAAGAAAGGAGUUGUCUACUGUGUGUUGCGUAAUUAUGCUAUGAUCGGUGCUUUCAACAUUGCCCUGAAAACAGUGGGAAAUACUUCAUACCCUCGACAUGAUGAUGAAAAAUUGGUUACCGAUUACCUAAUUGACUCAGGUGACAACAAUCCAUUAAUAGCACAAUUUGACGUGAUGCCGUUUAGGUAUAUGGUUUUCAAGUUUGAUUCAUCAGUGAUGAAGCGGACUAAAAUUAAAAGUUUAAAUGAUAAGUCAUUGUUCUUGGGCAUAUCGUCAUUACUACUUCCAGUGAUCAACGAUGAAGAUGAAGAUGAAAAUUGUGCGAGUUCAAGAUUACCAUUUAUCAUUACUUGGGAUAUUACUUCAACAUAGAUGGGGUUAUAAUUUACUCCCACGAACAUCAACUCAACUUUAUGAUUGGAGUGUCUCACCGUGACUCAGACAAAUUCUGAUUCAACCUCCUUCACCAAUGGAUUUUGAUUAGUUAUUUUGUGAUCAAGCAACUUAAUUAAACUCACAGUUUGUUAGUCUAAUUUUAGUUUUACUGUGACCACUAUUCAAGGUAAGCGAAAGUUACAGAUGUGGCAAAAUCAAUAAUUAAAUUCAUAAAAUGUUAAAAAUAAAACUUAUAAAUGUUGCAUGACUACUUACUAAUAAAUAAAUAAGUUAGAAUGUAGUUAGUUAAUUUUACACCAUAUUAUAUAUUAUUCGAUAAUAAUAUAAAAUAAAAAUAAUUAAAAAAUAAAUAAUUGAAUAAAUAAAUAUGGCUUUCUAAACAGUAAAAAUUCUAGAGUUAAAAUUUAUAUUAUUAUUUUAUUUUUUAAAAUUGACAUUUUUCUAUUGUCUUACAUGUACAAAGAUUUUGAGAGUUGAGAAGAAUAUAUUUAAUGAAGCUUGAUAACAUUUGAUGGGAUAGCAAGUAAGGGUAAAUAAGAUAUUUUUAUUUGUUAUUUAUUUGAAUUAUAUCUAUUUGUUCAAGUUAAAAUACUAAAUAUAAAUUGGAGGUAGACAUUUUAACAGAUCAUCUAAGCUCUCAAAUCUGAAAUUUUGUGUAGAUUUAAAUUCAUAAUCCCCAAUUAUUUGAUCAGCAACUAUCAAGAACUAACCAAAUUUAUUUCUUCAUGACUUCCAAACACUAGAAAAUUUUGUUAUUUGAUAAUAAUAUCAUUAAUUAGAGUUUAUCAAACCGCAUUAUUUUCUUUCAUAAAAUUGAUGCCUAUUAGUGUCACACUUUAUUUGUAUUACCUAGCGGACAUCAACUUUUUUUUUAAUUUUUUAAAUUAAAAAGACCAUUUGAUUUUAACCCAUGUUCUUGGCCUUAGGGAAGCUGACUUCUUUUAUAGUCAGGCGAUGAGUUAAGAAGUGACAUAGCAUUCAGGCGAUGAGUUUAUUUUUGUUAUCUUGCUAACAGUUUUAGUCUAAUUUUAGUUUUACUGUGACCACUAUUCAAGGUAAGCGAAAGUUACAGAUGUGGCAAAAUCAAUAAUUAAAUUCACAAAAUGUUAACUAAUUAAAUUCAUAGAGUUGCACAAUUUCAUCAACUUGGAAGAAUUGACUUUAAUGGACUGGCCUUCUCCCCUAUAAUUCUAAUGCUUCUAGGAAGCAAAUUUUUAUAAAUUAUUUAUUUUUGAGUUAAUUUCAAUUUCAAAAAACAAAUUUUUUAAGUUAUUGAUACUCUAAUGAGAGUAUCUUCAUAACAAUUCCCUUGCUCCAAUAAUAACAAAAAGGUGGUUACUUAGAAAUAAUUAAAAUAAAUAAGUGUUGAUUAUAUAUCCUAAUUUGCAUCGAUUUUUUUUUACCUUAAUUUCAGGAAUUUGGAAUAUAAGUUUGUGAAUGGAGGAUGAUCACGCGUGUGUUAAUUUUUCAGUCAUUGACUGUCGUAUUCUCGACUUAACGAUAGUGUUCUUGAUCAAGGGCAAUGACUCCCACCCCUCUUUUAAAAAUAUUGUCAAGUAUAUUGAUGACAAAAUCUCUUAUAGUUAAUAGUCUUUAAAAAUUUAUAGAUUUACUAUUGUCAUGACCAAAUUAUUCAUGUUUAAUGAAAUAUUAAUGCAUCAAAAUAGAUAUCUUCGGAAUCUAAUCCGAUCGGCUCAAUCCGUUUCAUUCGCAAAAGUGCAAUCCGCAAAAAUUUGAUCUGUGGAUUAGUGGAUUGGAUUGGAUUGAAAGUUUAAAAAUCCAUAGUCGAUAAAUUGGAUAUCGAUUUACUUCUCUAAAUAUGCAAAAAUUCAUGAAUUCGCAAAAAAAAAAUGUAUUUACUAAUAAAUAAAUAAGUUAAAAUGUAGUUAGUUAAUUUAACACCAUAUUAUAUCUUAUUCGAUAAUAAUAUAAAAUAAAAAUAAUUAAAAAAUGAAUAAUUGGAUAAAUAAAUAUGACUUUCUAAACAGUAAAACUUCUAGAGUUAAAAUUUAUAUUGUUAUUCUAUUUUUUUAAAUUGACAUUUUUCUAUUGUCUUACAUGUACAGAGAUUUUGAGAGUUGAAAAGAAUAUAUUUAAAUAAAAUAUUUUUAUUUGUUAUUUAUUUCAAUUAUAUCUAUUUUGUUCAAGUUAAAAUACUAAAUAUAAAUUGGAGGUAGGCAUUUUAACAGAUCAUCUAAGCUCUCAAAUCUGAAAUUUGUGUAGAUUUAAAUUCAUAAUUUUAGUUAAUUUUCAUAUAUUCAUAUAAACAAAUUUAUGAGAUUUUUUUCUUUUCAACAUGUUAUAUUUUUAAACUUUCAAUGUAUUAUUUUAGCUAUAUUUAAACAAUUAAUUUAUUUAAUUUUAAAUUUGAUCAGUAUAAAAUGUUUUUAUAUCAAAUUUUUUUAUUUAAAUAGUUCGUGGAUUGGACAAAAUUAAACAUUUUUAAUUCUUAAAUGAUGGAUUGGAUAUGAAUUGGAUCAAAUCCACAUUCGAUCCGCAGUUAUAUGGAUUGAAUUUGAAUUGAAUUUCAUCAAUCUAUGGAUUAUAUUGGAUUAAAAAUUUAUAAUCCACAAAAUCGUUGAUUAGAUAUGGAUUGAUGUCCAAUUCGCAAAAUCUAAUUGCCGAACACUCCACUAUCAAAAUUUUCAAAAUAUGUUUUAUCCUAUAAUUUUUUUUUAAAGUCAUAGUCUAAUGGCAGCUCAAUUUCUACUGCAUUCAUAUAAGCGGAGUUCAAAUCUCAUACCUCUUAUCUCCACACGAGAUUUAACCAGUUGAAAUAGCUAGCACCCACAAAUAUACUAGUACAGCAUCUCUUAACGUUUAACAUACGUAUAAUUAACGCCAUAGCUAUUGAUAAACACAUUGUUCAAUAUAUAUGAUCAAGAAUCUGAUCCUGCGAGCAACAGCAGUAAGAAGAACCAUUAUAAUGCCUAGCUCUUAUCCCGGUUAAUCCUCUGGCCCGAUGCUUCAUCAUAGUGAUUUAAAAAACAAACAACAGCUCUCUAAAAGAGAUGAAGAUAUCAUCUACGUAAAGAACAUGAAACGGAGAUUCACAACCCAUAAGAACUGAGAUAAAUUGGACCAGACCGGUAAUCUUGAGAUAAGUUAAACUGUGACCUAAGUUGAAAUCAGAGGACCAGAAUUUUAAAAUCUUUCGGCUAAGCCCCUGAGCAAUUUUCUAGAGUACGGCUUCUGCUUACCUCUGUUUAAUUUCUCUUUAUAUUUUUCUUUCAUUUCAUUAAUAAAGUCAAAUAAUAAAUCAAAGAACGAGGGAAGAUUUUUCCAAGUCAUGCAUUAUUUGAUUACCAUCAAUCAAGAAACCGACCAAAUUAAUUUCUCUCCGUGAUUUUUAAAAAUUAAAAAAAAAAUUAUUUGAACAUAACAUCAUUAAUUAUAGAGUGGAUCAAACUGCGUUAAUCAUGAAACUGAUACCUAUUAAGAGUCAAACUUUUUACUUAUGCAUACUAAAAGACAUCAAAUUGUUCCGAUCCCCAAUUAUUUGAUCAGCAACUAUCAAGAACUGACCAAAUUUAUUUCUUCAUGACUUCCAAACACUAGAAAAUUUUGUUAUUUGAUAAUAAUAUCAUUAAUUAGAGUUUAUCAAACCGCAUUAUUUUCUUUCAUAAAAUUGAUGCCUAUUAGUGUCACACUUUAUUUGUAUUACCUAGCGGACAUCAACUUUUUUUUUAAUUUUUUUAAAUUAAAAAGACCAUUUGAUUUUAACCCAUGUUCUUGGCCUUAGGGAAGCUGACUUCUUUUAUAGGUGAUAUCUGCUUGAACUUUGGUGUGUUAAUUAUUUCAAUCCCCAAUUAUGUAAUUUUUAAAUUAUAGCCUAACGGCGGUCUCAUCACCACGUGUGUGAUUUUCUUUUGCCAAUAGGAUCUGCAGAGAGCUUGAUCUCAUCCAAUAGCAAAAUAAACUUCCUAAUAAGUGAAGGUAUAGUAUAAAUAUUUCACCCCCAUAUUAUUUAUUAGCAGCUUGAUUAUUUUAUAUGCAUCUUUGAUUUUAAUUUUUUUUCCCAUAAUUGCUACUAUGUUCGAACUGGUCAUGAAUUAUCUAUAAGAUUUUUCAUGUUGCUUUUAGGUGCAUUGGAUUUUUUGAGUUUAGUGCAAGAGUAGAGGAAGGCAAAUUAAGAAAAAGGAUAAAGAUCUAUGAUUAGCUAUUUUGGGAUGUCUCAUAACAUAUUGAUGCUAACAUUAUACAUAUGUAUAUCUAAAUAAUGGGCUUGGAUCAAGAGCCCAUUAAUAAUCAUAGAUUAGCUUAUAUAGUUCAAAAAAUGUACCAUAAAGCAAUUUUACAAGCACUUGUUAGCCUAUGUUGAGCUUUAUUAUCAAUAGUUCAUAGUUCAUCAGUGCACUGCAAGUUUACUAUUUGAAGUAAAUGUUGUGGUGCGUGCAUUCUUCAUAAGGCCAACUAUUGAAUUUAGCAUUGAAACUUACAAAAUGUAAUAGAAAGAGGUAGAUAACAGCCAUAAAACACUAAGAUUGGAAAUCAGGGCAACUAAAUACUAUUACAAGCCCUUAGAAAAGACAGCGAUCAUCCUGAAAUAUAUAUACUGAAAGUAAGAAAUGUUAAUCGCAAAGUUAUGUGCCAACAGAACUAUUGACUACUUGUCUCUAGUAGAAAGUAAAUAUUUUUAACUUCAGCCCUCUACUUUGUUCUAAGAACAAGGCAAUAUAAGGAAACAUCGGUGUCUAAAAUUUGCCGCUUGGAAUAUUUCACUGUCUAAACAUUCACUCACCACUUAUUUCAUUAAUGAAUUUUGUCUAAUUAUAUGUUGAUAAAGAUAUUAGAGUAAUAUAAUACAUUUAAGGCUUAACUUAUAUUUUUUAUUAGUAGAGUGUAGAACUUUUAAGAAAUAAAUUAUUAAAUUACUAUAACUAACAUAUUAUUUUAAAGUUAUGUUAAGGAAAAGAAUGAAACAAAAAUAAAUAAAUAAAUAAGGGUAUUCUAAAACUUUGAUCUUUUUAAAAGUAGAUUUUGACAUAGAUAAAAUAAUUUUUAUAUUUUUUAAAUCACAUACUCUAGUUAAAAUCAAAUUUGUAUUUAUAAAGUUUGUAAAUUUUUUUUUUUUUUUAGCACUGAUAUUUGAACACUAUCAAGAUAAGAAAUAGGGCACUGGUCAUGCUACAACAUUAUUAUAGCACAUAAAAAGACAAUACCAUUUAUUUUAUUGUACUAUCAUUGUUGUUAUAAUAGUAUUUUGUUAGUGGUCAAAUAUUAUUUUUUUAAGUAAAAAAAGUGAACAAUGUAAAUUAACUUUUAAUCUCUCCUAAAAUUCUAAUUCCUAGUUACGAAACAAAAUUGUUUAAAACCAUAGGUGAUAGGUGAUAGAAGUUACUAACACAAGCAAAUUUGACGGUCCAUUUUAUAAAAUUUGUUAUUUACCAUUUUACCACCUAUAUAAGGAGUGCCGCAUCGACAUAUCAACUCAUUUGCAGAUUAUUUUAAUUUUGUAAAAUUCAUUUAACCUGCACUUGGUCGCCCCUAUUCUCUGAAUGGUUAUGGCGAUAUCAUCAUUAUCGUUACUUGUACCAACGCUAAACCCUUCUUAUUCCCUUUCUCGCCUGUCAUACCCUAACAUUAUAUCCCGUGUCCACACUAAAGACAAGUAGUCAAUUCAAGCCAUCAGAUUAUAGUGGACCCACAUCAAUCCAACUACUUACAAUGACCGACAGCCUCUCCAUCUCCAUUUCAGGUUUCCUCUUCAACUGGCUUCUGCUUCCGCUGUAUUUGCUCCAUUUCUUGGAUUCGGAGUCCGUAUUUGGUCGGUCGGUCCCGCACAGCUCCCUCUCACUCCAAUUGUCACCCAACAAGACCAAUUGCUUAAUCAAGGCACAGAACAAGAAGAGGAUGAGAAAUUGAAACAAGAAUUUGAGAAUUGGAAAUCGAAAACGUACGCAUUGACCGUGCCUUUGAGGGCAAUUACUUUUCUUGAGAAUUGAAGUUUGGUAAUGUAAUUUGUUCUCCAUCUGUGUUCCCUUUGUAGUCAUUUCAUUUAUUUGUUUGUUUGCUUUUAUUUGCACUUACGAAGUCUCAGGUAUACCUACGCAGGAAUGAUGCAGGAGAAAUUGAUCCUCGAGGUAACAUAUGGGCGGCGCCAUAUCGGUGGGGCACAGUGGUGAUAGCUUACAAGAAAAGUAAAUUUCGAAAGCAUAAUUUGGUUCCGAUUGAGGUAAUAAUUGUCUUUAAGCUCAUUUAGUUUUAUAUCAAACAAAAUCAAGACUGCCUUUCUCUUCAAUAGUUUUGAUGAUAAUAUCUUUAGAAGCAUCUCAUUGACAGGUAAUCGUGGUACCCCUUAAAGAGUCUAUAAACUCAAGGAUAUUAUCUUCUGCAAAUGGUUCAUUAAACUUCUUAGAUGUAGUUAAAUGUACACUGAGAACAACGAGAAGCUAUGCCACUGUAGCAUGUAGUGAUGGCACUUAAUGAGUGAGUUGCUAGGAUAUGAACUAGAAAAAUUAAAUAUUGUCUCCCUCUCCCUGGGUAUGCUAGCUCAUAAGUCAGGGUUAAUAUUAGAGCUUGAGAUACUAUAACCAUGAGAAGCUAUUGACCACCAGUUAAAAUAUCCAUUAAAAUGUCUAGGGAGUUAUGAAGGUGGAGGUAUCUCCCAAUUUCUAAGGCCAUAUAAUAGACAUCAUCCAGGAUCCUAUAGAGUGCAGUUAGCCUCCUGCUUGAUGCUAAUGUCAAACAAUUAAUAAAUUUGGUCAAUGUAACUGAAACUUGCUAAUUGACGUCAGAUUGCGACUUGAGCACCUUAAAAUGGGAUAGACGAUUAGUGGCACUGAAUUCUUCUUGCCUAAGAUUGAGCAAUUGUUUUAACUACUAUCUCCUAUUGUAGGUUGAUUAUUAUGUUUUAAUUAUGUCCAUUUUGACCCAAAAAAUUACACAAUCUUGAUCUGCAUUUUGUCACUGAGCAGUGUCAAUAUCGUCUAACAACUAACUUGAUUUUGAUAUGACAAACACACGGUGUGUCUCUCAUGUCUCACCCAUGUCUCACCAUGAUGGAGAAUUUUUCUAAUGCAUGAAGUAAGCUUUGAUAUGUGGGUUAGCUUGGAGAACAUAUCUCAAAAUGAAGAAGAUGGGGAGUUAAUGGGAAGAAACAGUCCAGUAGUUUAUAAUUCUGUCGACGAGCUGUAUCUCUAACAUGGUCAAAAUUUAUGUGAAUAAGGACAGGGAAUCGUCAUUCCUCUUUUCCUUUUUAUACCGGGAUAUCUCUCAACCUUUAUAUGUUGCCCGCUGGAGAUCUCCUUCUAAUAACUAAAAUAAAAAUUUCAUCCACUCAAAUAAAUGUUGACCAAGCUUUCACAAGAAAAAGUAACGUCUUUAGUGAAGUAAUUUACAGUUCCUUAUCAUCUUCGUGUGAGUCUAUCAGUAUGAUCCAAAAACAUAAUAAAUCUUGUUAGAUCCUGUUUAUUGAUGUUUAAAUGUUGUUCAUUGUGCAAUGUAGAAAUGAUGACGUGAAGUUUCUUUGGUCAUCAAUUAGUGAGAUCUUGUUUGAAGUUGUUUUCUGAAAUGAACUGCAAAAUGGUAGUUUUUUUUUUUUUCUUGGGUGCAUUUGAUGGCUCUUUUCUCCUCAUUUUAAGCAUGUGUCUGCUUGAAAUGGGAAGGAAUAGGCUUCAGAGUUGUUAUAUAUGUUGAUAUGCUCUGGUCAUUACACAAUAUGUUCAAAUUGGAAAUUAGAAUGAGAUAUUUGUUGAUGCUUUUUGAGAGAUCUGCAUUCUAUGCACCAUAACAUGAUUAAUGAAAACGGGUUUAAGGACUGGAAAGAUCUGUGGCAGCCCAAGCUUGCAGGAAGGAUUUCAAUGGUUAAUUCUCCUAGAGAGGUUAUUGGUACAGUUUUGAAGUAUAUGGGAGUAUCAUACAAUUCAAACGACAUUGGGAGGAUUGCUGUUCAGCAGAAUCUGGCAUUACUGGGAAACCAGGUACUCUUAAAGAAACGAUAUCUGGUCAAUGCAUAUUAUUGGGUGACGGCUGAUUUUGUUUGUAAAGUGUGCCUUUUCAUACCUAUGAAUGCAUAUGUUAGUGUUGUGUUCUCCUUUCCAUAAAUAUGAAUGCAUAUGUUGGUGUUCUUUUCUGAGAUGGAUGCAAUAAAGGCUUUUUCUUCUAAAUUUAGUUGAAGAAAUGGCAAGGAAUGUGAGAUUCUAUCUCAUUAAAUUAACAAAAACCCAAAACAGUGAAAACCCAUAUUAUGUGGAUGAAUUGGCGACAUUUGGCUUGUUUCCUGAACGUGAAUUAGCAAGCAAUAGAGACUAAAAAAAUGGAGUGAUAAUAACAAGUCAUUGUCAUUUGAUGAAUGCAUUUUUAAGCAAAAAUAGGUUUGUAACUGAAUAAAUUUGUCUGGCAUGCCAAUAUCAAAAAAUUAAAUUAUGUGGUUAUGAGCUGUAAUGAAGGGGGAUUGUAGGUGCAAUCAGAUCGAUCCAAGAAAGUUCAACAAAGUUCUGGUUUGGUGUAGUGAAAUUGGUUUGUGCAACUUGAGUCUUUCAGAUGAACAAUGACGAGUUUUCAUUUAAAAAUGUUAUAAAUCUGCCAUGCAUAGUAUUCUAGUAGAAUCAUCUAUAAAUUCAAGUUAUUGAAAUUGUCUAUUUGUCCAGUUUGAGUUAAGGACGCAUGUAAUAUGAAAAAUUGUUGUCGAAUAUUGUAGGUUAGCUAAUAUUUGAUCAAUCCUAUAGGGAGGGCUUUAAGAUGUCUAACAACAUGUAGAAUGCCCCUGCUUCCCCCACAAUUUUUAUCUUAUACAAUUUUUAUCUAUAAACAGUAUUUGCCAGACCUUAACCGUUCAGAUUCCCCUUCUCGACUAUCAUACCCUACGCCCCAUCUCCGUGUCUCCGAUAAACAGUGCUCAAUUAAGGCCAUCAGAUUAUCCCGGUCCCGCAUUGAUCAACGGCUCACAAUGGCCGACAACCUCUCUGUCUCCAUUACAAGCUCCCUCUUCAACUCGCUUCUGCUUCCACCUACUCUUUCUCGGAUUCGGAGCCCGUAUAUGCUCAGCUGGUCCCACAAAGCUCCCUCUCACUCCAGCUGUCAACCGACAAGACCAAUUGCCUUAUCAAGACACAGAACAAAAAGAGGAUGAGAAAUUGAAACAAGAAUUUGAGAAUUGGAAAUCGAAAACGUACGCAUUGACUGUACCUUUGAGAGUUGUUUCUCUUCAGAAUUCAGUGCCUCAAUCUUGGGUUAAGGAUUUUAUGCGAAGUCAAGGAAAGUGAUUGAAGUUUCAGAUGAAUUUGUGUGCUAGCAUUGGUGGGAUCUUUAACAAUUUAUCUCUGCCCUUUAACAAAGUCAAGGCUAAUUCAGCUACUUAUAUGGCUGCUGAUUUGGUUAGUGUUGGUGAUUCAUGGCUUAGUUUUGCCAUUAAAGAGAGAUUGAUUGAGCCAACGGCUGGAGCUGAAGACCAAGAUUGGUUCAAAUGCUUAAGUCACAAAUGGAAGGUAACAUCUUUAUCUUUGACCCGAUAAUUUUUAUUGUCUUACAUUGAAAUUUGGUAAUGUAAUUUGUUCUCUAUCUGUAUUACCCUUUUUAGUCGUUUUAUUUAUUUGUUUAUUUGCUUUUAUUUGCACUAACGAAGUCUCAGGUAUAUCUACGCAGGAAUGAUGCAGGAGAAAUUGAUCCUCGAUGUGAAAUAUGGGCGGCACCAUACAGGUGGGGCACAAUGGUGAUAGCCUACCAGAAAAGUAAAUUUCGAAAGCAUAAUUUGGCUCUGAUUGAGGUAAUAAUUGUCUUUAAAAUCAUUUAGUUUUAGAUCAAACAAAAUCAAGACUGCCUUUCUCUUCAAUAUUUUUAUGAUAAUAUCUUUAGAAGCAUCUUAUUGAUGGGUAAUAAUUGUAUCCCUGAGACAGUCUAUAAACUCAAUGAUAUUAUCUUCUACAAAUGGCUCAUUAAACUUUGUCGUUGUAGUCAAAUGUACACUCAGAGCAAUGACAAGCUAUGCCACUGUAGCAUGUAGUGAUGGCACUUAAUAAGUGAGUUGCUAGGAUGUGAACUAGAAAAAUUAAAUAUUGUCUCCCUGGGUAUGCUAGCUCAUAAGUCAGGGUUAAUAUUAGAACUCAAGAUACUAUAACCAUGAGAAGCUACUGACUGCCAAUUAAAAUAUUCUUUAAAAUGUCUAGGAAGUUAUGAAGGUGGAAGUAUCUUCCGAUUUCUAAGGCCACAUGGUAGAUAUCAUCCAGGAUCCUAGUACAGUGCAGUUAACCUCCUGCUUGAUGCAAUUAAUAAGUUUGGUCAAUGCCACUGAAACAUGCUAACUGACGUCACAAUGCGACAUGAGCACUUCAAAAUGGGACAGACGGUCGGUAGCACUAAAUUUUUCUUGCCUAAGAUUGAGCAAUUGGUCUAACUACUAACCCCUUUUGUAGGUUGAUCAUUAUUUUUUCAUAUUUUCAGUUUGACGGAAAACGUUACAGAAUCUUGAUCUGAAUAUUGUCACUGAACAUUGUCAAUGUCGUUUAGCGUAGCCAAUUAACUUGAGUUUGGUAAAACAAAUACACAGUGUGUCUCAUGUCUCACAAUUCAAAUUAUCAUUUGUAAUGAUGGAGAAUUUUUCCAAUGUAUGAAGUAUGCUUUGAUACGUGGGUUACCUUGGAGAAGGUAUCUCAAAAUAAAGAAUAUGGGGAGAAAACAGUUCAGUAGUUUAUUAUUAUGUAGUCAAGUUUUGUCUCAAAAAUGGUCCAAAUUUAAAUGAAUAAGGACAGGGGAUCUUCAUUCUUUUUUCCCUUUUUUAUACCGAGAUAUCUCUCAACCUUUAUUUAAUCCCCACUGGAUAUCUGCUUCUAAUAAUUAAAAUAAAAAUUUCACCCACACAAAUAAAUACUGACCAAGCUCUAACAAUAAAAAGUAACAUCUUUAGUCAAGUGAUUUACAGUUCCUCAUCAUCUUAGUGAGACUAUCAGUAUGUUCCAAAAACAUAAUAAAACUGGUUUGUUCCUGUUUAUUGAUGUUUAAAUGUUGUUCAUUGUGACAUGUAGAAAUGAUGAGGCGAAGUUUAUUUGGUCAUCAAUUUGUAAGAUCUUGUUUGAAGUUGUUUUCUGAAAUGAACUGCCAAAUGGUGGUUUUUUUGGGGCAUUUGAUGGCUCUUUUUUCCUCAUUUUAAACAUGUGCCUGCUUGGAACAGGAAGGAUUAGGCUGCAGAGUUGUUAUAUAUUUUGACAUGCUCUGGUCAUUGCACAAUUUGUUCACACUGGAAAAUAUAAUGAGAAAUUUGUUUCAUUCUAUGCACAAUAACAUGAUUAAUGAAAAUGGAUUGUAGGACUGGAAAGAUCUGUGGCAGCCUGAGCUCGCAGGACGAAUUUCAAUGGUUAAUUCUCCCUGAGAGGUUAUUGGUUUAGUUUUGAAGUAUAUGGGAGCAUCAUUCAAUUCAAACGAUAUUGAUUCGCAAGUUGCUGGUGGGAAGAUAGCUGUUCAGCAGAAUCUGGCAUUACUGGCAAACCAGGUACUCUCAAAGAAAUGAUAUCUGGUCAUCGCAUGUUAUUGCCUGACAACUGAUUUUGUUUGUAAAAGUCUGCUACUUCAUACAUAUGAAUGCAUAUGUUAUUGUUUUCUUCUCCUUUUCAUACAUAUGAAUGCAUAUGUUGCUUCUUUUCCUUUCCAUACAUAUUAAUACAUAUGUUGGUGUUCUCUCCUGAGAUGGAUGCAAUAAAGGCUUUUCUGAAGAAAUGGCAAGGGAUGUGAGAUUCUGUCUCAUAAAAUUAACAAAAACCCAAAAACAAUGAAAACCCAUAAUAAUGUGGUGUGGGUAAAUUGACGCCAUUUGGUUCGUUUCCUUGAUGUGAAUACGCGGGCAAUAGAGACUAACAAAAUGAAGUGACAACAAGAAGUCAGUGUCCUUUGAUGGAUGCAUUUUUAGGCAGAAAUAGGUUUGUAAUUGACCAAAUUUGUCUAGCAUGCCAAUUUCAAAAAAAUUAAAUUAUGUGGUUAUUAGCUGUAAUGAAGGGGGAUAGUAGGUCCAAUCAGGUGGAUCCAGGAAAGUUCAACAAAGUUCUGGUAUGGCGUAGAAAUUGGUUUGUGCAACUCAAGAGUCUUUCUGGUGAACGAUGAUGGGUUUUGAUUUAUAAAUGUUAUAAAUCUACUGUGCAUAGUAUUCUAGUAGAAUCAUCUAUAAGUUCUAGUUAUUGAAAUUGUCUACCUUGUUCAGUUUUAGUUAAGGGCACAUGUAAUAUGAAAAAUAGUUGUUGCAUCUUUUAGGUUUACCUAACAUUUGAUCAAUCCUAUUAUGAGGGCUUCAAGAUGUCUAACAAUAUGUGGAAUGCCCAUGCUCCUCCCCAUUGUUUAUCUUUAUAUAAUAAUUUGUUUUAGAUGCUAAUAUCUUUGUCGAUACCGGUAACAAUAUUAGAAUAUCUGCGUUUAUUGGGUUUUACAUAGGUUCGACUGUUUGACAGUACACACUAUCUGAAGGCAUUUGGAAUUGGAGAUGUAUGGAUUGCUGUUGGGUGGAGUAGUGAUGUUCUUCCUGCUGUCAAACGUAUGUCUAAUGUUGCAGUUGUUGUUCCCAAGUCUGGUGCUAGCUUAUGGGCUGAUCUUUGGGUAUACCCAUGCCUGCCAUUCUACUUCAAUAUUCACAUUGUUAUCUCCUUCAUAUUAGUGAUCAGUAAACAUGAUAAUGUGACUAAUAAGUUCGUAUUCUCUUUAUAGGCAAUCCCUGCUGCCUCAAGACUUGAAACAAAACAAAUUGGACGGUGAGUCAGAGGUGCAUUUCCAUUAAUCCAUCAAUGGAUAGAAUUCUGCUUGCAAACAGCGAGAGCAUUGCCUUUCAAGCAAGAGGUUAUCCCGAGCGCAUCUCCCUCUGCCCUUGAGAGUACUCUGGUUAAGUUGCCUGAAGAACUUUUUAAGGGUAAACCAAGUCUGGAUACUAACUUAAUUGCUGGAGUACCCGACUGAAAUUAUGGCCAGAUGUGAGUUUUUGGAGCCAUUAUCUGAAGCUACAUUGUCGGAUUAUGAGUGGCUGGUUGCUAAUCUGCAAAAAUCCACUCCUGUACUGAUCAACAAGAUGCAACAUUACAUGUCAUCAUUGAUCUUUAGCUAAAGGUACAUUGAAUAUUGAAGUAGGUCAGAGCAUAACUUCAUUAGGAAAAGAGGCUUCAGCUACGUUAAAUAUUACAGGAUGUACUGAGAUGGCUGAAGUUGUUGAGGUUUUACGAGAAACGAAAGAUAGUGUUUGUUUGAACAAAGUUGUUGCCAAUCUUGCAGAGUUCGAGAAGAAAGAUCACGAAGCGAAUGCCACCGAUUUAUUCAUCAUUGUAGCCUCCAUAGUUGAAGUUUCCUCAUUUGAAGCUGUUUAUGCAUAUGCUUUUUCCCUUCUCAAGUACAGGAAAUUGAAGAAUUAACCAGAUGUGAUGUGCUGAAAGAGGGAAGUUUUCUUCCUUGAAUGUGGCGAAGAACCCUAUCAAGGUAGAUGGCGAAGAACCCUAUCAAGGUAGAUUUUAUGAUGUUAACAUAUUAUUAAGCAUUUUGUUACAUCAGCAAUGAUGCUUUCAUAGCAGCAUGAAAGUGUUUAAAUUUAACUGAAUGAUCUUGACUGAUCAAUUAUGAGUUUUAAUCGAGUAAAAACUAAAUACAAUAAUCGUUAACAAAUAUUGAAAUUGGGUAAAUAAGAUCUUGAUAGUGAAGAAUUUGAAAUCACAACCCACACAGGAAAUCACCCUUCGCGUGGGGAUGGAGAUGUUUACUGCAGCGAUAUUGAAUAUGUCCACUGCUCUUUGGGUUAUGAUGCGACUUGCCCUGAAACAAUGGAAAAGAUUAACAUACCCUCCAAUGAAUGAAAACGGGUGGACUAAUUCUGAUUACCUAAUUGACUCAGGAUCGGCUGGUAAUAAUAACAGUUUAUUAACAAUGCACAGUCCGAGUACUUUUCCAGGAUCAGAUACGACGUGGUCUAAUGUUGAUAAUAAUAGAUUAUCAAAUGACAAAUCGUUGUUCUACUAUUGCAAGCCCCCAAAUUUAAGAAUCUUUUUCAGAAAUUAAAUACGUUCUGAGAGAUGCUGGUCUACUAUUGCAACUUGCCAGCCCCCAGAUUUAAGAAUCUUUUGAUGGUAAUUUAUCACCUGUAACUGUGCCGGAAGAUUCAACUAGCACUGAAAAAGAUGAUAAAUUAAUUGAUAUGGAGAGUUUCCAUAUCACUUUUAAAUCAUCUUAUGUAAUUGUGAUGUUAGGAAGCAUUAUUGAUCUGUAUGUGAAUUAUUAUUGGCGCCAUUGGUGGUUUUAUCUUGUUAAAAUAUGGAUGAAUUCCAGUUACUAUUUUGUUGCAGACAAUCUUCUUCAAUUAACAUAUAGUUUAAAAUCAUUAUGUAAAUCAAUCUAUUAAUUUUUAUGAUAUUUAACUGAGUUAAAACUAAGUGCACUCAAUAAAUCUCUUUUCCUUUAAAAAACGGUUACGCUUUGAUUUUAGUGCUUAAUAUUUAUUGAACUCCAAUACAGGGAAUUUGAAAUCAAACUCGUAACUACAUAUUAUCUAAUUGCAAGUUUCUGUCCAUAGCUGCUGAUUUGUAGUGAUUAUCUAAUUGACUGAGGUGACGACAAUUUUUUUUUUUAAUUUUCAAUAGCACAUUGUGGAAUUCAAUAAUUAAAUUCUCCUUUUUAAUUUGUUUCCAGUUAAAUUAUUAAUUACUUAAACUCUGUUUUAAGUCUUUAUGUUUAUGUGUUUAUGCAGAAUUGGAUUCUUGAGCGUGUUGGACACGACCAACAAUGAAAUUGACAGUAAAGAAACAUUACAACGUGUGGACUCCGGUAGAUGCCAUACAAGUCUACAACUUUACAAAUAAUAAUUGAGUAAGCAACUUUGAUUCUCGGGGCCCUUCAAUGAAUUUCUAGCCCCGUUGACUCCGCCAACUAAAGUUUUGUAAAAUAAAAAAAUACAUAGAAUUCCACCAAAUGCAAAACGCGUGGAAUUUAAUUUUCGGCCAUGUGGACCAAAACAUAAUUUAAUGAAAAAGGAAAAAAAUGAUAAGAUUUCUAAAAUAUGUGAAAGAUGAUCCAUAUGUUACUGAAACGACUUAUUAAAUUUUUCAAAAAUUUAGAAUAUUUAGUCAUAAAUUACGUGCAUGUUAAUUUUUCCGCCAUUGACUAUCAUAUUCUAAACUUAAUAGUACCUUUCUUGUUGAAGGGUACUUAGUCUCUCUUCUCCUCUUAUAAAAAUUAUAUUGAUGAAUUUCUUAUUAUAGUUAAUAGUCUUUAAGAACGGAUAACUUUAUUGUUUUCGUGACCAAAUUAUGUCUGCCUAAGGUUGUGACUAUUAAUAAAAUUAAUAUUUAAUGUUUAUGUUAAAAGAUAUAAGAUUUUAUGCGUUCAUUAAUUGUUAUUAGCUAAAGGAUGAAUUAUUUUUUCAACCCAAUCAGUUGAUGCAUCUGCAAGAAUUUUUUCUUUUAUUGACCCUAAUUAUGUUCCGGGUACAAUAAAUUGUCUUUGGUGCUUGGAAAAUAUGACUUCUUACUUCAAGUUUGAUAUGUCUCUCUCCAUAAACUUACUGGAAAUAUAUCCUCAUCUAUUAUCAUUUAUCUAAUAUCAAUUGAAGAUCGCACUUUUUCAAACUAUCACUUCCAAGUCUCAUUGUCACUUGGCCAUUCUUGGACCAUUCAGAACCAAUCAAGUGUUGAAAUAAUCAAAUAUAUGCAAAAUUAGAGUCACAAUUUUUGGUCCCCCAAAUUCUAAUUAUAUAACUUCUAUAUAUUUCAUUGCCAGGUCACGAACUUGUUGGCACAUUUUCCAAAUUCCUCUUCCAUCAGCUCUCACACGUUAACUUAAGUGGAAAGUUUCCAAGUUGAUUGCUAGAAAGCAACGCAAAAUCAGACACACUUGAUCUGUCCCCUAAUUCUCUUUUCUACGUUGAAAAAGAAAAAAAAAAAAUAUAUAUAUAUAUAUAUAUGUAAAAAUAAAUAAUAAACUGAGUAAAAAUACAUUUAUUUAAUUAACAUCUGAUCGGGGCAUUUUUGGUGUAAGCCACAACUAAAAUCAAACAGCCCCUUAGCAUACUUCUUCCAUUUUAUCUGCUACUUUUGUGGAUCUUAUAGGGUGGGCAUGUGGACAGAAUUUAAAAGUUUUAAUAGUCUCAAAGAAUAAGAUGUGUUAAAUCUAAAGUUGUUGCACCUUCUGAUUACCUUCUGAUUAAAUAAAGUUGCACAAUUUUACCAACUUGAAAGAAUUGACAUUAAUGAACUGGUCGCCUCUCCAUAUAUGAAGCCUUCUUAAAAGUUCAUUUUUAUUUCAGAAAAAAAAAGUUUAAGUUACAUAUAUUAUAGUAAGAUUUUUUUUCUUGAAAUAAUAAUGGAAAAGUAUUAAUUUAAAAAUAAAUUGAAUAUGUAUUGAUUAUAUCUUGAUUUUCAUCGAUUAUAGUGAGAGUUUCUCCAAAUCAAUUCCCUUAUUCAAAUAAUACCGAAAAAAUAGUAUUUUAAUAGUAAAAUAAACAGGUGUUGAUUAUAUAUUCUAAGGUUCAUCGAUUAUGUGAUCAAAGUGGCAUUGUUGAUUUAUUUCUUGUUCAAUGUUAAUUUUUAGGUUAUCUAAAUUUCAAGAAUUUAAAAUCUUUGAUCAUGGAUUACACGCUUAUUAAUUUUUCUGCCAUUGACUAUCAUAUUCUAGACUUAAUGAUACUUUUCUUGAUCAAGGGUAAUUACUCUCUCUUCUCCUCUUAUAAAUUCCUCUUCCAUUAACAUCACUAAGAGUAUGUUGAUCUCUCAUACGUUAACUUGAGUGGAGAGUUUCCAAAUUGAUUGUUACAAAACAACAAAAGAACUAGCCACACUUGAUCUGUCUAAUAAUUCUCUUUCGGUAAAAUUAAUUAAUUUUAGGAAAAUAUUCUGCCAACCUCUGUAAAUUCAGAGUGAUCAUUAAUUAAUUAAACGAUACAAAUAUCUAAAGUGAUUAGAUGUUUGCCGACAAUACAACCUUUGUGGCGAUAAUCGAACAAGUUCCCAUGAUUAUUAUUUUUCCAAAAACUUUUUUACAACAAAUUCAUCUCGCCAAAAAUUCUAUGUUGCUAACUAACAAUAAUUGAGCACUUGGCCGCAUUGACUCCACGUCUCCACCUCUUUCUAAAAACAUGGAAAUGUAAUUUCCACAAAAUGUCAAACGUGUGGAAUUUAAUUUUUUGCCUUGUGGAUCAAAAUACAAAUGAAAGAAACAGGAGAAAAAAAAGGCCCAAAGACUUCUAAAAGAUGAAGAAGUCUUUGGGCCUUCUUAUAAUGGUGAAUUUUUUAAAAGAAAAAAAUAACAACAUUUUUAUGGUUUGUUUUGAUAAUCAUAUUUACAAAUACUCUAAUUCUCAAAAUGGACACAUAAAUCUUUUUUUUUUUACAAAUAUAUAUUAUUCAUAUUUUUAUUUUUUAUUAUCAUAUUUUUAUUUAUUAUAAAUGUUUAGAGUAAAUUUUUAGGUUGAAAUAUAAUAAAAAGGUAUAAUCGUUCUCUUAUUAAACACACAUACUUUUAUUAGUUUCUAUCCAUUUGUCAUCUCAAUCUCUCUCAAUUAUUCUUUAUUGCGAGCUCAAAACGCGUUGUUGUUGCAAAUUAUAGCAAAAUGACAAAUAUGGAAAAAAAUGGAAGAAAAUUAAUGCAUGAAAGACUUGGAGAAAACAACAAAAUAAGCCAACUAUGAGCUAGUUGGGUGUAUAAAUUGUUAGAUGUGUUAUAUACAAAUAGCGUAGAGCCCUCUAGUUGGUUCCAGAGACAGAAAGAGCGUGUGUGUUUUUUCACAGUUAGAGAUAUAGUUAGAAUGGGUGGUUCAAAAUCAAAAAUGAUGAUAAUGUUUAUUAUGUUAUUAAUAAUAUUUAAAAGUAGGUGGAGUGAGGGAUGUUUGGAUCACGAGAGAUUUGCUCUUUUGCGAUUCAAACAUUUCUUCAAUGAUCGUCUUAAUUAUCUUUACGACUGGGUAGAUGGUGAGGGAGCUACUGAUUGUUGUCAGUGGGAAAGGGUUGAGUGCAGCAACACCACAGGCCGAGUGAUAGCGCUAGACCUUAUUGAUACGUAUGGGGGAGAGCACAGCUGGUAUCUGAAUGCUUCUUUGUUUACUCCUUUCCAACAACUUGAGUCACUUGAUUUACAUGGCAACAACAUAGCCGGUUUUGUUGAGAAUGAAGGUGCUUCAUUUAAUUUAAUUAAUUUACUUUCUCCCCCCUAAUUUAAGUUGAAUAUCAAGACCGAGCAAUGAUACGCAUAUUCAUUUAGUCGACAAUUUUGACUUUUUUUAAAUGAUUAAUUUUGAAAUUACACCAGUAUCUAUGAUUAUUUUUUUUAUUUUAUUUGCAGGCAUAGAGAGGCUAUCAAGAUUAAACAACUUGAAGGUGCUUGAUUUAAGUGAAAACUCGUUCAACAAUAGCAUCUUAUCAUCUCUAACUCGUCUUUCAUCAUUAAGAUCAUUAAAUUUAUAUGGGAAUAGAUUGGAAGGAAGUAUUGACGUUAAAGGUACAUAAUUAAAACUUCAUCCCUUCUCCAAGCUCUUUCAUUAACUUGCUAAAAUAAGAUUCAAGGCUUUGAAUUCAAUUUUUUUUAUGAUUAGUAUUAAAAAAAAAAACAGUUUUAAGCAAUUUAUAAAUACAAGUUUUAAUGUUUCUCAUAAUUUCAUCUUGUACUUUCAUGUGUCUUGAAUUUAAGAUUAAAAAAAAAUCUAAUAGCAAACCAAACACCUCCACAACUUAUUGUUAUUAUUAUUAUUAUUUGUGGUGAGGUUUGAAACAUUCAACUCAAUUUGUACUUAUUACAGAAUUUGAUUCUUUGAGAGAUUUAGAGGAGCUAGACAUUGGCAGGAACAAGAUUGACAAAUUUGUGGUCUCAAAAGGUACUACAAAUACCAUAAAAAAAAUGCUAACUUUUACAAAUUAGCUGGAUUCUUUGCCAUUUGGUUUAUUAUUUUACAGAUUUGAGUAAGUUGAAGUCUCUUGGUUUAAGUGGUGUCAAACUCAACCGUAGCAUCUUAUCUUCUCUGACUGUCUUUUAUUCGUUAAGAGAAUUAGAUAUAAGUGAAACCGGAUUCAAAGGAACAUUCGAUGUUCGAGGUAAGCCUAAACCCUGCUUUCUCAUUUUAUAUAUGCCAACUAGAUUUGUGUAUCAUCGACAUAAUUUAAUAUUUAAUUUGAUUAGUCUGAAGGAAUUACAUGCUAAUUUAAACAUACUUUUAUUUACUCUGUCAAUCAAUUAAUUAAUUAAUUACUAUUUGGCUUGGUUUGGACGAAAUUCUCAUGAUGUUUUAAUUUCUUUAAAUUGAUUAAUUAAUUAACUCUGUUUUUAAGUCUUAAGUCUGGGCAUGUUUACAGAUUUUGAUUCCUUCAAUAACUUAGAAGUGUUGGACAUGAGUGGCAAUGAAAUCGACAAUCUUGUGGUUCCUCAAGGUAAACAAUUAAAAUAUUAUUCAAUUACAUUAUUUUAAUUCAUUUGAUUAGGGAAGGCCAAACAGGUCCCAAAAAAUAAUAAUAAUAAAGAAACAGAUAAUUUGUAUUAAUUAAAAAACAAAAUGUAAUAAAGAUUUGAUUCCAGUUCUUUAAUCUUUAAAGCGAUUGAAAAACAAUGUUGCUCUUUUCCCAAAGCAUAAAAUACAAAUUGAAUGGCAAUUAACUUAAUCAUUCAUUUCGUUUAGCUCUAAAUUUAGACAAUGAAUUUUUAUAUUAUUUCAAAAACAGGACGUAAUAGAAUUUUUUAAAAAACAGAAUGUAAUAAAGAUUUGAUUCCAAUUCUUUAAUCUUUACAGUGAUUGAAAAACGAUACCAAUUAAAUUAAUCAUUUAUUUCGUUUAGGUCUAAAUUUAGAAAAAUGAAUUUUGAUUAUCUUCAAUCUUUUCUUAAUUAUUAUUAAUAAACAGGUUACAGAGGUUUGAGGGCUGAAAAGCCUUGAUCAUUCCCAUCCCUCAACACUCUUUACCUUUGGGAUAAUAAUUUUACAGAAACAGUGACUAGGCUAGCUAAGUGAAAAGGUACAGAUGUGGCCAAAUUUAUAAAUAAAUUGUUAAUUAAUUAAUUUUUCCGUAUUAUUAAUAAAGCGAAAUUCGUUGCUCCUUCCUUCUAAAUCUAAACAGAGUUGCACAAUUUCACCAACUUGGAAUAUUUGUCAUUGGACGAUUCCUCUCUCAAUUUAAGCCUUCUGCGAAGCAUUGCAUCAUUAUUCCCUUCAUCAUUAUUCCCUUCAUUAAAAAAUCUUUUUCUUCAUUAAAAAGAAAAGCGUUGAUUGUGAACUCACUCAAUGGUUUCCUACGUGUUCAACAUGUUUGUUUAUUUAUUUUAUUGUUUAAUGUUUCUGCUAGGUUUUCCUCAUUUCAAGAGUUUGGAACAUUUGGACAUGAUGUCCACGCGCAUUGCACUCAACACCAGCUUUCUUCAAAUCAUCGGUGAAUCGAUGCCUUCUCUUAAGUACUUAUCGCUGUCAGAUUCUAACAGCAGCAGGAUUCUUGAUCGAGGUUAAUCAGAUGCUCCCACCCUCCCUUCUUAAUCUAUAAUAUUAAUUUUCAAUUCAAUAUUCAAUUACACAAACCAAUCACUUAUUAUAAAUGAAUAAUACGCAUUCAUUAAUUUUUAUAUUGUAUUAAUAAUUGAUGAAUUUAAUAAAUUUUCAGGCCUCUGUUCGUUGGUGCAUCUACAAGAGUUGUACAUUGAUAAUAAUGAUUUAAGAGGUAGCUUGCCUUGGUGCUUGGCAAAUAUGACAUCCCUCCGAAUAUUAGAUGUUUCUUCCAAUCAACUUACGGGAAGCAUCUCCUCAUCUCCCCUCGUUCAUUUGACAUCCAUUGAAGAGUUGAUGCUUUCAAACAAUCACUUCCAGAUCCCAAUUUCACUUGAACCAUUUUUCAAUCACUCAAGACUUAAGUUUUUCUAUGCUGAAAAUAACCAAAUAAAUGCAGAAAUAACUCAGUCACAUUCUUUGAUCCCCCCAAAAUUCCAAUUAUCACGUCUCUCAUUGUCUUCCGGUUAUGAAGAUGGCGUCACAUUCCCCAAAUUCCUUUACCAUCAACAUGACCUGGAGUAUGUUGAUCUCUCACACAUAAAGAUGAAUGGAGAAUUUCCAACUUGGUUGUUGGAAAACAACACAAAGUUGAUACAACUUUCUGUCGUCAAUGAUUCUCUUGCAGGACCUUUUCGGUUGCCAAUUCAUUCACACAAGCAGUUAAGACUGUUGGAUAUAUCCACCAACAACUUCCGAGGCCACAUUCCAGUAGAAAUUGGAGAUGUUUUACCAAGUUUAUACGUUUUCAACAAUUCCAUGAAUGCUUUAGAUGGUAGCAUUCCCUCUUCAUUUGGUAAUAUGAAAUUCCUCCAAAUUCUAGACUUAUCCAACAAUCACUUGACUGGUGAAAUCCCCGAGCACUUGGCCGUCGGUUGCGUCAACUUGGAGUCUCUUGCAUUAUCAAACAACAACUUAGAAGGUCAUAUGUUCUCCAGAAACUUCAACCUGGCAAACUUGAAAUUGUUACAAUUGGAAGGCAAUCGCUUCGUAGGAGAGAUCCCACAAAGUUUGUCUAAAUGCUCUUCACUAGAAGGAUUGCAUCUUAAUAAUAAUAGUCUCUCGGGUAAGAUUCCACGAUGGUUGGGUAAUCUCACAUGGUUACAAUAUAUUAUAAUGCCCAAUAAUCAUCUUGAAGGCCUUAUUCCAGUGGAGUUUUGUCAGCUUGAUUCGCUUCAGAUUUUGGACAUUUCAGACAACAACAUAUCUGGAAGUUUACCAGCUUGUUUCCAUCCUCUCUCUAUCAAACAAGUUCAUCUUUCAAAAAAUAUGUUACAUGGACAGCUAAAAAGAGGUACAUUCUUUAAUUGCUCUUCCCUUGUGACAUUAGAUCUUAGCUAUAACCGCUUGAAUGGCAGCAUUCCGGAUUGGGUUGAUGGACUUUCUCAGUUAAGCCACCUUAUCUUAGGUCACAAUAAUCUUGAAGGUGAAGUGCCAGUUCAAUUGUGCGAAUUGAACCAACUACAAUUGUUAGAUCUUUCUAAUAAUAAUCUUCACGGUCCUAUUCCUCCUUGCUUUGAUAACACCACACUUCAUGAAAGUUACAGCAAUAGUUCUAGUCCUGAUGAGCAAUUUGAAAUAUUUUUUUUCAUCGAAGGCCCUCUGGGAGAUUUAAAAGAGCAAAUCCAUGAAAUUUUUGAGUUCACAACAAAGAACAUUGCGUACAUUUACCAAGGAAAAGUGCUUAGCCUCCUAUCAGGACUUGAUCUUUCUUGCAACAAGCUAAUCGGUGAUAUUCCUCCUCAAAUUGGAAAUUUGACAAGGAUUCAAACAUUGAAUCUAUCACACAACAACUUGACAGGAUUGAUCCCAUCAACAUUUUCAAACUUGAAGCAUAUCGAAAGUUUGGAUCUUUCCUACAAUAAAUUGAAUGGGAAAAUCCCUCAUCAACUUGUGGAGUUAAAGGCAUUGGAGGUUUUCAGUGUGGCAUACAAUAACUUAUCAGGCGAAAUUCCAGAAUGGGAAGCACAAUUUGCAACCUUCAACGAGAAUAGCUAUGAGGGAAAUACUUUUCUUUGUGGACUGCCAUUGCCCAUUUGCAGAUCACCAGCAACUACGCCGGAGGGUUCAAUCGGCAAUGAACGAGAUGAUAAUUUAAUUGACAUGGACAGUUUCUUUAUCACAUUUACAACAUCGUACGUAAUUGUGAUAUUCGGAAUUGUUAUUGUUUUAUAUGUAAAUUCUUAUUGGCGACGUAAAUGGUUUUACUUUGUUGAAAUGUGGAUAACUUCAUGUUAUUAUUUUAUUGUAGACAAUCUUAUUACAACAAGAUAUUGUCAUUGAAAUUAAUUAGCAGUUUAAUUACGAUUCUUUAAGUUCUAAUCAAGUUUGCACUUGAUCGCCUAUUUUACUUUAAAAAAUAAUGAUUAUGGUGCUAUCAUCAUCUUCUUCACUAGCAACAUUAACACCAAAUCCAGCGAUGGACCCAGACAUUUUAUCAAGAUAUAUAUAAUAAAGUUGAAGCUUGACAAAAAAUUUAGGAAGAUUAAUGCCUCGCCACAACAAGGGGCACAACAACAUCAAAGCAGAGAUGAAGCAAUAUUCUCAAAGCUAAAACUCUCCAAUCCACCCACCAGAAUUUCAUAUCUCCUCAACAAUUUUAAGAACUAAAGAUAAUUAGGAUAUAACAUUAGUUUUUUAUAUAUUAGUUUCAUAAUUUACAAAUCAAUGAAGAUGAAGAUUAUGUUAAUGAAUUCAAAUUAUACCAUACAUUCUCGAGAUGCUACCAAAAAUUUCUAAGUCAAUCCCACAUAUUUCAUAAUUUUAAGACUAGAAAAUUUCAUUAGGUAGAAGUUUCAUUACCUUCAAGUGGAAGAUGAAGAACAUUAUACAAUUGAUUCAGAUUAUAUCAUACAUACUCCAAAUGCAACUAGAAAUUAACAAGUUCAUGCGCACAGAUUUCAUAACAUUAUGAAUGGAAAGUUUCACAAAGAGAAAUUAUAAAUUCAAUCUCUUGCAUCAAGGUAGUUUGAUUGAUUUGAGUUACUUUCUGAUCAAGCUAUUAAUAUAACAUUCAAGUCAGGGAGAAAGUAAAUUAAAACUGGGAAGAAAUAACAGUAAAAAUUUGUUGCUAAACAUGAUGUGUAUUUUUUUUUUAAGGCAAUUUGGAAACACAGUUGUUACUACAGAUAUUCUCCUCAACUUAGAGAUAAUACAAAUAUUAAAAUGCAUAUGAUCGCACAUAUUACUUGGAGCUUAGUAAGAUUUCAUUAAGAGAAGCAAUCAAACCACUUAUCGUUGCAAUCGUUCUAUAAGCUAAAAUAGCAAUAUAAUACAAGAAAAAGAACAUAUAGAUACUUGGCAAGAGUUCAUUAAGAAGUCGCAUCACAUUCGGGUGAGGAGUUUGCUUCUGAUAUCUUGCUAGCUGCGGCUUUUUCUUGUCUUUCUACGUAUGCCGAGGGAAACCAACCAGCUUGGCCCUUGCAUUCACCUUCCGACCAUCCAGUAGGAGCCACCUUGAGAAGUUAUAACUAAAACAGUGAAUUAAACAACAGUUGACUGUUCAAAGACCUAAGGGGAAAUUCUUUUACGUAGGAGGAGUGAAUUAGUUGUGAUCACUGAAAUAACAGCAUAACUAUGGAAGCAUAACAAGAUAUAAAUUCACACGUCUAUAAGGGUAAACUGGGUGGUUUAGAACUGAGCUAGCAACCCUACUAUAUUCUGAUUUGCACUUCAAUGUAAAAGGGAAUAUAUGGUAGGAAGAAAGAAAACCAACCAUCAUUUGUUAACUCAUUGCUUUUCAAUCAAAAUUUUAAGAACAAAAUGCCAUGUGCUUUGAACAUCAAAUAAGUAUAAGCAUUAGUUCUAAAUUCCACAUAUCAUAAUUUAGAAGGAUAAGUUAAUAGCAUAGUAGAAAAAUCUAUGUGUUGUUAUUUAGAGGGGAAAGUACCCGGCGAACCACAACAUAAUCAUCAAUUGAAAGACUUAGCUCUCCAUUUGCUUGAGCAUCAAAUGGAUGUAUAACCUGCAAGAUAAUGGGAUAAAUAGAACUUAAUCUUAAAAAAAGCAUAACAAAAGCAGCAACAGUAGCAGCAGCGUUCAUUGUAACCACUAUGAUCAUGGCCAACAAAGAUAUAUUAGAAACAAAAUUCCAUUUUUACUACGACAUUAAUAUGUACUAUAUGAUAUCAUGACGAUUGGGUUACCAAGAGCUAUCAAAGUCCAAUAAGUUCUGUAGAACUUUAUGUAGUUAUUCAAAUUAUGGAUCAGAUUUUAAAUCUGAAAUUUUGACUGCUCUCCACAAAACAUGGCCUACGCACAAGAAAGUCAUAGAUAAUGAGGAUUACAAGUGGCUGACAUCUUUUGAGGGAUGGAUUUAACAUGAGAGCUUAUGGUCAGUCAAUUUCCUCCGCCUAGCAAUAUAAGCUUUCUCGGCCAGAUUUAUCAUCAAAUACAUAGAUUGCCCCAAGUCACAUCCAUAUAAACAUAGUUUUUCUAGGUAAACCAAGCAAGGAGAAUCAUAAUUCAGACAUAAUCAUAAAAAGGCCCAUCUAACUUAAGAGAAAAUCUCAAAAAGAGGGAUGUUGAGCUAUCAGUCUUGUAUCCAUAAGGAAUGUCAAGACUUUACAUCACCUGCUACAUCGUGAGUGGCUACACAACUUUCAGUGGUUUGUCUUUCUUUGGCAUGCCUAACUCAGCUUUGAUGUUGCUGAGAUAUUGAUAGUAGAGACACAUGAUACUUCUAGCUCAUGCAUUCUAUCUAGCUCAUCCGACAACUAUCUCUUUUUUAAUUCAUUAGUGUUUGCUAAACCUCAUGCUUAAAAGUCCUGUUGUUCUAAACAAAGUUUCCUAAGAAUGACUUCCUCAGCACCACAUUUGGACACUUUUAGAGCAAUUUUAUUUGGGGGAAAAGAAUUUUCAAGGUGUUAACUAAUAAAUUUUAAAAAAUAAUUACAAUUUGUCCUACAAUUAUAUGACAAUUUAUUUGGGAUGAAAGGAUACAGACAGACAUCUUCCACUUUCAAGACUAAUCACUACUUCCGUAGAUGUUUUGCAAUAAUAAAAAUACUUGACCAGAUGGUAGAAAAAAAUUUUAUUGCUCCAAAAUUAAAAUAGGAAUGCAAUAUGUUAAGCAAAAGACUGUGCAACAUCAAAUUAAUUGAUAAGUUUGUAAUUCAGUAAAUUAACAACUUUCAUGGUCAAAUAUAACAAAUUUCUUUUAAAAAAAAAUUAAAAAUAAAUAAAUCUUAAAAGACAACAUUCAAUUUUGUGCGCAUCUUAUUUCUUAAGAUUUUCCAGGAGGGCAAUAGAGGGACUUUCACCUAUGCAAUAGAGAGCAGAAGCCUUACUUUCGCUAUAAAGUAGACGUCAUUCUGAUUAAUAUGCGUUUGCAAAUCAGCUCCAUUUGAAUCAGUAUUCUGAUAGACACACGAGGCAUUUACAUCCAUUUCCAAAGUCACAUGUUGCGAGGAGGACUCAUUUGAUUGCUCCUCUAGGAUCAUCUAAUUCAAGUAGCAAGGGUUGGAAGAGAAUAAAAAGUCACAAUUAUUCUUUUGCAUAAGUGAGACGAAGAUGAUAAAUGCAAUAUUAUCAGCAGUAAUAACGUGUUGAUGAUAUGCUUUCUCAGCAUCUACCUGCAAAGGCCCGAGACCAGGAAAACAACAAUAAAACCACUAGCUAAAGGAGAAAGUAAAGAAAGAAAUACACUUGACAUAAAUCUUGACAAGAAGCACAAUUUAAGACAUAACAAACCCCAAUCAUAUUGUUUAGAACUACCAUUCGUUAUUUCGUUAUUGUUGCAUUUCGAACAAGUGUUGACUUAAUUCAACAUUGUUGGAAAGAUAGGCUUUUAGAAGCGGAAGAAAGCCACUCAAACCAAAGUGAUUGUCCUUGUAUUGAUCAAGGGAUGUAAACAUAUUACAUUUGCAGGAUGAGUUUUAAUCACUCCCCUGAUUUAUUUGGGUUGCAGUAAAACUAAGCGAGCAACUGUUUGACCUUCAAGCAACAUCUGAAUCAGCUAUUAAAAUUCAAAUAAAAUCAUAAUAGAAUAAUAACAGGCCAUCUUGCAUCAAAAAUUAAGUUUAAUUUGUGAAUUUUUUUCCAUAGACAUGUUAGCUCCUGCUAUUGAAAUGUUAAAAGCAUUGAAAAAUUAUUCAAUAAAUUAUGCAAACAUUAAAAUAGAGGACACAUUAAAAUGUUUCUAAUUACAAUGUUAAUAUUUCCUAUAUUUUAGCAUUUGAAUAUUUUAAUUUAUUUAAAAGCUACGUCGAUCAACUUUGGGCGUGAAGAUUUUAGCUUCUACGAGACUUGAUUGGAAUAUGCAUAAGGAAGAGUGUUAAAAUAUGAUGCAUCCAACGAAAGACAAACCACGUGUAGUCUUUUAAUUAAGCCAAAGUAGCAGCUCAAACAAAUGACACUUGGACCAACAUGCAAUCAUGAAGUGGCCGGAAAAAGGACAAAUGCAACUUUGGCUUAAAUAAAAAAUAACAUGUGACUUGACUUUUGCUGGACAUGCAUCAUGUUAUUACAAGACAACAGAAAUCAGUAUGAUAGUACUAAAAGUUGACAAUAACAUGAAGAUAAGAGGCAGAAUGUCAACACAUGCAUAGGCACACACAAGAAAGUAUUAACUUAUAUACCAUAGCAAAAAGUCUUUGAUAUGUCAUCUGUUGCUGCUGUGAUUCAACUGACAGCAUGGCAGCUGUUGCUUCUCUACCAAGAGCCAUUAUUGUAGAUUUAAGCUCGGUCAAUCUUGCUUCUGCAUUUCGAAGCUUCACAGCACUCUCUGCUGAUAUAUCAGAUUCCCUAAUCUUUGAUCGGCGCCUAAAUACUUCAGCUGCCUGGUGAAAAUAUUCAAUAUAAAUCUAACAUAAUUCUAAUCUUACCUGGGCUUCAACUUCAUGUCGAAGUUUGUCAUAACGAUGAGUCAGGUGUCGAGCAUCUUCCAAAGGUGCUCCGUUGAUUAACGCCCGUAGUGGCUCAGAUACCUACAUGUCCAAAAACCUGUAACAUAGUUAGAAAAAUGAAAAGAAAGAGCGAAACCUCAAUUAAAAAGUUCCUCCAACAUAAUCAUGGAAUUUGGGCCUACUUCAAGGAUAUAUAUAAGGAUAAUUUAUGCAAUUUUGGGUCUUAGGAUGAUUCAUAUUAGGUUAGUGUUCUUCUCUUCUGUAUUUAAGGUUAAAAUAGAAAUAAACCUAUGCAAAUAUAUAAAUUAGGGCUGUAAGACUUCCACAUGCAUCCUUCAGUCUCAUGGAUUUGAUUUUACUAUAGAUGCAAGUGUCGUUAUCGAAAAUGCUUGGAGUCAAUUGAGAGAACUCACGGCCAAAAACUUGUCACACGCUAGUCUUUGCUAGUGAUGUAAGAAGUCACAAGGUCUCUUCAACAUUUGAACCAAUAAAAUUAUUAAGUCAUGGAUGUCACUAGCAAUGAUUUUAAUAUAAAACAUUAAAUAUUUCAGAGUUGUAACUUUAAAAUGGAUUCUUUUAUUCAAUAUCUUAGAACUAAGUUUCCUUAUGAGAAGAUAAUAGUUUCAGUAGUAAUUUACAUAUAAUUUUCUAUAUUUGAAUUAUUUUCUAGUUAGGGAUGAACUAACCUGAUCACGAAGAAUCCCAAGCAAAGUUUCCCUCUCAUUUUCCAUCAAAUCAUGUGAAGUGCCAAAUUGAACAGCAGCUCUUGCAACGCAAGAAUUGUCACUCUGAUUCUCCGCUCCAUACUUGCAACAAUCUUCGGCCAACUUUCUCGCUACAAUAUUUGAAUACAAAAAUAUUGUACACAAGAACUAGUCAAGAAAAAAAAAAAAAUCAAAUAUUAUAACGAGAGCAAGAGCAAACGAACAACCUAUUUCCAUUUGUUUCAAGCUUACUGCAACAAACACUUCAACGCCACGGACAACAUUCCUCUGAAAAUGCUGCGCUACAGAGCAUAUAUUCCAAAUUAUUGUUCAGAUAAAACCAUAGAAACCAUCAUAAUUAUUCAACAUACAUUAAGCUCCGUUUGGUAAAUACUUGCAACUUCAGUCUAGAAAAUACAGUUAAUUUUUAUUUAAAAAAACAUCAUAAUUAUCAACAUACAUAUUUGACAAAAUUAUUAUUUAAAAAUCAUAACUAAUUACCAAAAGCCACAAUAAAUCAAUAUCAAACAGAGUCUUAUUAUUAGCUAAAGGAGGAUGGUGCCUUAGCUGCCCUGGUGGAAUUGUAUAGAUUUUGAAGUUGUUGGUGACACUCAAUUUCAGCUUCAUCAACCGCAACAUUUUCAAUGCCAAGAUGGAGCAGAUGCUUCAAUACUGCCUGUACAAACCAUAAAAAACUAAUGAAAAAUAAAUAAAAUCGAGAAAUUUCACUAAUUAAAAGUCUAAAUAAUUCAAAAACAAAAAAAGAAAAGAAACGGACUUGCUGCUGCUUGGCGACUUGUUCUCGGAGCUUGAUUGCCUGUUUCUUGAUAGCUUCCAUACUGUUUCUUUCAAAAAGCGACGACGGCUCAGCUCAUGGAAGUGGAAAAAAAAAAGUGUGAUCGAGAAAAAUGAAAAGGCGUGAAUAAUUUUUGACAAAAAGCGAAAAUCAAGGAAAGCCGGCUCUUUCCAGAAAAUAAAAAAGAAAAAAGAAAAUUAUAAGUUUGAAAGGAGAAGAUGAUAGUGGAAGUGUGCGGUGUGGCUGCCAGCUACUUGAAUUAUAAGAAAUUUUUUUUUUUUUUGGAGAAAAAUAGUAGAGAAUUUUUUAAGAAUCUAGAAUAACUGCAUCACUUCUUAAUCGCUUGCUUUAACUGCAUCGCUCUCUUUGUGCUCUUCUAUAUAUGUAACGGUUAUGCGGUUGUAGUUCACCACUGAGGCUACAUGUUGGUUUGACGUGGCAGUUACGUUACAAGGGGAUAAAUAAGAUUGGUUUCAACAAACCCACUAAUUUUAUAAAAUUCGAGUAAUAUAGAAUAAAAUAAAAAAAUAAAUACAAAAUGGGCUUUUACUUUUUAUGGUUGACUGUAUUUUGUGUUCUCUUCUGGCACUACUACAAUUGUUCCCUAUAUAUCAGUCACAGCCAUAUAUCAUUAACACAAGAAAUGAAAUCUAAUGUCACCUAUUUAGUUAAAGAAUCACUCAUGAAAAAAAUUUACCAUUUUGAUUUGAGGAUCCAUAUUUUGAACUGCAAGCUAAUGUUCAUUAAGAAUCCCUAAUGUUCAUAAAAAUCAGAGUAUGGCCAUUGAGUAGAAAAACUAUUUUUGGACAAAUUAUUUUUGUUGAUAGAAGAAUUUCUUAAGGGACUACUAAAAUUAUUAAUAAAAAUGUAGAACACACCCACAUAUCAUCGACACAAUUGACUUUGAGGAUCCAUGCUUUGAAUUGCUGCCUAAUGUUCAUCAAGAACAGAGUAUGACUUGUGAGUAGAAAAUUUUAUGAUUUUGGCCCGAAAUAAAAGGAAAUUAAAUUAGAUGAGAAUCUGCCACUUUCUCAUGAAGAAAGGCAUACGGAGCAUACCAUGGUACCAUACAAUACAAAGAGUCUCUGUUCUCUGGUUUUUCAAACUCUGAAGGGGCCAAUAUUCCCGAAUUCCCCCUUGAAAAUUCUGAUUACGACAUUAUCCAUCGCUUGACGCAAUCAAAGUAGCGACAAAGUUAUGAAAAAUAUGAGUCCUAAGUAAUUGCUAGGUAGGGUUCCUGAGAGUAAAAUUGUCCUAAGCAUUAUAUGCAUACAUGGUGUGGUACAUAGAGCACGUUGAAUUCCCCACUAUAACACAAACCCAGAAAGACAAGUAAUAACUCAACUGAUAUAAAGACAAAAAGAAGAUAAAAUGAUAUAGAAAAAAGAAUUUCAAAGAGACAGCAACAUACGAUAGACUGAAGCCACUUGAUCUGCUCAUUGAUUGCAGCCUUAAACUCGCAAAUAGUUACUGUACGCUAGUGCUCUAAGAAGUGAAAAUGAUGCGAGCCCUGAUUCCCUUUUGACUUCCAUUUAUUGUCAAACAUUCUAGUAAUACAAAAAAUUGUUUAGAUAUCUCGCUAUAAAUAUAGCCGUUUGACUGUCAUAAUAAAGUCACAAAUAACCAUUCAUAUUGAUCCACUGUCACACAACAUGCUUUAUGCAUACAACAACUGUAUGUAUACCAACUCCUAACCUUAUCAAUACAUUUGGCAAAAACUUAAGAAGAAAACUAUUUCUCCAUCUCUUUUUUGAAAUUUCACAAUAAACCAGCACAUUGUAAACGUUAUGUUGUAACCUUAUGAUAAAUGCUCUAGACUCCAAAUGAAUUUUAUAUAUGAGGGUUUGUUGCAGCAGAUAUAUUGACUUAUCAAGUAUGAAUCAUUGUCUAGAAGAACUAUCUUUAGAUAAAAGAACAUUAGAACCACUAUAGAAUAUCUUUAGGCUGCUGGUUCUAACAGGAAUCUGCGUGUGGCAACAAUUGCUAGAUCCACAAUUCCCCAACUUGAAAUACAUAGUUGCACACCGUGAGAUAGUGCUGCAAUCUACUGAGAUCUAACUUAUAUGAUAUUUUAAGCUACUAAUGUUUGCAUAUUUCUACAUGUUAAAUUAAGCAGCUUUUGGCCACUUAUUACUAGCAUCCACAAUUAAUUUUUGUUCAGUAAUCAGCUUAUUUUAAAGAAAUUGAUUUAGUCAACAAGAAACACUAUAAUCCUUGAAAUUAGUUCUUGUUCUUUGUAAUUAUGUAUGAUCUUUCAUACAUCAAUUAAUCUGCAGUACCAAGAUGAGGUUUUCAGAGAAUUGGGGGUGAACUAGCUAGGUGGUUUACUGUUAAAGAUAUAGUUGCAGCUGAGCUAAACAGAGUAGCUGGAGGUUGCUGAACAGUUACAUCAAAAGACGGGAUCAUAGUCUAUGCAUUGAACAGUUACAGUUGCUGCUACCAAUUGCUUCGGCAAAGAUCAAGAAGACUGAACGGGAAGUUAAUGCCAUCAAUGUCGUCUUCACUAUAGCUGCUGGGAAUGUAGGUGAACUUUCCUCAUUUGCAGCUGUCUAUACAUAGGCUUUUCCCCAGCUUAAGUACAAAUAAAUGAACCUGCCUUGAAGGCUUUAUUAUUGACCCCAAUAAGGAUUACUAAUUGAAGAAGACUAUACGGAGUUAAUCCCACACUCUCGUUCUCUCAAUUUCUUUCAGAAGUGCCUCUGAAAAUAGCUGCCAAACCGUUAGUCAGCUUGUAUACUCUGUUUUCUGGAAACAGAGCCCUCACUAACUGACUGUACAGAGUAAGUCAACAUAGCAUAUUUAAUCGUUUUAAUUGAAUUAUCUUCGCAGCGAUCAUCAACAAACUCAUCAUAAGAUAUUUGAAGCACCCAAGGACUAUCACUGGGUUUCUCUUCUGGUUGAUUUAUUAAUUAAUCAUAGAACGGUUGGAUACCCAGCGACAAUUAAAAUUAUUCGACUUCUGGAACUAGGAAUGAAGUGCAAUGAUGGAGCAAAAUUUACAAUGUCUCCGGUUUCUCCUGACCAUCGGACUUUUGCAGUGAGAACAUAUAACAAAAAGGCCUUCAUCAAAAUUUGUAGACUCCGGGUAUGGAUUGGAUUGAGUUUUUUGUUUGAUAUUGAAGAACCUCUUUACUAUCGCGAUAUAGAUUAUGUGCAAGGAGUUGUCUACUGUUCUUUGCCUUGUGCUAUGAUCGGUGCUCUUGAGACUGCCCUGAAACACAGGAAAAUACUUCGAUAUCCUCCGUUCGAUGAUGCAAAGAACCGGUUAAUGUAUGAUUAUCUAAUUGACUCAGGAUCAGGUAACAACAACAACAAUUUAUUAAUAGUAAUAUCACAAACGAAGAAGAUUUCGGAGAGGGAGAUGUAUGCGUAUACUGUUUACAGGUUUGAUCCACUGGGGAUGAAGUGGUCUCAAGUGGAAAGUGAUUUAUUAAACAACAAAUCGUUGUUCUUGGGUUAUACCUCAUGAUGUCAUCAAGUGGAAGAUGAAGAUUAUGCAAGACGAAGAUCGUUUGAUAUUGAAGAAUUUGAACAGAAAGCCCAUAGAAAGUACUUAAAUAAGCAUAUUCUUGUUGGGGUAGAAUAUUGAGAAAGGAGUUGUCUACUGUGUGUUGCGUAAUUAUGCUAUGAUCGGUGCUUUCAACAUUGCCCUGAAAACAGUGGGAAAUACUUCAUAUCCUCGACAUGAUGAUGAAAAAUUGGUUACCGAUUACCUAAUUGACUCAGGUGACAACAAUCCAUUAAUAGCACAAUUUGACGUGAUGCCGUUUAGGUAUAUGGUUUUCAAGUUUGAUUCAUCAGUGAUGAAGCGGACUAAAAUUAAAAGUUUAAAUGAUAAGUCAUUGUUCUUGGGCAUAUCGUCAUUACUACUUCCAGUGAUCAACGAUGAAGAUGAAGAUGAAAAUUGUGCGAGUUCAAGAUUACCAUUUAUCAUUACUUGGGAUAUUACUUCAACAUAGAUGGGGUUAUAAUUUACUCCCACGAACAUCAACUCAACUUUAUGAUUGGAGUGUCUCACCGUGACUCAGACAAAUUCUGAUUCAACCUCCUUCACCAAUGGAUUUUGAUUAGUUAUUUUGUGAUCAAGCAACUUAAUUAAACUCAGUUUGUUAGUCUAAUUUUAGUUUUACUGUGACCACUAUUCAAGGUAAGCGAAAGUUACAGAUGUGGCAAAAUCAAUAAUUAAAUUCAUAAAAUGUUAAAAAAUAAAACUUAUAAAUGUUGCAUGACUACUUACUAAUAAAUAAAUAAGUUAGAAUGUAGUUAUUUAAUUUUACACCAUAUUAUAUAUUAUUCGAUAAUAAUAUAAAAUAAAAAUAAUUAAAAAAUAAAUAAUUGAAUAAACAAAUAUGGCUUUCUAAACAGUAAAAAUUCUAGAGUUAAAAUUUAUAUUAUUAUUUUAUUUUUUAAAAUUGACAUUUUUCUAUUGUCUUACAUGUAUAAAGAUUUUGAGAGUUGAGAAGAAUAUAUUUAAUGAAGCUUGAUAACAUUUGAUGGGAUAGCAAGUAAGGGUAAAUAAGAUAUUUUUAUUUGUUAUUUAUUUGAAUUAUAUCUAUUUUGUUCAAGUUAAAAUACUAAAUAUAAAUUGGAGGUAGACAUUUUAACAGAUCAUCUAAGCUCUCAAAUCUGAAAUUUUGUGUAGAUUUAAAUUCAUAAUUUUAGUUAAUUUUCAUACAUUCAUAUAAACAAAUUUAUGAGAUUUUUCUUUUCAGCAUGUUAUAUUUUGAAACUUUCAAUGUAUUAUUCUAGCUUUAUUUAAACAAUUAAUUUAUUUAAAAUUUAUUUAAUUUUGAAUUUGAUCAGUAGUAAAAUUAUUUUUAUAUCAAAUUUUUUUAUUUAAAUAGUUCGUGGAUUGGACAAAAUUAAAAAUUUUUAAUCCACAAAAUGGUGGAUUAGAUAUGAAUUAGGUUAAAUCCACAUUCGAUCUGCAGUGGUAUGAAUUUGAUUUGGAUUGAAUUUCAUCAAUUCAUGGAUUAGAUUGGAUUGAAAAUUUAUUAUCCGUAAAAUCAUGGAUCGAAUAUGGACUAAUGUCCAAUCAGCAAAAUCCGAUCCCCGAACACGCCUCUAUCAAAAUUUUCAAGAAUAUGUUUUAUCUUACAAAUUUUUUUUAAAGUCAUAGUCUAAUGGCAGCCCAAUUUUAUAAAGUCACACACAACCAUUCUUAUUAAAUUAGCAAGAUCAAACACUGCACUGGAUCUUGAACAGAUCAACACAAGUUGCACAACUUGCGAUUGAAUUCGGCCAGAAACAAUCAACUCUUUAGCAAGAACAAUUAAUCAGAGUCAAGAAACAAGUUUAAUGAAUAUAAACCUAUAAUUGAAACAAACAUAGCCAAGAAAAAAAUACAGAUUUUACACGGUUCAGUUGUACCCAGGAUGGCACAACCUACACCACGAGAGAAGCUUUCUGGUGAGAUUUUAUUGAUGAUCAAAGAAGAAUCUUUUGACAAAGCUAAUAAUAGAGAUUUCAGAGAAUAAGCUAUGACCCUCUCUCCCUCUUCAAUCUCUCUUUAUUUUGUUCCCAUUGAUGACCCCAAUCUGCUUAGUUAGCCAGCUUUAUAGCUGCAUCAGUAACAAACCAGCAAACCCAGAUUGAGCAGAUUGACGACACGUGGAUAACGGCUUUAACGAACCUGGUUAAGAACUGCUCACAUGUUCGUCACGCGUAGGGAUGGCAAAUAUCCAAUUAUGGAUGGAUAAUAUCCAUCCAAACACAAAUCCAUAAUUAUCCAUAAUAGAUAUAUCCAUAUCCAUAUCUAGUAUUUAAUAUUGGACAUGGAUAUGGAUUUUAUCCAUAUAACUAUGGAGAUCCAUGGAUAUCCAUGGAUAUUUUAUUUUUAUUAUAUAAAAAUAAUAAUAUAAAAUAGUUAAAAUAUCCAUAUCCAUAUAACUAAUAAUAUAUAUAUAUAUAUAAUAAAAUGGCGGUCCGGUAGUCGGUGGCGGCGGUCCGGCAACUUUCCGGCAAAUUCCGGCGAAAUUCCGGCGACGGUCCGCGCGAUGUCCGACGGUGGUCCGGCAACUUUCCAGUGAAUUUCGGCGGAGGUCCGGCGACAUUCCGGCGUGGUCCGGUGGUGGUCCGGCGACUUUCCGGUGGAUGUCCAUUUAUAAUAUUAAAUUAAUAAAAUAAAAUAAUAAUUAUUAAUAGUAUUAAAUAAGUUAAAAAAUUAAAGGAUAAUUUUGAAAACUUUAGUUUUUAAUAUAAGAGGAAUUUAAAAUUUUCACUAGUUAAUAUAAUAUUUUUAUAAUUGUUUGUUUAUUAUAUUUUUUAUUUUUUAUUUUAUAAAAUUAAAAAUUUUUUAAACUUGUGUUGGGUUAAACGGAUAUUCAUUGGGUAAAAAUAAUUAUCUAUAUCCAUCCAUAUCCAUCUGGAUAUAAUUUUAAAAUAUCCAUUUCAAAAUCCAAAAAUUUUUGGAUGGAUAUUAUCCGAUCUAAUUGGAUAGAUAUUGUGGAUAUCCAUUAUGGAGCGAUCCAAUUGCCAUCCCUAGUCACGCGUGCUGCUUAAAUGAUGGCCAAAACGACUUCAAACAAAUGUCGUUUUGAGGCUUAUGAAUUACAAGUGAUAACACGAGCUUGUCUCAUGACUUUUAAAUGCAACAGCGUGCCCAAAACGCCGUCGUUUUACUCUGUUGAGUUUGAUUCAUUACUAAGCUUUACGACUGGCACUGGAGAAGAUGAUAAUUUAAUUUACAUGGACAGUUUUUAUAUCACUUUUACAACAUCCUAUGCAAUUGUAAUAUUGGGAAUUAUUGAUGUUUUAUUCUGUGAAUCCUCAUUGGCAAAAACUAGUGGUUUUAUCUUUGUUGAAAUGUAAAUGACCUCUCGUUACUAUUUUAUUAUAAACAUAUAGUUUCGUAAGUGAAACUACAUGUUUAUAAUAAAAUUAACAUAUAGUUUCGUUACAUUUCUGCCUCAUUAAGAUUCUCAAAUACCAGUCAGGUUUGCUUAAGAAAUAAAAUUUUUCCAUUAAAAUUGCAGUAGUAUUUCCAAGCAUAUCGCAUUUUCUAUGAUUUUUCAUAAAUUAAUUAAUCUGCGGUGCCAAUAUCAGAUUUAGUUUUUCAAACUAAAUAAUCAAGAAAGCAAACAUACAAAUAUACAGUUUAGAGGGGUAAACUAGGUAGGUGGUUUAGAUUUUAGAACUAAGCCAGCUACCUCACUAAAUUCCGAUUCGUACAGUGAACUGCAAGAAAUUGAGAAAACAAUGAAUUUAUAAUUUAAUAGAAUCAUAAGAAAACAAUGUAGUCAUUGCUCCAUAUAAGAUGAUGAUUUCGGAGAGGCACAUUGUUUUCAAGUUAAUUUGAUCCGUUUAUAAGAGAUGAAGUGGAAUCAAGUUGAAAGUUUAAAUAACAAAUCCUUGUUCUUGAGUUUUACGACGUCGUUACUCCUUCAAGUGGCAGAUUAUGCAAGUGAAUGCAGAAACACAAUGCAUCAUCCGCGGGGAUGAUACAUCAAAAGGCGGGAUUUGUUUAUGCCUGCAGAUUAGCAAUUUCACUCAUAUAGAAAAUUAAUUUUUUAUAUAUACUAAUCAACACUAAAUUGAUUAUGUGUUGUAUGUUUAUAUGCUAAUCAACACGAAAUUAUAUUGAAUUAUUAACAUUCAUAUUCCUAAUAAAAAUUAUUUUCCAUCAGUAUUCAAAAUUUUCACUUAUGGAAAAUGCGUUUUAUGUGAAUACUAGUUAUUGUGUAAAUUUGAAUGAUAGCGAAAAAUAAACCUAUUUGAAAACUGUAAGGGUGUGUUGGGAUAUUUUACAACUGUCGGAAUCUGGUAGGAUAUUGCACCAUUUGCCCAAUAUUUUUAGACGUACUCUAACCGGUAUUCAAGAUAAGUAAAAGUUACAAGCGUGGCAAAAUAAAAAAAUAAAAUUUGUAAUUUGUAAACGAAUUUUCCUGACAUGUAUAGUAGAUGAAGUUGUUGAUCCUUUCUUUGGAUUAUUUCAGCUCUGGUUGUUGGUCACCGAUGAGCCGAAGUCUUAUUUUAAUUUUAUUUAAACUCAUCAUAAGAUUCGUGGAGCACCUAACUAACUUAACUGACUGUGCAGAGCAUCUCAACAUGGCAUAUUUAACCAUCAUUCAAGUGAUGGGUUUAAUAAGACUGCUUUUGUUCUAUCAACUAUCAAGUUCCUCUGCCUCUAAGCAGAAUUACUAUUGAAGGGCCAAAAGGAAAAUGAAAACGUGUGAGCUCCAACAACCACCCCACAAAUUCAAUGACGAUGCUCGGAGAGGGUUAGGUUGGGCCUCUGAGAAAAAAAAAUUAUUUAGUUAAAAAGUUACCCUUAUUGAAACCUGUAUAAAAAUUUUAUAUUAAUUAGUUAUGUUGCCUCUUCAACUAUGAUCAAAUUUUUAUCCGAGCUCAUCAUUUAAUGAGUAAACAUGUAUUUUAAUGAUCUCAAUUAAUAUUUAGAACAAAUAUUUUAAGAAGUAAAGCUCAUUAUAUCUUCCAUUAUUAUGUAUUUCUUUAAUUUCUUAUUUACAUAAUUAUAUUGUACAUUAAAAAUGUAUUGAAUUUGAAGAAAAAAAAAUUCAACUCACUCAAAAAAAAAAAAAAAUGCUGGUAGCUUCGUAAUAAUUACUGUAUUGACUGCACCAGAUAAAGUUUUGUAAAAUAAUAAGUUCUCAUUAGUGGUUUUUAAUUUUUUUAAUUUUUUUUUCCGGCACACCUGAUCAAGAAUUCUAUUUUGUUAACUAAUCAAUUGCAAAGCAUAAGUGUUGAACGGCAAAAAAAUUUAAAAAAACACUUAAAACGUGGGGAAAUGAGAAAUAUAGAAAGAAAGGAAGAAAGUUGAGACAUGAAACUGAUCUGCAGUGAAAUUGAUAAUCAUGUUUCUAUUUCGUUAACUAAUCAAACGGAAAACUGAAACUGUAAACAAACAUUAACACGUGUGGACUCUGCUAGCUGCCCUACAAGUCUACAAUAGUAAUUGAGUACCUUUGAUUCAUCCUUCUAUGAAUUUCUAGCUGUAUUGACCCCAACUGCUAAAGUUUUGUAAAAAAUAAAAAUAAAAAUAAAAAAACUGGAAUUUCAACAAAAUUCAAAACGUGUGAAAUUCAAAAAUGGACUUUGGCCAUGUGGAACAAAAUGUAAAUUAAGGAAAAAGUAUAAAUCUCAAUUGCUUAGUAUGGUUAGGAUUUUGUGAGCAUCACUAAAAAGUGAAAACUAUGAAUGAUAGAGGUGAUGUUUGCAACAUGAAUAAAUGAUGAACUGAAUCAAUUGAUGAUCGUAAUUACAUAAUGAACAAAAUUUACAAAAUCAACAAAAGUUAAUAAAAAUUUAUUUAAAUAAUAAAAAAUCAAUAAAAACUUAUUAUUUAACGACGCUCUAACCAAGGAGUAUCAUAAUCAUAAUCUUCUUUUAAGAAUUAUAACCUAUUUCAAAUAGCACCGCAAUAUAAUUCUAGAUAUUUAAAAGAAAAACAUUAUCCACCUGGAAUGACUUGAAGUCUAAAGAAAAAGAGAGAAUGGCUCCCCGCAAUUUUCUUGUCUUCGGUAUAUUUUCUUUUUUAAAAUCUUUUGCCGCAUACAUAAUCUACCCUUGUUUAUUAUCUCCACUUUGAUCUGUUCAAGUCCAUUUUUUUCAAAUCUUAUUUUAAAUAAUAAAUUGAAUAAAAGUAUAUUUUUGUAAUUAAUUAGUAUUUGAGAGAGGGGAGGGGGGGGGGGGGCAUAUUUUUUGCACUCAGCUAUUAUCAAACAGUUCCUUAACCUAUUUCUCAGUUUAUUUGCUAUCUUUGUGGAUCUCAUGGGCGUGGCAGAAUUUAAUAAUUUUAUUCGUCUGAAGAAUAAGAUAUUGGCUUCAAUAAAUUUAAACCAACUUUUAUUUACUCUAUCAAUUAAUUAAUGCCAUUUUGUUUUAGAUUAGAUUCUUUUAAUGGCUUAGGUACAUACACAGUACCAGAUCCGGAUCCCGGAAAUGGUGCUCUGAAGGAAUGGAGGGAGAAGAAAAGAUUUACAACUGAGGAUUGAGAUCUGGUCUCGUUGCCUCAGAGGAAUGUACAGAUUUUAUGGCAGAUCUGAUAAAAACCAGUCUGCAAACAUGCUUUGAAGAAAGAAUUAGGCGGUUUCUGUAAACAAUUCAAUUAUGACCCCUUUAAAACUUCUACUUCCAAAGAUUGUAAUGGUGAGUGUUCUAAACCUCGCAAAAACAUUACAAAUCUAGAAAUUUUAGGAAACCCUUUCGUAAUUUUAGAGAACUUCCUUAUAAGAAACCUUCGAGGCCUUAUAAGAAACCCAAGUUCCCUAAAAAAGAGUUCAAAGCCAAACCAAAAAACUCCUUUCACUCCUUUCAAUUACAAAGAAGCUAUAUGUCACAGAUGUGGCAUGAAAGGUCAUACUGCAAAGUACUGCAGAAUGAACAAAAAGCUUCAUGAGCAGUUCGUCAUAAGGGAUUCGGUUAUCAUACAGGGUUUUAAUGGAAUUUCUAACCUUCUCUCCAAGGAGAGUUGGUAAUCCUGCAAGGAAUUUUUCUUUCCAAGUUGUAUGAUUAGCAUCAUCCCUAAGGAAAAGACGAGUGAAGAAAGUGGUUUUAUAGCUUUGGAAUUCACUAAGUUUCCUACAUCUUAAAUUAUGUAGUAACUCAGCGUUUUUAUCACGAAGAUGAGAAGGAUCACCAAUUAAAUGGAGGGAAAUUGUCAAAAUUAGAGUAGCAACGGCAUCCUGGAUUGGAUUGUUGAACUCAUCAAGAAUAGGGGCUCCAUUUUCAUCGACUUGUAUAGAAUUUAGAAUGUCUAGUUGUUGCCGAUUAGUGAGAAGAUGAUCCCACCAACCUUUCAAUUGACCAGUAAAACCGGCAAUGAGGAUUUCUGAUAUGGCACGAUCAGAAGUUCCUGCUUGGGUUUUAUAGGCAUUGGCUGCCAUUGUCAUUUGUUGCAACAAUCCUAGAAUAUUAUACUCGGACAUACCAUCAAUAUUCCACUCAUAGACUGAGGAUGCAUUAUAUCGAGAUUGAUUUAAUGCACUUGGUCUAUUAUCUAUUGCUAGAUCUGGUGGAGUCUUGACAGUGGGAAGGGCUAUUUACAAAAGGAUUUAAAUUUUCAAAGAAUUGAAAGUCAAUUACAAAGUGAUUUUGUUCAAAGAAAAAUCUCUGAUUUCAAAAACCUUAUUGAAAACGAAAUCUGUGCUGAUUUACCAUCUGCUUUUUGGAAUCGAAAACAGCAUUUAGUGGAUUUGCCAUAUGAAAGUUCUUUUGAUGAAAAACAGUAAGAUUCCACUCAGGGAUUUUCUUUCUAACAGUAAUAGGGUUUGACUCUUUGAAUGGAUAAGAGAUGUUGUUCUCCGAAGAAUAUAUUUCGAACCAAUCAAAAAACAAUAUAUGAAUUUUAUGAAAAUUCACAAAUUCAUAAUAAGUUUGUUGGAUUUCUUUUCUUUGAUUUAAAAAAUGUUUGAAGAACCAAAUUCUUUUUUCUUUGUUCAAAUCUGAAUAAAAAUCAUUAUGAAGAAAUGCUUUAUCCAAUUCAAAAUCUUUUUCGAUGACAUUAAUGACAUUUUCUGUAACAGCAGAAAAUGUAGGAGAUGUUGGAGGAGAAGGUUCCUUCUCUUCCUGACUUUGUACCUGUUGACUACUAGUGUAGAUCGGAUGAGGAACACUAGUGGUGUAAUCAACUGAAUGAAUGGAGGUGCUAGGUAAAUCUGAAGUAGAAAACCUAGGCUGACACUUUGUAUUUUGGAAUGGAUGAUUUAUAACAGAAGGUACUUUUGUAAAUUUCCUUUCUAGUGAAGGAAUGCUUGAGCACGACUCUUUAUCAGAAAAUCUGUGAGAGGUAGACCUUCUGAAUGAUAGUUUGACUUUACCAUCGGAAUACUGAGUCACAUUUUGCAACUCUGUAUUGGGCUCAAGUUGUUUCGGAGUCACCUGUGGGGCAGCUCCUUUAAGGAUCCAUUCUUCUGGAAGAUUAACAUCUUUCCAUUGGAUCGGUUUUGGAAUGACAGUGUUUGCUUUGGACAAGUCAGUCUGCAAGAGAAGAGUUUCAUCUCUUUUUGACUGGAAUUUAUGUUGCGUACAAAACGCAGAGACCAUAGCUUUAUAUGAAAUCUUGAAAAUCAAAGCAACUGGGAUGGACCCUUUAACCAUUUGGUAAUUAUGGGUUUUGAUUUGUAAAAUCAUGCUUUUUAAAAUGUUUUUGUCUUUAAGAGAAGAAAUUCUUUUCUUUUAAUUUCUUUAAAGAUUUUUCUGAAAAUAAAUAAAUUGUUUCAAAAGGCUCUGAAAGAGUGGUAUCACGUUCUUCAGUUUUUAUAAUAUAAUCACUUUUUAAAAGAUCAAGCAUUUUUGUUUUGUAAAUCUUUUCUUUGGAAAUUUUUGGAAGUUCCCAACAAUCAAUUGCUUUAUCAAAGUUCUCAAUAAUGAAUUCUUCUGAACUCACAACAUGCUUUGAAUCACUAGUCUUCCCGGAAGAAGAGCUAGAAAAGGACGAUGUUCUACCGAGUAGAGGAUCCAUGUCCAAGACCUUAUGGUCUAUUUUUGGUUUGGUCAGAAUGGCUACAGGUAUGGAUUUACAGCCCUCAGCGGAUAGCUAGAUUGUGGGGUAUCAGGGGCUAUUUGAACUUUGCUAGAUGAGGAAGAAGCAGCUUCUAUCCGAUCUAGUUGUUCUCUAAUGGCUUUAGCAAAAUCUGAUUUUGACUCUUGGACAAGCUUUUGGCUAGUUUUCGAAACCUGAAAAGGUUUGAAAAUAGGUUCCUUAAGCUUUUUAUCAGAAUCCGAUUUUGUUUGAACAGUAGUUGAUGAAACAGUAAUGGUUGACUUUUGGAAUUGGUUUUCUAUCCUAGUCAACUGCUUUCCGAUUGUAUUUAAGUUAGUAUUACAGAAAUUGUUCUGUUGGAUAAUACUACUUAAAUUUGCCUCGGAAUCAUUUGGUUUUGGAAUUUUGUAAGGUGAUGCUCUAAUUUCGACAGGAGGUUCACCAUGAUCUAUGGUUAUACUCCUAAGAGGUGGAUGCUCAGACUCGAUGGAUCAUUCAUUUUUAAAGAAAAUCAAUGUUUUGACUAAAGACUAAGAGACUUUUCUUGAACUUGUAAAACAUAUUUCUGAUCCAAAUCUUCAAAAAGAAUAUCUUGAUAAACUUUUGAAAACUUUGGAUUUUAAUAAAGCCGAGACUUCUAAAGUCCCAAUUGUUAAAAAGAAUUCUUAUGAUCUUACCCAGAUUUUAGAUAAAAAGAAAACAAAGAAGUCAAUGCCCACGAUUCAAGAUCUUCAAAAAGAAAUCAAAGAGAUUAAACUUGAGAUUAAGGAUUUGAAAGAAAAACAGAAAACUGAUUCUGAAACUAUCCAACUCCUUUUACAAAAGCAUUUGGAUAAUGAUUCUGAUAAAGAUGCCGAUUCUGAUGGUGAUCAUAAUGACCAAAAUGUUGAUAAUAUUGAAUCUAUACCAAAUGAUUUUUUGUUUGUUUUAAAACAAAUCACCACCAGGAAGUAUUUAAUUAAAAUCUCUUUAAUUUUUUCCAAAGAUUUUGCUAUCGACGCCAUUGCCCUUUUUGACACUGGUGCUGAUUUAAAUUGUAUAAGAGAGGACAUUGUCCCCAAAAGAUUUCAUGAAAAGACAAAAGAAAGCCUUCUGUUCAAACACCAGUCACUAUCAAUAAAAUGAGCUGUGAUCACCAUGUAGCUCAUGUUUUGAACAGAAGUCCAUAAAUCAGUGGUAAGAGACACUCGCUGUUUGUUGUUGCAAAUCAAACUCUUCAACAUUAUCUUUUCUUCCAAAAAUAAAUCCAUAACAUCCCUACCAACAGUUCUCCGAGAUGGCAUAACAAACUGUGGAAUGGCUACACUACAGAAAUGCCUGAACCCUUUGUUAUCCACAAAACUAAGUGGCAACUCACCCAUAAUGAUCAUUUUGGUGACUGCCCUUCUACAAGCGUCUUGACUCCACCCUUUAGCCAAAACCAUAUUACUUGCAUUUCCUUCCCCACCCUCAGUUGUCAAGUUUUGUUGACUUCCCUCUUGUUGUUCCCGGAAUGUCUUGUAUGCAAGGCAAGCCAGUAUAUGAUUUCUCAUAUUUGUAAUCCCAUCACGCCUUGAAUGACAUUGAUAUUGUCUACCACAAUAGUUGCACUUGCAUUUGUUUGGAUUGUCCUCGAGCAAAGUAAAAUGAUUCCACGUCGCAGAUCUUUUCUUCAUCGCUGGUCUUUUCCGCUUUGCCUUUUGAGUUCCUUCCAUUUGAACACUUUGAUUGUCAUCAUCACUUAUUGAAUUCGAUCUUGAGUGUCCAGACAUCUAAACAUACAAAUAAAUAAUUAUUAAUCAUUAAUUCAUAAAUUAAAACACAAAAAGACUAUUAAAAAAAUCUACUUAAUAGUUAGUAUUACAAAUUGAUUCAAAUAAUUGUUAAUUUAAUUUUAUGAAACUUUUUGAAAUCGAUAUUUCCAAUUUUCCACCAUAAUGUUUAUAUAUGAUCAAGAAUUCAAGAUGCAUAUGCCCACAUUAUAUGUAGUUAACCACUUAAUAUUUACUUAUUGGUUAAUGGUUAUCAUGCAAUUAAUUAAAUUGAUUAAUUAUUUAUUGAAGUUGAAACUUAAAACUACUGCAAUUAAAUUGGUUAAUGGUUAAUUUUUUGUUGAAGUUGAAACUAUUCUACAAAUACACAUAUCAUAUGACAUAUACAAUUAUAAUUUAUAUUGUAACAUAAUAUUUAAUUUUAAUUUUUAAUCUAACAUUAUACUAUUCAUACAAAAAAUCAAUUAUUAAUUAAUAACAGAAAAUUAAUGCCAGAUUAUUUUCAUUUUAUUGAUAAAAUUUAACAAUAUAUAAUUAAAAAUUUAACAUACAAAAUUACAAUUAACAUUUCUCAUAUAACAUAUAACAAAUAAAAAUUAUAAUUAAUCAUUAAUGCAUAUAUAAUUAUAUAAUAUAUACCAUCUCUUAAAUAACUUUAAAAGCCGGAUUUGCUGUCUUGCACUCUUGCUUUGCUUCUUAUUCGGGCUUCAGCCUUCAAGCCUUCAAGUUCCAAUUCCAAACUUCCAAAUUUCCAAUUCCAAAACAGAGAGUGAAGAGAGUCAGAGAGACAGAGACCUUUUGAGACUGGAGGCUGGAUCCGUGACCCGUGAGGCGUGACCGUGAAUGGGUGUGGUGGCCGGAUGUCAACACUCAACAGCCGUGACCCGUGGAUGCCAAUGGUGGAGACUCGAGUAGAUCGGAGGUAGCUUGCUGGGUGGAUCUUCAAUCGGACUGAGUUAUGGUGGAGUGGAGGAUUCAAGGCGUGGAUCCGGCGCUUGGUUGCAGCAGAUCUGUAGAUCGGGUCACGAUCUUCGCGAAUCAGCUUCGGCUUCGGUUGGGGUCGUUCUCGGAAGUGGUUGCUGGCUGCGUGUGGUGGCCGGUUGAAGCUAGCUCCGUGAACUGUGCGUGUGUGUUUGCUGCGCGUGGUGAGUGACGAAGGCCGUGACUCCGUGAGGCGUGAAUGAGCGUGGGACAGUGGGUUGGCUGCUGCCUGCUUGUGCUUGACGGCUGCUGGUUUCAGUGAUUUUUGUGUGACACUGUGACAGUGAGGGUUUGUGAAUUGUGAUAGUGAUACCGUGAGUGAGGGUUUGUGACUGUGAGUUGUUACUUGUUACUUUGCUUAAUUGCUUUGCUUGUGUUGUUUUCUUGGUGAAUUAUUGAAUUGUUUUGUAACUUUUGUUGCGGUGAAUACUGAAUAGUUUGGAGUGAAUUGACUGAAUUCCUGAAUUGUUUUGUUGCGGUGAAUACUUUGUGAAAUGUGAAUUAUUGAAUUGAAUUGUGAAUUACUGUAAAUCCGUGAGUCUGUACUCUGUACUGUGAUCUGUAUUUUGUUUCUGUGAGAGUGUGAGUUACUGAUUCAAUGCAUGUACUCGUGUGAGAUGUGAAUGUGCCAUGUGUGUGUCUGUGUGAUAUUGUAAGUGUAAAUCUGUAAUUUUUGCCCACUUUUUUUUUUUGUCUCAACCCGAUCGGGUUUUCGGAUCGGAUCGGGUGAAACCCGAUCCGAUCAUGAUCCGAUCGGGUUGAGACAAUUUCACCCGAUCGGGUUUUGUUGACCACCCGAUCCGAUCCGAAUCCGAAAUUUUUCGGAUCGGGUCGGGUCGGAUAAUUUGCCCACCCCUACUUCUAGUUCUAGAUGAAAUUGAGAGAGAGAGAGAGAGAGUGUGAGAGAAACUCUGAAAAGCUUCAAGAAUAAUAAAGCCUAUGUACAGGCUGCUGUUCAUUUAUUUGUACAUAAGCAGGGGAAAAGCCUAUGUAUAGACUGCUUCAAGUGAGGAAACUACACCUAACUACCCAGCAGGUAUAAUGAAGAAGACAUUGACGGAGGUUGGUAGCAGCAACUUUAAUUGUUCAAAGCAAACACGUACCUUUCGUUUCUCAUAAAACCUUGUGAGGUAAUGCUUUAGAUGACUGGCAUGCAAUAUUGUCAAUGACAAAAUUUAAUGUUGCAUCCUGCUGAUAUUAGGUUUAUUAAUAGUUGCAGCCUUAGGCAGGCAUAAUUUGGUCACGGAAACAAUAUAUCCAUCCAUUUUCAAAGGAUAGUAACUGUAACAAUAAAUCAAUUAAUAUAAUUUUUAUAAUUGGGAUAGCAUUGAGAAAGUCAAAAUUCAUUGUCCAGAUUUAGAUUUAAACUCGCCAUAGAAAGUUUUUACUUUCAUUCAAUAUCACAACUACAUUUGGGGACCACAAGACAGUCAAUUUUGAACAGAGUUAUAGUUAAUGAGUAAUUUAAAUUCAAACGCAUGAAACGUGAGGAUUUAAUUAUUGAUUUUUUAGUUUUAGUGUCAUUGAAGAUCAUAGAGGGAAAACGAUCGGUAAAAAGAUUGUAGCUUGUUUACAAGAUUGGGGGAUAGAGAGAUUGUUUGCAAUAACUGUUGAUAAUGCCAGUACAAAUGAUGUUGCUGUUAAUUAUGUGACUAUGCAAUUACUUGCUUGGAGGAAUGAUGAUGCAAUUGUAUUGGCGGGUCAGUAUAUGCAUGUGCGUUGUUGUGCACAUAUUUUGAACUUGAUUGUUGUUUCGGGGUUGAAUGAAUUGCAUGCUAGUGUUGCCGCCAUCCGGAAUGCUGUGAAGUAUGUGAGAUCCUAGCGGCAGCUAUGGUGGUACAAGUUAUUCUCCUUAUUUUACAACUGAUGUUGGUUUGCCGGAGGGUCCUAGUGGUGAUGGUGAUGACAUUUUCCGAGUUUCUCGCCCUUUCUUUGGGUAUGCUCAGAAAGUGUUUGUUCAGAAUGAGGGCAAGAGAGUAGUAUCUGAGGUGGAACGAUAUUUGAGUGACCCAGUUGAAGAUCCGAGCAAUCUUAAGCUCAAUGUUUUGCUUUGGUAGAAGGUUAAUGGAUCGAAGUAUCCGAUAUUAGAGAAAAUUGCAAGGGAUGUCCUCGUUGUUCCUGUUUCCACAAUGGCAUCUGAAUCUGCCUUUAGCACAGGGCGUCGCGUCAUUGACGAAUAUCGGAGUUCUUUGACCCCUUGUAUGGUUGAGGCAUUGAUAUGUACCGAAAAUUGGUUACAAGCUAAACUUUUUGCUAAUCUUGUCUACAACCUUCAGGAAGAUAUUAAAGAGCAGAUAUUCCAUAUGGAGCUACAAGAAGGUAAUAUUUUUCUCAUACUUUAUAAAGUUAAGAUGUAUUAUAACUUUAUAAAUAGCAUCUACAUGUACUUAAGUUACUUACUAAUUUCAUUUUUUUUUUGACAUUUUAAAGAGUUUGUAAGAUCACAAGCUUCAACGGUGGAAACAGUGAGCGUUGAUAUGGGUGUUAUGGAUAUUUGAAAGGUAAUUCUUAAUAUAUAUUAUUAUUUAUAAUUUCAUAUUAUAUGUUUAGGUUGUAAUUUACACUAUAAUAAUAGACAAUAGUUGUUAUAGUUUUAAUUUUUAAGUUUUAAUUCAAAUUGUAAUAUUAUAAUUGUUUUAUUUAUUUUAGACACAUUGAAAUUGAUGGAAUGGUAUUACUUGGGCAUAUUUUUUCAAUUUUUCCCUAGGGGAUAUAUGCUUCAAUUCUUCAACUUGGAGUAGAAGAAAUUGAAGUUAAAAGUUGUCAAAGUGCUUGCGAGGAAUGGUGGAGCCGUGGAGGAAGUUGAUCUAGAUUUACAUUUAAACUUUGUUGUGUUUUGGAUUUUGGAACUUUGUCAUUUGUGUUUUGGAAAAUGGAAACUAUUUAAUUAUGUUUAAUUUUGUGUUCUAAAGAUUAAUGUUUAGAUUUUAGAAUUGGAUAUUGCGCUUUGGAUGGAGACUAUUAAAUUUAAACUUUGUGUUAAUUUUAAUUUUAUGCUUUGUGUUAAUUUUUAAUUUUGAAUCAUUUGAAUUUAAUUCUAGAGUAGUUUUCUUUUUUUGUUGGUUGAAAUGAAUGGAUGGAUAAAUGAGGGAGGACAAGGAAGGUGGGAGAGAAAUGUCUUAGUUAGCAAGGUGACAAUAGUGGAAAAGAAACCAAUUGAAAAAUUUUGAGAAAAAAAGAAGAUUAGAAUCCAGCUUAGAUUAUUUGGAAUUUUGGUUAGAAUCCGUGCAUAUAUUAUUUGGAAUUUUGGAUACCAUGCAUAUAUUAUUUGGAAUUUUGGUUAUAGGAUGCACAUGAUAGUUCAACUUUUUUCAUUAUUAAAUGGCAGAGGUAUGAGUAUUUGUUAUAGCUUAAAGCAUUGAUGACAUACUCCAUUGAAGAUUUUUCUUUGUAUUGACAAGUUGGGUUGGUUUUAAUAGUCUGCAAGUGCACAAAUUCUGUUAUUGCCAGAAUGUGAGUAUUUCUUUGUAUUGACAAAUUCUGCAAGUGCACAAGCCACAAAUGCUUGUUUUACAAAUGACAUGCACGUUCAUGUUGUUAUUGCCACUUUGCCAGAAUGAAAAUGAAUCAAUCCCUUACGUUUGCUGUGUUUGUCUUUUGGAUUAGAUAAAUGUUGUCAAAGUUUGGUUAAUUAUUAUAACUAAGUAAUGAAUCAAUCCCUUGUUUUAUAAAUGUUGGGCAAUAAUGCAAAUCUUAUGUCCGUCUCUAUAAAUUUUUUUAUACAUGUUGUCAAAUUUUGGUUUCUUUUAAACGGUUGUACUAUGCCUGUAUCUCCCGAGGUCCCCAUGGCAAAAAGAAUAAAAAAAAGAAGAAAAAAUACAAUAAAAUUAUAAUAAAUUAAUUUCCUUAGUUAGAAUGUGACUUUCCAGCAUCAAAACCCCUUAGGAAAAAAUACAAUAAAAUUAUAAUAAAUUAAUUUCCUAAUUUCACCUCCCCAAUUGCCAAAUUAAUUAUAACCCGAAUUGACCCGAAUUGAUCCGAAUAACCCGAAUUUAAUCCGAACCCGAACUAAUCCGAAUCCGAUCCGAUUACACCCGACCCGAAUUAACCCGAAUUCAUCCGAAUAACCCGAAUUUAAUCCGAACCCGAAUUAACCCGAAUCUGAUCCGAUCCGAACUCCACCCGACUUUUUAACCCGAUCCGAUCCGAUCCGAAUUUAAUUCGGAUCGGAUCGGAUCGGGUUUUAAGUUCGGGUGGAGUUCGGAUCGAUUUUUAUCCAACCCGACUAACCCGAAACCCGAUCGGGUUGAUCCGAACCCGACCCGAACCCGAUUUUGCCCACCCCUAUCUAGAAGUCCCUCCGAAAGCAUCACCCAAGACAGUUUGUCAUCUUUUAUACUCUGUUUUAACAGUAAUUUGAACCGUCUUCAGAGUUAUCGUCAACAAACUCAUUCAUAAUUUGUCCAAUCUUACGGACGAUAUCAUAUGCUUAACUCGACACAAUCUAGAUUCAACCUCCUCCUAUCCAACAACGGAUUUCGAUUUGAGUUACUUUGUGCUCAAGCAAAUUCACAUCAUAGUUUUAAUUCUUUUGAUAUGAAUUCAUCACAUUACAUAUAUCAGAUUAAGUGUAACAAAAUUUUUAAUUUACUACGAAAAGAAUAUGCGCUAAAAAUUAUUUCAAGACUAUUUGAUUACCAAAAGCUGCUGUCAGAGUGCACUGAAAGUUUCUGUAGGAUACUUUGCGGUUGUUUAUUAUGUUAUGAUGGGCAUAUAAUUCUCAAAUUUUGACUCCUCUUAGCGAAAAAUAUAUCAAAGUUUAGAUUGAGUGCAGCAACUCCACAGGCCGAGUGGUACAACUACACCUUGGUCUUACUAGGAAUAUCGAUCUGGGAGAGUGGUAUCUGAAUGCUUCUCUAUUUACUUCCUUUCAACAACUUGGUAACAAAAUAGCCGGCUGCAUGCGUUGAGAAUGAAAGUCCUUCAUUUAAUUUAAUUUACUUAAUUUCUCCCUCCUAAUUAAUGUCUGUAACCAUUAGGAGGAACAAGGGAUUUUAUUAACUCAAAUAUAUGUAAUGGAGGAGCUCAUUCUUUGGUUUUACUAGCAGGUCUAGAAGCAGGUGUCAUCUAACAGCUGCUUUGAUAAUUUCCCACCCCUUCAUCUUUGAUGGAAAGAUGAAAUAAAAACAAAAUGGUGAAAAUGGUAUUGGUACCUGAGGCUAUGUAAUCUAAUUCAACAACUGCACCAUCAAAACGAUUACAUAAGUCCCAGAAGAAUCAAACAUUAGUUUGCAAAAUAUCAAUUGCUGGAGGUUAGAUUCUAACUUCCGCUCUUGGUUUUUAUGGGCAUGUUGUAUUGUACUUGCAUACGAAAAUCAUAUUUUAGUUUACUUACACCCAACGCUUGGAUUAAAGUUUCAGAUGGGGAAAAUUGAAGGAGACUAAAAUGACUCAAAAAAUAGUUGAAUGAGUGAGGGUUUUGUCUUCAUUUAAGGAGCUCUUUAUAAAUUUUAGGAUUUUUUUUCCCGAGAAAAUAUAUUUCAACUUAUUCUUUGCUUCUUUUCUGAAGGGACAAAUGCAACUGAAAGUGUAUUCUUGAAUUCUCCAGGAUAAGAGACAUACGUUUAAUUAGAUUCUCGAGCCUUCAAAACAAUAUAAAAUUUUAGAUUGAUAAAAUUUUAUAUAUCUGAGCAUGAUGGUGUUUGACAUGACUUAAAACUAUUUAAUUUACUCUCACGUACAAGAAUAUCUAGUUAUAUUGUAGCUCAGAGUUCGAGGUUAAUCCAUAGACAAAUGAUUUAAUUUCUUUAUUUAAGAUUAUCCCAUAAAUAAAAAUAAAAUUUAAAUAUAUGUAAUUUAAUUUGAAAAAAGUUAUGAAAUUAAAUUAUUUAGGGUCAUGGAUCCACUCUUAGUAAGUACAAUUUAAUAAAUUCUUUUUAUUUUUAUUUUAUUUCCCAAAAGAUUAAUUAUAUAAAUUAUAAUUAUUUUCCCAUUAAUUUUAUUAUGGAUUAAGUACUUAAUGUGCCAAAACUUAACUUGUUUACAAUAAGUCAAAAUACCAUUUUACCAUACUUUAUGCUAAGAUAUUAAGAAUUCAUGUGCCAAACUCCCAUGUUUGUCUACAAUAAAUCAAAAUUUCAAAACAUAAAAUAUGGAUCAAAUUAAAUAAAAAAUAAUUUAAUUUAUAUAAUUAAAAAUAGAAUUUGAUUAAAUCAUAUUUUUCUACUCAGAGUUUUACCUCACCCUAACUAUUAGUAUUUAGCUAAACAUAUUUGAAAUAAAUGAAAUUAUUAAAAUUGAAAAAUACAUAAUUAAAAAAUGGUAUUUGAAAAUUAGAAAUAAAACUAAUUUUAUUUAUUGAAAAUGUAUUACAAAGAAAGAUGAGAAUAAGAAUUUGAGGGGAAAGAAGAGAAGAAAAUUUGUGGAGAGGUGUGUGAAAUUAUAUUGUAAAGAUGUUACACAAACAAAUGAAUAAAAAAAAAACUAAAUGAAAAUUACACAAAUUAAAAAGAAAAUGAAAAUUAAAUAAAUAAGAUAAAUGUGCAAGAAAAAAAUGCGCAAUAAAAAUAAAUAAACUGAAAAGUAAUUAACUAAAAUUAAAAUAACUAAAUAGGCGGUAAACAAAGUAAAUGCCAAAAAUAAAAUAAGUGCGAAAAUUAAAUUACAUAAAUUAAAAGAAGAAAGAAAGAAAAAAAAUUAUCUCAAAGUGUAAACUCUUUUUCUUUUUCUUUUUCUUUUCAAAUUUUAAAUAUUACUAGUCAAUUAAGUGAUUAAUUCAAAUUAUUAGGCUUUAAUAGUAAUUUUUAAAAUCAAUAUUCAGUUUAUUGAGUCCAAAUAAGGUCCAAAGAAGUUCAAGUUGUUGGUCUAAAAUUGAGAAUUUUGGGAAAUAUUGGCAACGGACCUAUUCAAAAAGUUCUAUAAUUUUGUGGUCAAACUACAAUUAUGAGAAGAAUGAUCCAAAAAUUAGAAUUUUUGGGGUGAGUGAGAUUUAGAAAGAUUUUGUGGAUAUAACAUAAUUUAAGAAAGAAAAAGGAGGUAAAUGAAAAUUUACACAAAAAGUAAAAAAAGAAAAAAAAAAGAAAACAAAAUAAAUACCUCUCCCAGCAACGGCGGUAAAAACUUAACACGAAUUAAAAGUAUUUAAUUUACUCUAAAGUAUAAGAGUACCUAGUUAUAUUAUAUCGCGAGAAGUCUGAGAUCGAUCUACAGAAAAAUUAUUUAAUUAAUUUAUUUAAGUUUAUCUAAAAAAUAAAAAUAAAAUUAAAUACAUGCAAUUUAAUUUGAGAAAAAUUAUGAAAUUGAAGUAGUUAGGAUUAUGGAGCUCUUUAUAAAUUUUAGGAUUUUUUUCCUGAGAAAAUUUAUGCCACCUCAUUCUUUGCUUCUUUUUUGAAGGGACACAUGCAACCGAAAGUAUAUUCUUGAAUUCUCCAGGAUAAGAGACAUACGUUUACAUGCUGGAGCAUUUAAAACAAUGUCAAAUUUUAGAUUGCUGAAAUUUUAUAUCUCCGAGUAUGAUGGUGUUCCAAUUAUAAGCUCCAGGGUGCAACUUCACUGAGGUUUAGAAUGCCAUCCUUUAGAAUUGAGAAAUCUCCGUUUGCAUAAAUAUCUUUUGAAAAUACUGACAUCAGAUUUUGAAUUGGAGAACCUGAUUGGACUCAGCUUGCCUUGUAGUAAGGUUAAGCAAAUUUGGAAAAGAGAAAAGGUAUAAUGUAUUACUAUUACCAAAGUAUAUAUUUUUCUUUCUUUAAGUAUUUAUAAUGAAUAACUUUGAAAUUCAAUGAUGCUCAUUUAGUAUAGUUAUGUAUCUUUGGUUAUAGGAAGCUGUCAAGUUAAAAUCUAUAGACCUUCACCACCCCUCUAUCUCAAUAGGAUCCCAGAAAUACUAAAUCUUAAAAAAAUAAAUCUUUCAAAUUGUGAAAGCAUGCUUACGUUACCCCCGUAUAUCCACAAUUUCAACUAGCUGAGUAUGUUGUGUUUCAGGGAUGCAAAAUUCAUUUUGUUUCUCAUGAAAGGAUUGACUUGUCCGGAUGUAUUAGGGUUAAUAAACCAACUAAUCCCAUAAUUUGUUGAUGUAGGGUCCUAAAAAAUUAUUGCAGUAGAUUGUAGAUCAGUACACUAUUCGAAAAUGUAUUUGAUCCACACAGUGAAGUGGAUAUUGGACCAAUUUGAUGAUAAUGAAUUUCUUUCAAUCUCAAUCGUUUUUCCUUUUAGCAACAUGACUAGUCAUUGCGCAAAUUCAAACUCUGACAAUGAUUUCUCAAUCGGUUUCUAAGAUGAUGACCAUGCAUGUAUAUGUAUAUGCGUGUGUAUAUGUGUGUGUGUGUGUGUAGAGAGAGAGAGAGAGAUCACACGUGUGUGAUUUCCUUUUGCCAAUAGGAUAUGCAGAGAGCUUGAUCUUACCCAAUAGCGAAACAAACUUCCUAAUAAGUGAAGGUAUAGUAUAAAUACUUAUACUUUCAUGUUAUUUUUUUCAUCAGUAGCUUGAUUAUUUUAUAUGCGUCUUCGAUUUUAAUUUUCUUUCCCUAUAAUCGCUAUUAUCUUUGAACUGGUCAUGAUUUGCCUAUAAGAUUUCUCAUGUUGUUUUGAGGUGCAAUGGAUUUUGAAUUUAGUGACGAGCAGUGGAAGCCAGAAGGCAAAUUAUGAAUAUGGAUAAAGAUCUAUAAUUAGCUGUUAUGGGAUGUCACAUAUCAUAUUGAUGGUAACAUUAUACAUAUGUACAUAUAAUUAAUGGGGUUGGCUCACGAGCCCAUUAAUAAUCAUAUAUUAGCUUAAAUACUUCAAACAAUGUACCAUGAAGCAAUUUCACAAAUACUUGUUAGCUUAUGUUGAGCUUUAUUGAAUCAGUAGUUCACAGUUCAAUAAAAUGCAGGUUUGCUAUUUAACGUACAUGGUUAUGGUGUGUGCAUUCUUCAUAAGGCUAACUACAAAUUUAUCAAUGAAACUUGAAAAAUGUAACAGAGAGAUGUCGAUAACAACCGCAAAACACUGAGAUUGAAAAUCAGGGCUAGUAAAUUCUAUUAAAAGCUCUUAAAAUAGACAGCGAUCAUCCUUAACCGCAAAGUUAUGCACUAAUAGAACUAUUGACUACUUAUCUUUAGCAGAAGGUAUAUUUUUAACUACAGCUUUCUGCUUUGUUCUAAGAACUAGGCAAAAGUGGUAUAUCUUCAAUCCAAUCAACAUAUAUACCACUUAUCUUCCUCUUCACUUCUGUCUAUUUUGAUUUGCACUUUACAUCCUGCACUUGCUGCUUAGAAAUAGUCUUAGUCUGGACAUUGAAAGUAGAAAAAGUACUUGAAACUAUCAUUGGCACAGCUCGAGAUUCCAUUGAAUCGUGGACUCCAAGCUUUCAUAGUUCUAUAAAGAAAAUUACAUAACUUCAUACAACUGGCAUUCUGCUUUUAACAUUUGCACAACCUGAGCAAGUUAGCAAGCCCCUUGUCGCGUUCCCAUUGAAUAGACCUACUUCUGUUAUCCACAGAAGAUCCACCACUCAAAAUGUUUAUCACCAGGCUAUUCUUAAACUGAGCCUAAACUGAGUAGAAACUUCCGCACAUCUCUCAGCAUUUACAUGAAGAAAUCGACAACUAUCCUCAUCUCUCAGCACAUCUCUCAGCAUUCUACAAAGUUGCAUUUCACUAGGCAAUCUAUCCUCUCCAUUCCUAGCAAAGUGACAUUGAUUCUCGUAUUUGUAAUCUCCUAACUUGGGUUUUGGGCAUAGCGUGGUCUUAUAAUUACCACCCAAUACUUUGUUCAGUGCCACUGGCAUCCACAAGCUCUAGCCCUGUUAGCUGAAUCAUAUUCAAUGGGACAGUGAGGCAGCAUUUCACUAACAUAUUCAAUUUGACUACUUAUAUUGACGCAAAUAUUAGAAUUUGAAAUCACUUCUUUUCUUGGAAUAUUAUAUUAAAAUAACCCCAAAUGAAAGUUCUUGAAUGGAAAUGAUUUUUAUUUAAUCUUCCAACAGAUUCAAGAAAACCCAGAGAACACAAAAUUUACACAGUAAUAUGAUUAAGAGCUAAGAACGUACAUGUAGUAAAUGUCUAUCAAAAACACCAAAGGGUUUCUUUAAAAUUAGAAACUAGGUAAACUGUUAAGAUUUCGUUGGCUUCACUUGACUAAUUGAGAGAGAUUGUUUCCUUAUAUGUGGCUGAUUUGUAAUCCCUUUGAAUAUGGGAUCGUUAUUUACGUUCCUUUGUUUUGUGAAUAUUAGCUCUUUUAAACUUAUAUAUAAAUCCUCUAUAAUUCUACUGCAGAAAAAACAGAGAAGAAUAAAAUCAGUAUUCUUUUCAAAUAUCAUUUUUUCAUGGUAUCAGAGCAAUGGUUUUGAUUCAGUAAAACACUUUCGCUUCUCUUUUUUUUUUUAUGGAUGAUAUUGAUAGUGAUAGCAGUCACAAUCAUUCACCAAAUCAUAUAUCCUCUCAAACCUCUCAUCACAUUAUGUCUAUGUCUAUGGUUGAUUCCUCAUACCCUCUUUUUCUUCAUGCUUCUGAUCAUCUUGGCAUGAUUCUUGUUCCAAAAGUCUUAGAUGGAACAAAUUAUGCUAUGUGGAAGAGAUCUAUGCUAGUGAGUCUUAGUGCAAAAAAACAAACUGGGAUUCAUUAAAGGAACCAUUCACACACCAGAUGAAGAUGAUCCAAAACAUUCUUUAUGGCAGCGCUGCAACGAUAUGGUGCUUUCUUGGAUCCUUAACUCUCUAAAUCAGGAGCUUGCAAUAGUGUACUCUAUUUAGAGACACCCUCAGAGAUUUGGACUGACCUUCAAGAACGUUUCUCUCGAGGUGAUUUUUCCCACCAUUAUCAAACUCAGCAAUUUAUUGUUGAAUUGAAACAAAAUCAAGAUUCAAUUUUUUCUUAUUACACAAAGAUAAAAAUGUUGUGGGAUGAGCUAACUACUUGCAGUCCUUCAAUCACAUGCACAUGUGGAGGACAAAAAGACUUGAAAGAAAAAGAAGAAAAGAUUAGGCUGGGACAAUUCCUCAUGGGAUUGAAUGAAACAUACUCAGCUUUGCGAGGACAAAUAAUGUUAAUGUAUCCUCUACCAACUGUCAAAAGGCAUAUUCUCUUCUCUGUGAGGAAGAAAAGCAGCGAGGACUUACUGAAGCCAAAGGCAUUGAUCUCAUUCAUGCCAUGAGUAUCAAAGCUCGUGAUAAAUCUAGAGAAACACAAUUUGAUGCACAACAACAAACCAAACAAGGAUCAUCCUCUCAUCCCAAGCCACAAGGAAUGAAGAAAUCUUUCUUUCAUACUUACUGUGAGGGCACAACUCAUUCAGUAGAUUGUUGUUACUACUUGAAUGGAUUCCCAGUUGGUCAUAAGCUUCAUGGCAAAGACGUUCAGCCUCCAAAUCGAAGCAGAAAACCUGUUGUGCAUUAAACUAGUGCUGAAAUGAAUCAGAACUUAGCAAAGACACCAACUAAACAAACUCCCCAAUUUAUCUCUGAAGAGCUUGCCCAAAUAAAAGCUUUCUUUAGAAAUGGUAACAAUCCUGCUCGAUCAAACUACAUAGGUAUCCCUAUACCUUUCUGUUCAUCUUUCAAUACGCAAAAGACAGACUUGAAUCACUGGAUUAUUGAUAGUGGUUCAACAAAUCACAUAGCAACUUCAAUACCUAUUAAAACUCCUCUGUCAUCUCAAGUAACCUUGCCUAAUGGUGCCUAUUCUUAGAUAACUGGAAUUGGUUCAACACAACUCUCAAACCACCUACAUGUUAAUAAUGUAUUAUGUGCACCAUCAUUUCAUGUUAAUUUACUUUCAGUGAGUCAACUUACUGUUGCCAUGAAUUGUUCAAUCCAUUUUUUUUCCCACUUUCUGUAUAUUGCAGGACCUAGCUUCGAAGAAGAUGAUUGGCUUGGGGAAGCAGCUUAAUGGCUUGUACUACUUUGUUCCUCAAGUGAAGUCUACACCAACUUCUUUUUCAAUCACCCAUCAUGCUGAUUUUACUACACAUAUUACUUGGCACAAGUGGUUAGGACAUCCCUUAAAAGCACCUUCACAAUUUUUAAGCAAUAAUAUUCCUGCAUUUGUAUUUGAUUCUCAAUAUUCCUGUGAAACUUGCCCUUUGGCAAAGCAAACUCGUUUACCAUUUUCUUUAAGUUCUAUUCAAACUUUGCAUUCAUUUGAUCUUAUUCAUUGUGAUAUUUGGGGACCUUUUCGUACUGCAACUCAUACAGGGGCACAUUAUUUCAUGACUAUAGUUGAUGAUUACACUCGUUUCACUUGGAUUUUUUUAAUGAAAUUUAAAUUCGAAACCCAAGGAUUAAUAAAAACAUUUAUUUCUUUUGUGAACACUCAAUUUAAUUGUCAAGUUAAAUGUCUUAGAAGUGAUAAUGGCUCAGAAUUUCUUUCCAUGAAACCUUAUUUAUCCACCCUUGGUAUUUUAUUUUAAAACUCAUGUCCAUCUACAACUCAACAAAAUGGUGUCGUGGAACGAAAACACCGUCAUCUCUUAAACGUUAGUCGGGCUUUGAGAAUGGAUGCCAAUCUUCCUUUAAAAUUUUGGGGGGAGAGUUUACUUACUGUAGCCUAUCUUAUAAAUCGUCUUCAUACUCCCUUGUUGCAAUAUAAAUCUCCAUAUGAGUUGUUGUAUAAUAAGCCACCUAACUACACUCACUUACAAGUUUUUGGAUGUCUCUGUUAUGCAACAAAUCUACAGCCGUCCAAUAAGUUUGAUUCUCGGGCUCGACAAUGCAUCUUUGUUGGUUACCCUAUAGGCCAAAAAGCCUAUCGAUUAUAUGAUCUCCAUACUCACCAAUUCUUUUCCAGUCGUGAUGUCAUUUUUCAUGAGUCUAUUUUUCCUUCUCUUCGUAUUGAAAAAUCAUUAGAUAGCACUUUUCCUCAACUUGAGAUAUUAGAUUACAUCGAUAAUCUAUCUCCUCCUGCAACUCAUCCUGUCCCUCCAACAUUAGAGACCAUUAUUCCCUCUCCUAAUCUUUUAUUGUCAUCAACUCCUUCCCCUUCUUCCUCUAUAUCUUCUCCUGCCCCUCAUAUUCGUAAAAGUGAUCGUGUCAGGCAACCAUCUGUUCUUCUUCGUGACUUUCAUUGUGGACAGAUUAGUACAACACCAUCAACUGCAACUUCAAGUCAGUCAUUUUCAACUAAGUCAGGUACUCAAUAUCCUUUAAGCAAAUACAUUUCCUAUGAUUCUUUGUCUUCUACUCAUAAACACUUUGUUAACACCAUUUCAAGUGUCCUAGAACCAACCUCUUAUGCUCAUGCUAUAUUGGAUCCGAAAUGGCAAGAGGCUAUGCAAUGUGAACUUGAUGCUCUCAAAUCACAGAAGACAUGGUCCUUGGUCCCUUUACCCGCUGGCCAUCGCCCCAUUGGCAGCAAAUGGGUUUAUCAUAUCAAAUACAAUUCUAAUGGUACGAUUGAAUGUUACAAAGCUCGAUUAGUUGCCAAAGGAUUUUCUCAACAAGAAGGCCUGGAAUACACUGAGACAUUUGCUCCUGUGGCUAAAUUGACCGUUGUUCGUUGUUUACUUGUUGUGGCAACUGCAAGACAUUGGCCAUUGUAUCAAAUGGAUGUGACCAAUGCUUUUUUGCAUGGUGAUUUAGAAGAAGAAGUAUAUAUGACUCCACCGCCGGGACUUUGUCGACAGGGGGAGAAGCUUGUUUGUUGACUUCAUAAGUCCCUUUAUGGGCUUAAAUAAGCUCCUCGCAAUUGGUUUGCGAAAUUUUCUCAUGCUGUCAAGAAAGCUGGCUUUAUUCAAUCACAUUCGGAUUACUCGUUGUUUGUGAAGACAAAAGGCACAUCUAUAACCAUGGUUCUUAUUUAUGUAGAUGAUAUGGUGAUAACUGGAAAUGAUGCAGUCGCUAUACAUAAUCUCAAACAAUUUCUUCACUAGCAAUUUCAUAUCAAAGAUCUCGGUCAUCUUAAAUAUUUUCUUGGGCUGGAAGUUGCAAGGUCCAAAGCAGGUCUUGUUAUCUCUUAACGAAAAUAUACCUUAGAAAUCAUAGAUGAUGUUGUAUACUUGGGUGCUCAACCGGUAAAUUUUCCCAUGGAGAUGAAUUUGAAACUCACAAACCAUUAAGGUGAUUUGCUACAUAAUCCAACUCGCUACAGGAGAUUAGUUGGCCGACUAAUAUAUCUCACAAUUACGAGACCAGACAUUACAUACUCAGUUAACAUCUUAAGCUAAUUUAUGCAUGCUCCAAGAAAGCCUCACUGGGAUGCUGCUCUUCGUAUUAUGAAAUAUUUAAAGGGCAGCCCUGGUUUAGGUUUGUUAUUCUCCUCAAGCAAUUCCUUUACUUUAAAGGCUUACUGUGAUGCUAAUUGGGCAAAUUGUCGUAUAACAAGAAGAUCAACAACAGGUUAUUGUGUGUUCUUAGGGGAUUCUUUGAUUUCUUGGAAAGUAAAGAAGCAGAAAACAGUCUCAAGAUCAUCAUUAGAAGCUGAGUACAGGUCCAUGGCAGCAGCAACUUGUGAGCUCACUUGGUUUAGAUUUUUAUUCAAUGAUAUGCAAAUUUCCAUAGGACCAGCAAGGCUAUUAUGUGAUAACCAAGCUGCUCUUCACAUAGCAGCAAAUUCGGUAUAUCAUGAACGCACCAAACACAUAGAUCUUGACUGUCAUGUGGUAAGGGAGAAAAUGUACGAUGGUCAGAUAAUCACCAAAUUUGUUCCAUCUCAUUUACAGUUGGCAGACAUUUUUACAAAAGCUCUUGGAGGAAAGGUGUUUAAGAGACUAACAACCAAGUUGAACAUGCUAGAUAUACAUGCUCCAACUUGAAGGGGGAGUGUUAAGAUUUCGUUGGCUUCACUUGACUAAUUGAGAGAGAUUGUUUCCUUAUAUGUGGCUGAUUUGUAAUCCCUUUGAAUAUGGGAUCGUUAUUUACUUUCCUUUGUUUUGUGAAUAUUAGCUCUUGUAAACUUAUAUAUAAAUCCUCUAUAAUUCUACUGUAGAAAAAACAGAGAAGAAUAAAAUCAGUAUUCUUUUCAAAUAUCAUUUUUUCAUAAACAAAAAGAAAGAAUCAUUUUACAUUUUUAGCAAGUUUGAAUGAGUGAGAAAUUGAAACCCUAAAGUGAUGACAACAAUAAGAUUCAGUAUGAAGUGAAACCCCAAUUUGAAAUGUAGGCAUGAGUUGCUGAGUCAGUAGAUGAAGCUAUAAAUAGGCAUUCGGUUUCUUUCUUUUCGGUUUGGAGGGCCAUGGAAUAGUGUAUUGGAGUGGGCUCGAAGUAAUAGCCUUUAUCACUGAAUGACACGUUUGCAAAACGUGAUACAUAGGGAAGGAUUGAGCAUUAUACUCUUAGAUUAGCGCCUUAUUUAGGGUGUAUAUUAAGCAGAUUAUCUAUAUAUUACAUGGAGAUGGAGUUUAUGAAAUAGAUUAAAAAGAAAAGGAAAAUUAGUGUCUGGAGUUUGCCACUUGGAAUAUUUCGGUGUCUAAACAUUCACUCACCACUUAUUUCAUGUCUGAUCAUAUGUUGAAAAAAUAUUAAAGUAAUAUAACGCUAUUAAGGCUUAACGUAUAUUUUUUAUUAGUAGAGUGUAGAACUUUUAAGAAAUAAAUUAUUAAAUUACUAUAACUAGCAUAUUAUUUUAAAGUUGUGUUGUGAAAAAAAAAAUGAAAUAAAAACGUGAAGUAAAUUAGAGUAUUCUAAAACUUUUAUCUUUUUAAAAUUAGUUUUUAACAUAAGGUGAACUAUUUUUUUUUUAAAUCACAUACUCUAGUUAAAAUCAAAUAUGUAUUUAUAUGAAGCUUGUAAUUUUUUUUUCAGUACUGAUAUUUGAAUAUUAUCAAUAUUAUUUUUAUGGCCCACAAAAGGACAACACCGUUUAUGUUAUAAUACUAUCACCUCUGUUAUGAUAAUAUUUUUUUUGUGGCCAAAUAUCAUUUUUUUAAGUAAAAAGGUGGACAAAAUGCAAAUCAAUUUUUAAUCCUCAAACUCUCCCAAAAUUUAAAUUCGUAGUUAACAAAACACAAUUGUUGGAAAACCAUUAAGCUAGGUCCAUCGGUUGUUAAAACUAGGGAAAUUUAUAAAAAUAACUUAAAAACUUUUAUAAUUUCACAUUUUACCCUCCGAAAUUUUUCCUAUCAACAUUAGCAAAAAAUCCUUUCAAGUGCCGAAAAUACCCCUCCCAUUCUCAUCAAACUUCCUCUCUCUCUCUCUAACCAACGAUUUCUUUCUCAAGGUGGUCACUCAUCGCCGCCGGCUUUCCAGAGUCCAUCCUUGAUAGUCAACAUCACCAAAAUUUCAGUCAAGAUCUGAAAUCAAAGAUUAAUUUAAAAACCCUAGAUUUUGAAGCAUGUUCUAUUUCUAUUCUUCUUUUAUGUUGUGGUUUUGUUGUUGUGCUGGUGAUGGUGAGUGAAGAUUGAAGUGUUUGUGAUGUUGAUGGCAUGGGCGAAGUUGUUGGUGUAGUGCAUGGGUGAAGAUUGAAGUUGGCGUGGGCUUGGGGCCGGGAGAUAUCGUGCCUGAUCAGGCGCAACAACGCCCCUGUCGCACAAGAUCUGGGAGACAGGCACGCGCACCUGUCACUCACGCCUGUCGCGCGUGCUUGGUGCGACAGGCAGCAUGUUACAAUUUUUUUUUUUAACGUGAAGUUGGUGCGACAGGCGCAAUUUCGGUGCAACUCACACCUGUCGCACAAAUUUAGUACGACAGGCGCCUGUCGCACUAACAUACAAUCACACUGAAACUCUCUUGUCGCACGAAAUCAAGUUGACAAAACAUCUCUUAACACUCGGUGAUGCAAAAACAAAGUAUAAACAAUCAAAGAAACAUUUCAUCAAACACUUAAUACGCAAUAUUUUUACAAAACUAAUUUCCUUUUAAUUAGCUUACCUAGAUUUUGGGCUCUAUUUCACUUUGUUAGAAUUGUGUCCGAUUGGUGUUGGAUCCGAAUGGAUUUGGCUAUCUUUGAUCUUAGUUCACUUUUACCGUUCGCAGUCAUCGUUUGCCGUUGCCAUUUGCCUGUGAUGAUUUAAGAGUUCAAGGCUGCGUUUGGUUUGAUAAAGAGGGAGAAGAAAAGUUGCGUUUGGUUUGAUAGACAAGAGUAAUUUAGGGAAGAAACCUUAUGUUUGGCUGAUUAUGAUAGUAAAAACUUUAGAGGGCCAAUUGUAAAAAUUAUAAAAGUUUUUAGGUUAUUUUUAUAAAUUUCUCUUAAACUAUAGCUGACAAAAAGUUACUAACAAAAAGAGAAUGUCUAUUUUAUAACUUUCUUAAAAAACUUUCCUUAACUUUUUCAAAAAAGUAAUGAUAUAGUCACAAAUUCUUGUAUAAAUUUAUUUUGUACAAAUUAAUGUGAUAUGAUAAAAUUAGUUGAAUUAAAUAUCUUUUGGUCCACAUAAUUUAUUUUUAUUAUUUAUAUUUUCAUUCAACUAAUAAAUUAAUAACACGUAAGAGUUAUGACUGUAUCAUCAUUCUUUUUAAAAAGUUACUAACAAAAAGUUAUUUCCAAUUUUUAUUUUGUUAUAAUUUUUAAAACAAAAUUCGUAGUUAACUAAACUCUUCUUAAUUCCUAUGCCCUUUCUCAACUGCCAUACCCUACCCUGCUCCCCAUGUCCCCACUAAACCACGCUCAAUUCAGGCCAUCAGAUUCUCCCGGACCCACAUUAAUCCAACUGCUCACAGUGACCGACAGCCUCUCUAUCGCCAUUUCAAGCUCCCUCUUAAACUGGCUUCUGCUACCGUCGUACUCUUUCUCGGAUUCGGAGUCCGUAUUUGCUCGGCCGGUCCCACGCAGCUCCCUCUCACUCCAAUUGUCACCCAACAAGGCCAAUUGCUUACUCAAGGCACAGAACAAGAAGAGGAUGAGAAAUUGAAACAAGAAUUUGAGAAUUGGAAAUCGAAAACGUACGCAUUGACCGUGCCUUUGAGGGUUGUUUCUCUUCAGAAUUCAGUGCCUUAAUCUUGGGUUAAGGAUUUUAUGCGAAGUCAAGGAAAGACAUUGAUAAGUUUCAGAUGAAUUUGUUUGCUAGCAUUGAUGGGAUCUUUCACAAUUUAUCUAUGCCCUUUAACAAAGUUAAGGCUAAGUCAGCUUCAUAUAUGGCUGCUGAUUUGGUUAGUGUUGGUGAUUCAUGGCUCAGUUAUGCGAUUAUAAAGAGAUUGAUUGAGCCAAUAGCUGUAGCUGAAGAUCAAUAUUGGUUCAAAUGCUUAAGUCACAAAUGGAAGGUAACAUCUUUAUCUUUGCCCCGAUAAUUUUUAUUGUCUUACAUUGAAAUUUGGUAAUGUAAUUUGUUCUCUAUCUGUGUCACCCUUUGUAGUCAUUUUAUUUAUUUAUUGUUUUGCUUUUAUUUGCACUAACGAAUUCUCAGGCAUAUCUACCCAGGAAUGAUGCUGGAGAAAUUGAUCCUCGAGGUAAAAUAUGGGCGGCAGCAUACCGGUGGGGCACAAUGGGAUAGCUUACAAGAAAAGUAAAUUGCGAAAGCAUAUUUGGCUCCGAUUUAGGUAAUUGCCUUUAAGCUCAUUUAGUUUUAUAUGAAACAAAAUCAAGACUGCCUUUCUCUUCAAUAUUUUUGAUGAUAAUAUCUUUAGAAGCAUCUCAUUCACGGGUAAUCAUGGUAUCCCUUAAAGAGUCUAUAAACUCAAUGAUAUUAUCUUCUACAAAUGGUUCAUUAAACUUCUUAGUUGCAGUCAAAUGUACACUAAGAACAACGAGAAGCUAUGCCACUGUAGCAUGUAGUGAUGGCACUUAAUAAGUGACUUGCUAGGAUGUGAACUAGAUAAAUUAAAUAUUGUCUCCCUGGGCAUGCUAGCUCAUAAGUUGGGGUUAAUAUUAGCUAUUGACUGCCAAUUAAAAUAUCCAUUAAAAUGUCUAAGGAGUUACGAAGGUGGAGGUAUCUUCCAAUUUCUAAGGCCAAAUAGCAGACAUCAUCCAGGAUCCUGGGAAAGUGCAGUUAACUUCCUGCUUGAUCCUAAUGUGAAAACAAUUAAUAAAUUUGGUCAAUGCAACUGAAACCUGCUAACCGAUGUCACAAUGCGACAUCAGCACCUCAAAAUGGGAUAGAUGGUUAGUAGCACUAAAUUUUUCUGGCCUCAGAUUGAGCAAUUGGCCCAACGACUAACCCCGAUUGUGGGUUGAUGAUAAUUUUUUAAUUAUUUUCAUUUUGACCGAAAAAGUUACAGAAUCUUGAUCUGAAUAUUGUCACUGAACAGUGUCAAUAUCGUUUAGCAUAUCCAACUAACUUGAGUUUGGUGAAACAAACACAGAGUGUGUCUCUCAUGUCUCACCCUUCAAAAUUAUCAUCUGUAAUGAUGGAGAAUUUUUCUAAUGUAUGAACUAUGCUUCGAUAUAUGGGUUAGCUUGGAGAAGAUAUCUCAAGAUAAAGAAUAUGGGAAGCUAAUGGGAAGAAACAGGGGAUCUUCAUUCUUUUUCCUUUUUAUACCCAGAUAUCUCUCGACCUUUAUAUGAUCCCUACUGGAUAUUUGCUUCUAAUAACUAAAAUAAAAAUUUCACCCACCAAAAUGAAUACUGACCAAGCUUUAACAAUAAAAAGUAGCAUCUUUAGUCAAGUAAUUUGCAGUUCCUCAUCAUCUUAGUGUGAGUCUAUCAGUAUGAUCAAAAAACAUAAUAAAACUGGUUAGAUCCUGUUCAUUGAUGUUUAAAUGUUGUUCAGUGUGAAAUGUAGCAAUGAUGAGGUGAAGUUUCUUUGGUCAUCAAUUAGUAAGAUCUUGUAAUCUGGCAUUACUGGGAAACCAGGUACUCUUAAAGAAAUGAUAUCUGGUCAUUGCAUGUUAUUGCCUGACAACUGAUUUUGUUUGUAAAAGUCUGCUUCUUCAUACAUAUGAAUGCAUAUGUUAGUGUUGUCUUUUCCUUUUCCUACAUAUUAAUGCAUAUGUUGGUGUUCUCUUAUGAAAUGGAUGCAAUAAAGGCUUUUUCUCCUAAAUUUAGCUGAGGAAAUGGCAGGGGAUGUGAGAUUCUGUCUCAUUAAAUUAACAAAAACCCAAAACAAUAAAAACCCAUAAUAAUGUGGUGUGGGUAAAUUGGCGACAUUUGGCUCGUUACCCUGAUGUGAAUAUGCGAGCAAUGGAGACUAACAAAAUGAAGUGACGAUUCAGUGUCCUUUGAUGGAUGCAUUUUUAAGCAAAAAUAGGUUUGUAACUGACCAAAUUUGUCUGGCAUGCCAAUUUAAAAAAAUUAAAUUAUGUGGUUGUUAGCUGUAGUGAAGGGGGGGUAGUAGGUCCAAUCCGGUCGAUCCAGGAAAGUUCAACAAAGUUCUGGUAUGGUGCAGUGAAACUGGUUUGUGCAACUCAAGAGUCGUUCAGGUAAAAGAUGAUGUGUUUUGAUUUAAAAAUGUUAUAAAUUUACUGUGUAUAGUAUUCUAGUAGAAUCAUCUAUAAAUUUAAGUUUUUGAAAUUAUCUGCUUUUCCCAGUUUGAGUUAAGGGCACAUGUAAUAUGAAAAAUAGUUGUCGAAUGUUGUAGGUUACCUAACAUUUGAUCAAUCCUAUUAUGAUGGCUUCAAGAUGUCUAACAAUAUGUAGAAUGCCCCUGCUCCUCCCCAUUGUUUAUCUUAUACAAUAAUAUGUUGUGGAUGCUAAUAUCUUUGUCGAUACCUGUAACAGUAUUACAAAAUCUGCGUUCAUUGGGUUUUAUAUAGGUUCAACUGUCUGACAGUUCACACUGUCUGAAGGCAUUUGGAAUUGGAGAUGUAUGGGUUGCCGUUGAGGGGAGUAGUGAUGUUCUUCCUGCUGUCAAACGUAUGUCUAAUGUUGCAGUUUUUGUUCCCAAGUCUGGUGCUAGCUUAUGGGCCGAUCUUUGGGUUAUAACCAUGCCUGUCAUUCUACUUCGAUAUUCACUUUGUUAUCACCUUCAUAUUAGUGAUCAGUAAACAUGACAAUGUGACUAAUAAAUUUGUAUUCUCUUUAUAGGCAAUCCGAGCUGCCUCAAGACUUGAAACAAAACAAAUUGAAGGCAAGUCAGAGGUCCAUCUCCAUUAAUCCAUUAAUAGAUAGAGUUCCACUUGCAAACAGCAAGAGCAUUGCCUUUCAAGCAAAAGGUUAUCCCGGGUGCAACUCCCUCUGCCCUUGAAAGUACUCUGGUUAAGUUGCCUGAACAACUUCUGAAGGGUAAACCAAGUCUGGAUACUAACUUAACUGCUGGAGUACCUCCGGCUGAAAUUCUGGCCAGAUGUGGGUUUUUGGAGCCAUUAUCUGAAGCUACAUUGUCAAAUUAUGAGUGGCUGGUUGCUAAUCUACAAAAACCUGCUCCUGUCUUGAUGAAAAGGGUGCAACAUUACAUGUCAUCAUUAAUCCGAAGCUUUCUAGCAAAAGCUACAUUGAAAAGUUAAUGGCACCGCAUGCCAGUCAUUAUAAUGCUGUCAGGGCAAUUGGGUCAGAGCAUAACUUCAUUGGGAAAAGAGGAUUCAGCUAGGUUACCUAUUACAGGACGUACUGAGAUGGCUGAAGUUCUUGAGGUUUUAUGAGAAAUGAAAGAUGAGUGCUUGUUUGAACAAAGUUGUCACCAAUCUCGUAAAGUUCAAGAAGAAAGAUCACAGAGCUAAUGCCACCAAUUUCUUCAUUAUUGCAGCCUCCAUUGUUGAAGUUUCCUCAUUUGAAGCUGUUUAUGCAUAUGCUUCUUCCCUGCUCAAGUACAGGAAAUUGAAGAAUUAGCCAGAUAUGAUAUGAUGAAAGAGGGAAGUUUUCUUCCUUGAAUAUGGCCUUGUAAUUUGUAGUGAAGGAGUAGGAUGAUCACUAGCAAGAACCCUAUCAAGGUAGAUUUUAUGAUGUUAACAUAUUACUAAGCAUUUGUUUCUUUAGCAAUGAUACUUUCAUAGCAUGAAUUUAAUUAUAUGAUCCUGAUUAAUCAA